RNAcentral lists this long non-coding RNA (91799 nucleotides) under Hordeum vulgare. RNAcentral's name for it is "long non-coding RNA (HVUL_LNC004274)". The record is from RNAcentral. Lineage: Eukaryota; Viridiplantae; Streptophyta; Magnoliopsida; Poales; Poaceae.
GCUGCGGGGCGGGUGUCUUUAAAGAUGAUGCAUGUCUGUGACCGUUGCCAGAGGCCUCUGACUAGACCCACCUAACCGUCCGUCCACUCGACACCUCGGUAAUGUUGACAAUCUGCCUCAUGAGGUGGAGCGGAGGAGAUCCUGAGGAUUCCUACCUCUCGUGAUGGUUGUCGGGCCUUCUUCCUACUGGGAAGGUGUCUUGUGGGUUCCUUGUUUUGGGCCUUUGCUUGAUGUUGCUUGAGAAUUGAUAUUUUCCGGCAACGCCUUCCCAGCCCUGGAGGCCGCUGUUGUGUGUGUACGAGUCUGGGUACUAAAAACCCCAUUUCUUAGUACAUCGACAUUAGCCCCCUAGCCUAGGCCACACUUGCGUAUGUGACGUUGUUGGGCUAGGCCCAAAAAAAGUGCAUAGGCACACGCGACCCCAAUUCCUUGUAGUUAUAAUGGUUCUUACUGCUUUCCCACGAUGCACAAUGACAAGGGGUCAUGGGAGUGCUGGAGAGAGGCGUUUGCUUCGAGGAGUCUCGCUUGAGAACCACAUGCCAUUGAUGGAGGAGAGCAGUCCUCCAAGCCCGCAUGCUUGGUAGCGAAUGGUCUUGUCGGAUAGUGAACGAUCAACUCCUGGGUCCCUCCAAAGGAAAGGAGGAAGAUGGAGGUGGUGCAUGCUCACUUCUCGUUGUUAUGCUCUGUCUCGUCCUUUUCUGUCUUUUGUGACACUUUUGAUGACGCGCAUCACAUGCGAGACCCUGUGUUGGUUGGGAGGGGCGGUCGAUGGUGCUGAAUGUGCGCUAGUAUGCAUUCGCCUUGGUUUAUGAAGAGCCAACCCCUUCGCCUCCCCUGCCCUAUAAAGAGAGGGGUCGAUGGAGGGGGCCUUGCUCAUUCCCAUUUCCCCCUCAUCAUUCUAUUGACCAAUGUCUUCUUCUUCUUCUCGCCAUCUUCUACAGUGUGUCAGUCUUCAGUUGGCGAGGGGUCACGGUCGCGAUCGCGGGUCUCGUUCCCCUGUGAGAGGCACUCCCUAGAGCAUGAUGCGAAUCGUGGUUACAUCGGUGGGGGUUGGCUCCAGCUACCAUGGGAGGAUGUCAUCCAGGGGUCGAGGAAUGACGGCUCCAACGGACUGCGAUAAUAGCGACAACACGCGUCCCCAUGCAAGGUCCACGCGAGGUAGGUGGCACAUGAGUUCAUCGUGGAGUUUCCCCGAGGACAUCAAAGCUGGCUUCGCCUUCCUGACGCUUUUUCUCGGGCUAAGGAAUGCACCUGGCCACAAGGACUAUGAAUCCGGGCAGAAGGUUGCUGCAACCGGCCCGUGUGGGUGGUUGUCGCCCUCACUCCUAGGAGUGAUAUGUUCCUCACGCGGGGGUGGAAGUCGUGUGAGGACCACGACUUAUAGGCCGUGAUCAUCGAAUGUACAUGCACGAUGAUCCCAGAGAUCAAUGCUCACUGAACACAUUGAAACUUAAUAUCAAGAGUCUUACAUCCUUUAUGUAUCGUUUUGCUCGAAUAUGGACUUUAUGGACAAGUCUUCAUAUAUUUGCAGUGAAAUGCCUUCAUUGAUAGCCUGAACCCAUGCCAUCUGCCUUUACCCUAAAAGAAUUCUGACUGGGAAGCUUCCUAGCUCGCUCGUAUGUCACCAAGUAUUCUUCAUCGUAUCAUGUUCUUUCAUGCCUCGCUAAUGAAAUAACUAGUGGCAAGCCAAUGAGUACUUUGAAUGUACUCGCAAGAAACCCAUGUUUGGAACAAGGCAAUAACAAUGCAUGAAAUAGCACUAAGUCGGUAAGUUGCAGAAAGCUAGCUUUGAGUGCAAUGUAAUGAUAAAUCAACUUGUAAAAGCAUGCAUCAACAGGUUGUAGAUAUCCAUACAAAUAAGUUAUAAAUAUCAUCAUAAGCAGGGGUUGAACAUCCCAUGUUCAUUUAUCAUGACAGGUCAUCCGACUUAACUAGAUCACCAUCUUUCGCACACUAUCAUUUUCUCACUCACACACACCAAGUUUGUGAAAACAUCUAUACAUAGUAUAAGACGGACCACCUAACUUUUAUUGACCGGGGACACAUCUAUUCCAAUAGUUUUACACUCUGCAGAGGUUUGCGUGAUGUACCCACAAGACUUGAGGAACUUCCGUGUGAUCCAUGAAUCGCGGUAUAUUACAUACCUGAGGUAAGCACCCGAACAAUAUCUUUCCCCUGGCAACACUAAACAAAGAGGUCACUCAUUGGUGCCAUACCUGAUGAUAUACAUCAUACGAGCCUCCUCCAGAUCGUACCAUCCAUGAGAGCACGCAACAGUGUGCCCGGAAUUUGUGAAAAUAGCCCAUAGUCACCCUACCAGGCAUGACCCCGUAUCGAGAGGGUAACUCUGGCCCUCUCACUACUAGUAAUGCAGGCUCUCUGCUAGCAUCGACCAAGGUGAUCAACAAACUAUAUGCCAUAAAGGUCUAUUGUGGUCCCAUAUUUAAGGUUGGGACGGUCAGCUAAUCUUAAAUCUAAUCUGUUUUUGAAAGAACACACACCUCUUGUCUUGGUACACAACUUCUUUCGUAAGUUGUUACCUAACUCAACAUGAGUUCCCUCACGCAUUAGUGGCAUCUGAUAGGGUUUUAGAAAAGUCUUUGAAAUCACUUUAUUUUUCCGAUGCCAUGCAUAUUCCCAUCCCAUUUGCAUAGAGACUACUAGCAUCCUAACUACUUAUCACCCACACAACCCUCAUAGGAAGGUAGGGUCAUGCUGAGUUAACGAGGAAAUAUCAGAGGCAACUCACCAAGGUGGUCACCGAUUCAACAAGAUUCAGAUGCAGCAAAACGAAGUGUCAUAUGACAUGCAUCAAAAAGAUUCAUACUCAUGGUCAAAGGGCUGCUUGUCUGGUUCUGCAAAGUCUUCGAGGUCUUCACGAGCUUCUAGUCCAACUCCGAUCACUUCAUCUACUUUGUCAACUAUCGCCAGAAACACCCACAAUAAGCAGCACAACAAAUAUAAAAUAAAAGUUCUCUAAAAUAGGAGUUUAAUUUUUUCUGGACACCUCUAGUCACAAGAAAAAAAAUCUAAAGUUGCUCUAAUGGAUUUGGAUCACGAGAGAUUUUUGAACAGUGGAAAUGGAGGCAUUACUGGCUCCACAAGAAGUCUACAGAGAACAUUUUCCUAAAAAUGAGUGGAGGCACGCAUUAAAUAGGGCAUGAUUUUAGAAACAUUUAGGAAGUGUUUUAUUGUAUUUGGAGUAGCGAUAAAUAUUCUAGGGAUUCUCUAAUAUGGAAGAAAUGAUAAAGAGCGCUAUUUAUUUGGCCCAAGCAGAAUUGAGCAUAGGAAAAAUGUUAACCAUGUGUAAAUAAAUAUGGCGUGAUUUUUAGAGCAUGUACAAAUUAGAAUCACCCCAUUUGGAGUUUAUUUGGAUGUUCUAGGAAUUUCUCGAAGUGGGCCCUAAUGGUUUAAAUUUGAAUUUGAAAUUAAACGGUACAAAAAGAUGUUACUGAAAAAUACGGAAGUGGUACCAUUAAAUAUAUUGAAAUUUUAGAAAAAUUUACGAGUUUGAAUCAUGGCAUGUGGAGUUGUAUUUAUUUAAAGGUCGCACUAUGGCCAUGGGCCAUAGUCUGUGCAGCCAAACCGACCCAAAAGGAACUGACCCAGGUGAAUCGUCGUGCACGCGCGUGUGCGAGUUUGAACCUGGACGGUGGAGCUGGCCAGUCAGUAAGAGAGAGAGGAGGGAGACAGGGGAGAGGGUGACAAGCGGGACCCGCUCGUAAUCCCCUUCCUCGCGAUAGAGGAGGCCGAGGNNNNNNNNNNNNNNNNNNNNNNNNNNNNNNNNNNNNNNNNNNNNNNNNNNNNNNNNNNNNNNNNNNNNNNNNNNNNNNNNNNNNNNNNNNNNNNNNNNNNCCCUUCAUAGCGUUGGUAGCAAGCUUUUGUAUUUGUGCAGGAUCUUGAGAUACUCCUCCACUGAAUUGAUACCUUGGUUCUCAAACUGAGGGAAAUACUUACCACCGCUACGCUACAUCACCCUUUCCGCUUCGAGGGAGCACCAACGCAAGGCUCCUAGGCCACGGGGGAAAUCCUUUGCAUACUUGCCAAGGAAGUCCCUUAAGGCGUAGCCGCAGCAUAAAGAUCAAGCCAAGUAUUCUCCCAUCGACGUGCCUAUUUCUGGCGCCAUUGGAAGGUCUUUUGUUGCAGUAGUAGAAGUAUUUCUGGCGCCGUUGCUGGGGAGGGGAAAUGAAGAGCUAUCCAAGUAGGUCUCACACACUCUUCUCUUGCAUUUACUUUUGUUUCCAGAUGCCUCUCGUUUUCCUCUCCCCCACUUCACAUUUGCCGUUUUCAUUUGCCUUUCUCCUUCACCGUUUUCUUUUGCCUUUGUCGUUUCCCUUUGUCGGUUUUCUUGCUUGCUUGUGUGCUUGNNNNNNNNNNNNNNNNNNNNNNNNNNNNNNNNNNNNNNNNNNNNNNNNNNNNNNNNNNNNNNNNNNNNNNNNNNNNNNNNNNNNNNNNNNNNNNNNNNNNCAAUUUCGUAGUUUUUCAGAAUUUUUGAAGUACCGGAAGUAUACGAAGUAUACAGAUUGCUACAGACUAGUCUGCUGUUAACAGAUUCUGUUUUUGUUGAGAUGGUUGCUUAUUUUAAUGAAACUAUGGAGAGUAUCAGGGGGUAUUAGCCAUGGAAGAUUGAAAAUACAGUAACCCAACAUCAACAUAAGUAGAAUUGAAGUUUGCUACAGUACCUAAGGAAGUGGUGGCUUGCUUUCUUAUACUAAUGUUAUCACGAGUUUCUGUUUAAGUUUCGUGUUGUGAAGUUUUCAAGUUUUGGGUGAAGUUCUUAUGGACAAAAAUAUAAAUAGUGGCAAGAUCUCAAGCUUGGUGAUGCCCAAGGCACCCCAAGUUGAUUCAAGGAUGCCGUAAAAUCCUAAGCUUGGGGAUGCCCCGGGAAGGCAUCCCCUCUAUCGUCUUCAAUCCAUCGGUAACGUUACUUGGGGCUAUAUUUUUAUUCAUCACAUGUUAUGUGUUUUGUUUGGAGCGUCUUGUAUCGUAGGAGUCUUUUAUUUUUUGUUGUGUCACAAUCAUCCUUGCUGCACACCUAGAGAGAGAUACAUGCACUCACCGUGAUUUUGUCGAGNNNNNNNNNNNNNNNNNNNNNNNNNNNNNNNNNNNNNNNNNNNNNNNNNNNNNNNNNNNNNNNNNNNNNNNNNNNNNNNNNNNNNNNNNNNNNNNNNNNNGAACUAUGUACCCGUGGAUUUCAUUGUGCUUGACAUUGAUUGCAAUCCUACAUGCCCUAUCAUUCUUGGUAGACCUUUCCUAAGGACUAUUGGUGCUAUCAUCGAUAUGAAGGAAGGGAAUAUUAGAUUUCAAUUUCCUUUAAAGAAUGUUAUGGAGCACUUUCCUAGAACUUAAAGUGCUUGGUGUGACUCCCAUUUAAUCUUUGUUUUCUAGUGUCAAACCUAAUGAUUAUGGGGCUGGAUAUGAAUUCACUUUGGUUGAAAAGUUCCCCAAGGAUUCGGAGUCCAUCUAUCUAGAUGCUAAAAGCAUUAAAAGUGGAGUAGAAGACGUUAAAACUUUGCGUAGUAAUGAAAUUACUACCGUGGAUUUCAAGGAAUUCAAUUAUGAUAGUUGCUCCUUGUUUGAAUGCAUUUCUUUGAUACAAUCCAUAUUGAACUCUCCACACGCUUAUAGCCAAAACAAAGCCUUUACCGAUCAUAUCGUCGAAGCUAUGAUAAAAGCUCUUGAAGAGAAACUUGAAUUGGAAGUCUCUAUCCCUAGAAAGCUUCAUGAUGAGUGGGAACCUACCAUCAAAAUCAAAAUAAAAAACUAUAGUGCAAUGCUUUGUGUGAUUUGGGUGCUAGUGUUUCUGCGAUUCCAAAGUCUUUAUGUGAUGUUCUGGGUUUUAAUGAGAUUGAAGAGUGUUCUCUUAAUUUGCAUCUUGCUGAUUCUACUAUCAAGAAACCCAUGGGAAGGAUCAAUGAUGUUCUUAUUAUUGCAAAUAGGAACUAUGUACCNNNNNNNNNNNNNNNNNNNNNNNNNNNNNNNNNNNNNNNNNNNNNNNNNNNNNNNNNNNNNNNNNNNNNNNNNNNNNNNNNNNNNNNNNNNNNNNNNNNNAUUUUUGAAGAGCGUCAACUUUGCAUGCAUGUGGAUCAUGAAAAGAAUAUCCUAUGUGAUAGUUACAUUGUUGAAUUCGAAUAUGAUCCCAAAUGUAAUUAUUUUGAGAGAGAAAAAUAUGGUGGCAGAAACUUUCAUAUCACUAAAUCACCUCUCGUUAUGUUGAGAUUGCUCUUGUCUCUUUCUUCUUCCUUGCAUAUGGCAGUUAUUGCUUGUCUUGAUAAUUUGUUUUCCUAUAAAAUGCCUAUGCAUAGAAAGUAUGUUAGACUUAGAUGUGAUUUUCACAUGCUUUAUGAUGCUCUCGUUGUGCUUCAAUUCUUGUCUUUUAUGUGAGCAUCAUUGAAUUAUCAAUGCCUAGCUAAGGGCGUUAAACAAUAGCACUUGUUGGGAGACAACCCAAUGAAUUUAUCUUUUUCUUUAUGUUUUGUUGCGUCACACUUUCAUAAUUCUAUUGUGAUUGUGUUUUUUGUGUUUCUUUUUGUGUUUGAGCAAAGCAAAACCUUUAUGACUAGUCUUGGUAAUGGUUGUUUGGUCCUGGUGGAAAAAGACAGAAACUUGUCGCUCACGAGAUGAUUUUUCAUUUUUAUUCAGAAAGAGAUUUUGAGGUUAUUCGUUCUGCUGCUGAUUGAUAUGCUUUUUUCCCAGGCCGUCGCAAUUUUUCAUAUUUUUUGAGGUACCAGAAGCAUACGAAGUAUACAUAUUGCUACAGACUGGUCUGUUUUUGACAGAUUCUGUUUUUGUUGAGUUGGUUGCUUGUUUUGAUGAAACUAUGGUUAGUAUCGGGGGGUUCGCCAUGGAGAAGUGAGAAUACAGUAGCCCAUUGUCAAUAUAGAUAGAAUUCAAGUUUACUACAGUACCAAAAGAAGUGGUAGUUUCUUUUCUUGUGCUAAUGUUAUCACGAGUUUCUAUUUAAGUUUUGUGUNNNNNNNNNNNNNNNNNNNNNNNNNNNNNNNNNNNNNNNNNNNNNNNNNNNNNNNNNNNNNNNNNNNNNNNNNNNNNNNNNNNNNNNNNNNNNNNNNNNNCACAUGGGAAUACUUUCAUAGCAUAAGCCAACUACCAAAUCACGCACCGCCGUGCUCUAAAGAUAUAAGUGAAGCACAAGAGCAAAAGUAUCUAGAUCAAAAGAUAUAAGUGAAGCACUAGAGCAAAAGUAUCUAGCUCAAAAGAUAUAAGUGAAGCACAAGAGCAUUCUAGCAAAAUCAUGAUGAGUGCAUGUAUCUCUCUCUCAAAAAGGUGUGCAGCAAGGAUGAUUGUGACACAACCAAAAGAAAAGACUCCUAAGAUACAAGAUGCUCCAAGCAAAACACAUAUCAUGUGGUGAAUAAAAAUAUAGCUCCAAGUAAUGUUACCGAUGGAUUGAAGACGAAAGAGGGGAUGCCUUCCCGGGGCAUCCCCAAGCUUAGGCUUUUUGGUGUCCUUGAAUUUGGCUUGGGAUGCCUUGGGCAUCCCCAAGCUUGAGCUCUUUCCACUCCUUAUCUCUUUUUCCAUGAGAACGUUACCCACAACUUGAAAACUUCACAACACAAAACUUAAACAGAAACUUGUGAUAACAUUAGUAUAAGAAAACAAACUACCACUUCUUUUGGUACUGUAGCAAACUUGAGUUCCAUCUAUAUUUAUGAUGGUCUACUGUAUUCUCACUUUUCCAUGGCUAGUACCCCUUGAUACUAACCAUAGUUUCAUCAAAACAAGCAACCAACUCAACAAAAACAGAAUCUAUUAAAAACAGACUAGUCUGUAGCAAUCUGUAUACUUCGUAUACUUAUGGUACCUCAAAAAAUCUGAAAAAUUACGACGGUCUGGGAAAAAGCAUAUCAAUGAUCAGCAAAAAUAAUGAACUCAAAUGCUCUUUCUGAAUAAAAAUUAAAAAUCAUCUCGUGAGCGAAAACUUUCUGUCUUUUUCCAGUAGGAUCAAACAACCAUUACCAAGACUAGUCAUAAAGGUUUUGCUUGGCUCAAACACAAAGAGAAACACAAAAAACACAAUCACAACAGAAUUAUGAAAGUGUAGAUGCAACAAAACAGAAAGAAAAAGAUAAAUUCAUUGGGUUGCCUCUCAACAAGCGCUAUUGUUUAACGCCCUUAGCUAGGCAUAGGAGCGAUAAAAUCACGUACCGUCGUCUUUGGUGCUCAAACCAUAAGUGGCCCUCAUCAUCGAUUCAUAAGGCAAUCUUAUUUUCUUUCUAGGAAAGUGUUCCAUGCCCUUCCUUAAAGNNNNNNNNNNNNNNNNNNNNNNNNNNNNNNNNNNNNNNNNNNNNNNNNNNNNNNNNNNNNNNNNNNNNNNNNNNNNNNNNNNNNNNNNNNNNNNNNNNNNGGCAGAGAGACGGGGUGGGGGGGGGAAGAGAGGGAGGAGGCAGUCAGCCGGUUCGGGGUAAGCAUGAGACCUUUUUUCUGUAUUUAAUCGAUCAGUUUAUGGAGGGAUGGAAAAAAAUCGGUGGAACUGGCAGUGCUAGCGAGGGGAUGUGUCGUGGUUGAACCAUCUGGCAUGGUUGAACCAUCACGACGGCAGAUCCCCUUUAAUAGUAGAGAUUAUUUGUAGUAAGUAAGUUAGUAAUCAAUAUUAUUCAAUCAGACACAAAAAAUAGUUGGAAAUAACAAAGAAGAUUUGAAAUUCUAAUUGCAUCACCGCUGAGGUAGCGAGAACUGAGAAUCAUACCUAACAAUUUUUUUCUUAAAGCAUGUAUGUACCAACACCUUCAAGGACCAGCAGAUUAGCGCCGCUAUGCAAAGAGACGGGUCCAGCACCUUCGCUUCUGCUCCCAACCCCAUCUCCAACGGGGUCCCUUCCGAUCUGGGGCCUCCACAUCGACGCCCUGCACAAGUAGUGCACACAUGCAUGUCCCCACCACGACAUGCAAUAGCAUUAGCCUGUGGGAGGCGGUGCCGGGUCUUCACAUUGCGUGCAGCUCGAGCAGCCCACGCAAAACUCAAGCGAACUACCUAUGCAUUGCCACGGGGCGAUAAAUAUAGUAUGGGUUUAUUAGCGAAUAUAUUUAAUGAAAUGCGCCGAGUACAACAUAUGUUCAGUUUCCCCACAUCCAAUAUAUACAUUAGUAAUCUCACCCAACAUUUAAACAUAAAUAAGUGUCAUAAACAGAAGGUCUUAUUUUUGCUGUCCUAGGUGUAAAGAUCGUGUGCAAUGUUUCGUACCGAGUCUUGCCACCAGUAACAUGGAUUGUUCCAUCAUAGUCGGCACCCUUCUGAGUUUCCUUCUCAUCAGCCUCCACUGAGUUGUCCACUACAAUAUUAGGGUACUGCUGCAGAAUAUCAAGCACAAGAAGCAUAUUAUUAACACACUUCUUCCACACAUUGACUGGCAUAUGACCAAGUAAGCUAGGGUUGACAUCAAACUGGGCAGAGAUCACAUGAAAAAGAAUUUCAAGUUUCUGGGCAGGUGUUUUUGCCACCCCUGUAAAAAAUGUUAGCUGCUCCACACGUUCAACUCUCCCAGUGCCCUUCUUACCCCUCGACGCCACAAUCUCCUUGAGCUUUUUAUCAACAAUAUCCCAUGUAAUCUCACUCGUGUCCUUCAAGAACUGCUUGUCCAUAAUCUUAUCUUUCUUGCUUAACUUCUUUUCCCAGGCUCCGCCAUCUUCACUCGGAUCGUCAUCAUUCCCUGAAUCGGAGUCAGAGGCCAUCUUAUCCGGAUCCACAACAUCGUCACCACUGUCAUCAUCAUCAUCAUCCACAUCUUUAUCAUCUACAACAUCAUCUUCAAAGCUCUAUGGGUUCUCUCUGCACUUCUGGAUCAAGUGCUCAUAUUGCUUGUUAUUCUUCUUAAGUUUUUUGCUUGACAGCGUUUAGUUCCUUCGCGUUGCUGCUGCUCAUCUUCUUCUUGGCUUCCUUGUUUGCAAGAGCCUCAGCAAGGAAGUCCUCCAAUAGUACAAGAGUCGUGAUAUACCCAUUUGGAAUUUUCACAGAUUCAUUGACAUGGACAACUUUGUCAAGCUGCUUGUUUAGCUUCUCAAAACACUCUUGCAAGCUAAUCCAGUCAUUGAUCUUCAUUGCAUUGCGCAUGUGGUCGGCAGUAGCUUUCAUCUCAUCAUUGUGCUUGUCCUUCAACGAGAGAAUCACGCGGUGGCUCUUAGUAUCAGAGUCAUCACUGUCUUGUGUAUAUUUGUUCAGAUAGCGGUUCUUGGACCCAUCGUGUCCCCCAUCACCAGCUUCUGAUUUCUCACUAUCACUCCCUUGUUCUGACUCGAUCUCGUCCACCUCCUCCUCAGAGUCACUGUCUCCCUAAUGUUGGGUAGAAAAAAGAUAAAGGUACUAAGUAAUUGCAUUAGACGAGGAUAACAUAUAUGCAUAUUACUACAAUUAUGCAACAUAGAAUCUGAUUCACCAGCUCUGUGCAAGAGAGAAAGCAAGUACCUGUCCCCAAAAACGAGACCCAUGGCUGCUGCUGCUUGUAAAUUACCUUCAACUGUCUUCAAGCUAUGCAAGUAGACAAGUAGGAAAGAUAUCGUCAAUACAUCCAGAAGGAAGCACGCGGUAUAUAUUUACAUCACAGGCAAUUAAGCAAAGGGGGAAAUAUAUCCUCGGAACACGCAAAUGGCACGCUAACAAUAAGGUAAAGCAAUGCUUACGGAAUAACUCAGAUGAAUGAAUCAAACCCCUAUGAGGAAAAAAUAGCUCAUUGAAGACAGUUAAACAAUAUUGGCAGAAGAUGCAAGUUCACGUGUAUGAGCAGGGAGCUGGACCUAUACACCCUAAACAUAACAAACCAACAAAACUGAGAAAAAAUGUGAGAUACGACGAGCAAGGGUGCAACCCAAGCAAGAGACCUCGACCUGACGUUGAGUCGGUGAGAUCCCCGGGACUCGGCGAAGCGCUAGCCUGCUCGUCAGCGGCUAGAGAUGGAACCUAGGCCUGAUGCGCGGCGGGAUUGUUGGUAGGGCGCGGCGGCCUGCAACGUCAAGUCUGAUGGAAAACCAAUCAGGUCGAUUAACUUGCCUUGGGUCGUGGCCGUGGAGUGGAUGAGGUUCAGAUCCAGCGGAGAACGGAGGAUUGUAGCGGCGGAGUAGACGCCCAAUGGCGCCCACUGGGAACCGCGAGAUUGGGGGUGCGCCCGCUGCAUCGCCGAAGGGAUCAACAGGUCCUCCACUCCUCCACCGUCACUACCCCGGCUGCUGUGGCCGCACGCUUCGCCUCAGCCUCGACGGCGGGCACCUUGGACGUGGGCAGUUCAUCUGCAUGUGGUGGCGGCGGCGGAGAUUUUUCUCAUGAGAUCGAGAGGAGAGGACGGAUCUAGGGCGAGAGGUGGGGGAGACUGGGAGAGGGAUGUGCGACGUGUUUGGAGGAGGUCGACGAAGAUUUUUUUUCUUUCUUACCGUUUUUCUUUACGUGGGCAUGGGAAGAGGAGGUCGAACGAAGAAAAGGUCGAACCAUCGCGGAGGUUGAACCAUCACGACGGCACAUCCUACUUUAAUAGUAGAGAUAAAUAUAUCGAGGUCUGAACACCUCAUGUUCACUGAUACGUCCAUUUUGCAUCAUCCCUCUUAUCAAUAUUUGUUGCAUUGUGGGCUGUUAUUACAUGUUAUGGUACAAUACUUAUGUAUUUUCUCGCUUAUUGUACAAGGUUCACAUGAAGAGGGAGAAUACCGGCAGCUGGAAUUAUGGACUGGAAAAGUAGCAAAUCUGAGAGACCUAUUCUACAGAGCUCCAAAAGUCCUGUAAAGUUACGGAGAAUAGUUUUGGAAUUUAUAAAAAAUAUUGGGCAAAAAAAUACCAGUGGGGAUCCACCAGGAGGUCACAAGCCAGGGGGCGCGACCUACCCCCUGGCCACGCCCUACAGGCUUGUGGCCCCCCUGGCNNNNNNNNNNNNNNNNNNNNNNNNNNNNNNNNNNNNNNNNNNNNNNNNNNNNNNNNNNNNNNNNNNNNNNNNNNNNNNNNNNNNNNNNNNNNNNNNNNNNAGGUGCCCUUGGGUAGGACGUACUGGUCAGACCUAUGACCCUACCCUAGGGCUAUAUCCCCGUCAUUAGCCCCCGAAUGGAUCAGGGUCCGAGUGAUGAAGGUGUCGAUGUAAAUCUUGUAGCAGCAGACCGAACUUGAAUGUGCUUCAGGGUCUUGCAAAAUUAUGCCUUGAUUGAAGUCUUCAUCAUUCGCCUGAUCGAUUCCGUUGAGUAGUACGUCCGAGAGAACUUAAGAAUUGAAGUAGAUCUGAGUGACCAACAGGAUCUUGAGAGUCUGACUGACUACUGGUAGUCGGUUGGAAUCUGUUGAAUCUGUUGAACUUGGAUGUUGUUGGUGGACCUGACCAAGCAGAAUGUUUCUUUUUUGUAUUUCUCUUCUAGUGGGGGCAUGCUAAGUGCACCCACUGGGUGUAGUCCCCGAGCCUCUGUCGGACUAGAUGAGUCCGACAGAGGGUUUAAGUCAUCCAAUGCUCGUCAUGUUGAAUGUUUGUUGUAUCUGCAUUAUAUGAUUUCUAGAUAAAAGUCAAGUCUCCAAGAGUUGUUUUUAACUUAGGCGAUACGGGGUCGCAGCUAAGUUCCCGAGUGUGGAGCGUGUCUAUACUCGGAGUAGUUUUUAACUUAGGCGAUAUGGAGCCGCAGCUAAGCCCCCGAGUGUGGAGUGUGUCCGUACUCGGAGUAGUUUUAACUUAGGCGAUACAGAGUCGCAGUGAAGCCCCCGAGUGCGGAGCAUGUCCGCACUCAGAGUUGUUCUUAACUUAGGCGAUACGGAGUCGCAACUAAGCCCCCGAGUGUGGAGCGUGUCCGUACUCGAAGUAGUUUUAACUUAGGCGANNNNNNNNNNGCUAAGUUACCGAGUGUGGAGCGUGUCCGUACUCGUAGUAGUUUUAACUUAGGCGAUACAGAGUCGCAGCUAAGUCCCCGAGUGUGUUGCAUGUCCGUACUCGGAGUAAUUUUAACUUAGGCGACACAGAGUCACAGCUAAGUUCCCGAGUGUGGAGCGUGUCCGUACUCGUAGUAGUUUUAACUUAGGCGAUACGGAAGCGGGCUAAGUUCCCGAGUGUGGAGCGUGUCCGUACUCGAAGUAGUUUUAACUUAGGCGAUACUGAAUCGCAGCUAAGCCGAGCGGUGGCGCGCGGGGCGUCCGAGUGAUGAAGACGUGCCACAUGGAGUGGCGAUGCGUGGGGCAUCCGAGUGAGGUAGACGAGUCCGACUGAGUGACGGCACGCGGAGCGAUCGAGUGACGAAGAAGCAUCCGGUCUAGUGACGGUGCCCGGAGCGACCGAGUGACGAAGGAGCGUCCCGUCGAGUGGUGAUGCCCGGAUCUGCUGAGUGACGACGACGCGUCCAGUAGAGUGAUGAUGGAUCGUCCGGCUAAGUGGCGAUGCGUGGAGCUGUCGAGUGACAAAGACGUGUCUCGCCGAGUGGUGAUGUGCGGAGCUGUCGAGUGAUGACGAUGGGUCCAGUAGAGCGACGGCGUGCGGGGCGGCCGAGUGACGAUGGAGUGUUUGGCUGAGUGAUGACGCGCGGGGCGGUCGAGUGACGAAGGCACGCCUCACCGAGUGGAAAUGUGCGGAGCUGCCGAGUGAUGACGACGCGUCCGGUAGAGCGAUGGCGUGCGGGGCAGCCGAGUGACGAUGGAGCGUCUGGCUGAGUGACGUCGCGUGGAGCGGUCGAGUGAAGAAGGCGCGCCUCACCGAGUGGCGAUGUGCGGGGCCGGCCGAGUGAUGAAGUCAUGUCCGGUUGAGCGAUGAUGCAUGGGGCGAUCGAGUGAUGAAAUCACGUCCCGUUGUGUAGCGACGCGCGGUGCUGCAAAGUGCGUGCACAUUAGUCAUCUGGAUGGAAAUACCACCAAACUAAACCUGAACGUUUUACUUGUCAUCUGGACGUUUAGUUGUCCGAGUGACGAGUCUCUUAGUUAUAGGGAUAAUCUGGUUUCCAGCUAGCUGAGUGACCCUGCAAGUUAGCAAGCAUAGCCACUAUUCUUUGUGCUGGACAAAAAUGACCGUGUAUUGAUGCUAAUUAGCCGGAUUAAACGCUGGGUGGUAAUAUAUGCAUGCAUGUACAAAUUAAUUGGCGUAAAAACGGUGGAAACCGAAAGGUAAGCAAUUAACUUCUGGAAGGAACGAAGUAAUUACUUCACACAUUUGUCCUUACCAUGACAAGCGUUGGAUAUUCCUCACCAAUUACCCGAUUAAUUAGGUGGCCAAUCCACUCGUACCAGAUUUAUGAGGCCUGCGUCCUUCUGUUACCUCUGGUGCGUCGUGUUCGUCUACGCUCAAUGCACAAGACGAGCAUGUGGCGAGGCCGUUUCCACGCAUCGGGCGAGCGGCUGGCGAGGUCGUUUCCACGGCCCUGAACAACGGCAGGAUCUCCCAUGCUAGAGGAGGUACCCUGCGUGAGAGUUGCGGGCUGGCGCAACCAAGGGCGAGACCACCAUGAGCUCCGGUGGUCGCGUUUCUAUUUGGGGAGCCGAAGCUCCACGUCAGUCGGAGUUGCGCCUCAACACCUACGGAGCUGGCUAAGGAACCAGCUCGAGCAUUAGCGGCCAUGUGUAUGUGGGCACUUGGCGAGGGCGGCAAAGAUGAGAUCGAAGAUGACGACGGGCGUGUGGCAGUGCUUCUUCAUCCAGGAGAUGAGCCGCCAACCAGAACAAAGGGAUGUAUCCUUCUGUACGAGCUCGUGUGCAUACAAAAGAUAAAUAAACCAUCAUUAGAUCAUUGUCUGAUUGUAAAGAAAACAAGAUGAUAAGAGGAACUCCCUCAACCUUAGUAUUUUGUCCACCCGUAGGUGGUGUGAUGGCCAGGACUCCGAUAGUCCAAUAUUUGGUGAUGAAUGUUUGAUCUUUUGGGAGAACACCCAAAAGAGUUUGGGUUGCUAAGAUUGAAGACAACCAUUUGCAUCAUGGCUCGAUAGAUGCCGAUGCCCCACGGUGGGCGCCAAAUGUCGUGGUAACGAUUCCGACAAUAGAAAGGGGGUAAGAUAACGGAGCAUGAUCUAUCAAGAUGCACAUGGGUGACACGGUCGUUUUAGCGAGUUCAGGCCUCUCACAGUGGAGAUAACAACCCUACGUCNNNNNNNNNNCUGCUCUGGAGAGGCUUUGUUUUAUCUGUCAUGGACAUGAGUUACAUGGUAUAGAGAGAGAGCCAGAGCUCCAGGGAAAGAAUGAGCCCGAAGGAGGAGAAGAAGAUCGCCCCUAGCUAUGUGGAGGGUGGUGGCUUAUAUAGAGUGCGCCACCUCCUCACCUCUUAUGUUACAAGAUGGGGCAUUGAUGCCAUAAUGUCAGCCCACUACAGAUGUCUUGCCGACUAUUGGUAUUUGCAUGACCGAGUGAGUCAUACGGNNNNNNNNNNNNNNNNNNNNNNNNNNNNNNNNNNNNNNNNNNNNNNNNNNNNNNNNNNNNNNNNNNNNNNNNNNNNNNNNNNNNNNNNNNNNNNNNNNNNAAGAAACCAGAAGAGAUGAACAAAGAAGAGAUGAAGGAAUAAGAGAAGAAGAAAGAGGAGAAAAAGAUAUAAUAAGAAGAACAAAUCUUCUUAUUCUUCCUUUUUCUCUUCUUUCUUUUUCUCCAUCUUCUUCUUCUUCUUCUUCUUCUUCUUGUUCUUCUUCUUCUUCCACUUCUUCUUCUAAUUUCUUAGCUUAAUUUAGAUAACUUCUUUCUGAUUGUAUUCUUCUUCUAACUUCUUUCUCAUUAUGCAGAUUUUCAUAAAGCAACAUGGCAUAUGGAUGGAUGCUCCAGGGACUGUACUCAUGUUGUCUUAGAUGAACUUUGUAGUGCACUUGUAUUUGCGAAUGCACUUGUGAUGCUUUGUAAUACUUUGUGAUCUUGUUUGCACUUUAAUUACAUAUAUUGGUGUUGUUUGCACUUUGUGAUGCACUUGUGGUGACGUUUUCACUUUGUGAUGCACUUGUGGUGCUCUUUAGGGCAUGGGCAAAUAUAUAUAUAUAUAUUGUUGUUUGUAUCUAUGUUUUGCAAAUACAGGGAAUUAACAGAAAACAAAUAUUAAAAAAAAAGAAGAGAGGGUCUUUGCCUACAUCUUACUGAUGGCAAAGCAUAUGCCGUCGGUGGGCUGACGGCAAAGAAGGACAUGUGGCGACAGCCUGUGUAACCUGGCAACUGUGAUAACACCAAAUUUCCUGAUUUUCGGCUUUGCCGUCAGCUGUGCUUCACUGGGGGCAAAGAGGGGACCCAGGGGACCCGGGUUUUUGGCUUUGCCGUCAGUUGUGCUCCGGCUGUGGGAAAAGAGGGGACCCACAUGUUAGUGGUGUUAGCAUCCCUAAAACAUAUGGCCCACCAGAACUUUGCCGUCCGCCAGCGUCCAGCUGACGGCAAAGCCUGCCGUUAACCCUCUAACGGGGCUCGGCUUNNNNNNNNNNNNNNNNNNNNNNNNNNNNNNNNNNNNNNNNNNNNNNNNNNNNNNNNNNNNNNNNNNNNNNNNNNNNNNNNNNNNNNNNNNNNNNNNNNNNUGAAAACCUUCUGGUAAUCAAAUGAGGUCAUCCUAUAUAUCAAUCUUCGUUUUCGGACCAUUUCGGAAACCCUCGUCACGUCCGUGAUCUCAUCCGGGACUCCGAACAACAUUCGGUAACCAACCAUAUAACUCAAAUACGCAUAAAACAACGUCGAACCUUAAGUGUGCAGACCCUGCGGGGUCGAGAACUAUGUAGACAUGACCCGAGAGACUCCUCAGUCAAUAUACAAUAGCGGGACCUGGAUACCCAUAUUGGAUCCUACAUAUUCUACGAAGAUCUUAUCGUUUGAACCUGAGUGCCAAGGAUUCAUAUAAUCCCGUAUGUCAUUCCCUUUGUCCUUCGGUAUGUUACUUGCCCGAGAUUCGAUCGUCAGUAUCCGCAUACCUAUUUCAAUCUUGUUUACCGGCAAGUCUCUUUACUCGUUCUGUAAUACAAGAUCCCGCAACUUACACUAAGUCACAUUGCUUGCAAGGCUUGUGUGUGAUGUUGNNNNNNNNNNNNNNNNNNNNNNNNNNNNNNNNNNNNNNNNNNNNNNNNNNNNNNNNNNNNNNNNNNNNNNNNNNNNNNNNNNNNNNNNNNNNNNNNNNNNNNNNNNNNNNNNNNNNNNNNNNNNNNNNNNNNNNNNNNNNNNNNNNNNNNNNNNNNNNNNNNNNNNNNNNNNNNNNNNNNNNNNNNNNNNAGUCAUCCAGUUAUGUUGCCACGUUUGAUACACACAAAGCAUUCUUCCGGUGUCAGUGAGUUAUAUGAUCUCAUGGACAUAGGAACAAAUACUUGACACGCAGAAAACAGUAGCAACAAAAUGACACGAUCAACAUGCUACGUCUAUUAGUUUGGGUCUAGCCCAUCACGUGAUUCUCCUAAUGACGUGAUCCAGUUAUCAAGCAACAACACCNNNNNNNNNNNNNNNNNNNNNNNNNNNNNNNNNNNNNNNNNNNNNNNNNNNNNNNNNNNNNNNNNNNNNNNNNNNNNNNNNNNNNNNNNNNNNNNNNNNNCAGGAGCUUCAGGAACGAGUUGGCAGAGUGGCUUCCUCCACCGAACCAAGGGGGAAAUAUAGGGGGAGGCAUUAGCAUCAAGUUGUCGUUCGAUAGGGAGAGAAAGAAUGGCCGGAGCGAAAUCCUACUGUGAGGAAUUGACGGCGGACGAAGCGGUAGCGCCGAGCUCUAUUACAUGCAAAAUGAGGGGGAAGUGGAGUGGGACUAAUGCAGCGAGGCGACUGGGGUCGAGUGAGAGCGGAAGGGAAGGAAAGAGAGGCAUGGGGGCCUUUAAGUAGGAGUGGUUGAAGUGCACUGAAGGCUUAGUGCAUCGUCGAACUCGAGGCCGAGGCCAAGGGGCACAGGGGUGAGCUAGGAUGAGUCUGGGGUGUUCCUGUGGUCAGUCCAGAGCGAGGGGAGAGAAGAGGGGGAUCGAGGUGGCCUACACGCGCGAGGCCCAUGGUUGGCCGAAUUGGGCGGUGCUCAGGCGCGUCGGGAAUGGUUAUACGUCCCAAACGUAACAUUAAUUUCUACUUGUUCCAUGAUCUAUUGGCUGACAUUGUUAUAUGUUUUGCUACAGUUUUAUAUCAUUUUACAUAUAUUUGGACUAGCAUACUAACUGACUGCACCCAGUGCCAGUUUCUGUGUGCUGAUGUCUAUUUUGUAGGGGCUUUUACCCAAUUUUCCGAAGCCCGAAAAAUUUCAGAAAAAAUAUAUAAAAAAUCAGCGGAACAGAAGCUUCCGGAUCACCGAAGAUGGGCCAGAGGGGGGGCCAUGGGCCUCCCAAGAGGCCUGCUGGUGCGGCCAUGCCCUAGGCUGCGCCAGGAGGUCGCCUGGGUGGGUCCCACCUCCUCCGGUGCCCUGAUUUGGCCUAUACUUAGAGUCCCGAGAGGAAACCCUUGCACACUAUCUGGAAUCGUGAAUUUCUUCAUCGUUCCGGUGCUGCAGCGCUUCCGAGAUCGGGAGCAUCAGGAGACCUCUUCCCGGCACCCUGCCGGAGGGAGGAUUGACCUCUGGGAGUUUCUCCACCACCAUGGACGCUUCCCCGACGUGCCGUGAGUAUUUCUCCUUGUACCAUGAUUCCAUGACCAGUAGCUAUGUGAUGUCUUCUCUCCGAUCUAGUGCUUCAAUGGUUAGUCCUUGUGAGCUACCCUACAUGAUCAACGCAUCUAUGUAAUUCUCUUGCUAUUGCUAAACUCGGUUUGUUGGGAUCCGAUGGAUUAUGAGAUUAUGUUCAGAUUUUUACGAGUUGUGUAUUUGAUUAUCCUUUUAUAUUAUGUUCCUUAGUGAUUCAUGCAUUUCUCUGUUGCUAUUUAUUCUUUGGCCGAGUAGUAGAUUGUAACUCCAAGAGGGAGUGUUAUGCAUGAUUGUGGGUUCAUGCCCCUCGAUGUCUAGCUUGAGUGACAAAAAUAUGAGACUAGGGGAUGUCCUUGUUGCCACCAGGGAGAAAAUAACGGUGCUUUUGACCACGGUUGCAAGGAUUGUUUACCUUAUGCUUAGUUUGUUAAUGCAGUUGUCCGUUGCUUUGAGUUUACACUUUGGGUCGGGCUCGCAACUUAAUACUGGAGAGAUGUUAUGGAUAGAUAUCUCAAGGUGGAUGAUUAGUAAGUAGAUGUUGAUGAAUAAACGGUCUCCUUGUCUUGGCGUACUGCAUAUUACUAUUGAACCUCUAACUAUCAAGUAGCAUAAUGAGCAUUGCGGUGCGAUCAUAAUUCUGUCAAUUGCCAAACCAUGAUUUAUUUACCAAAGCAUAGUUGUUUAUCGUCUUUCGGGAGAGAGACAUCACUUGUGAACAUCAUGUGACUCCGGUCCAUAUCCCCAUCAUUGUUUACACCUCCAUCAUUCACCGCUUUCAUUUACUUUUUUGUUGCAAUCACUAUUACCUUCCCGCUUGUGUUUUGAUCUUUGCCAAACUACAAGGCCGAAGAGAUUGACAACCUCUUUGUACUCGUUGGGAGGAAAUAUAUGGGUUGUGUGUGUAGGUCCACGUCUUCUGUUGACCAGGAGAGGAGACACCAACUUGUUGAGCCUAGGAGUCCUCCUGGUUCGAUAAACCUUAUAGUAUCCGUGUAAGGGAAAUCUGCUGCUGACUACAUCUCCAUCUUCCACUUGGGGUAACCAACGAGGGGCGAGAAGUAUAUCCAUCAACUAGUCACCAAGAAAAUUUCUGUCGUCGUUGCCGGGGACUCCAGUCUUCAAGAUAGGGGAGUUGCACGCUAUCCUUUACCUUUGCUUUUUAGUCUUGUUAGUUUGUUUUUAGUUUUUGCUUUAGAGUCUUAUACCAAAAACCACAAAAAAUUUAUUUGCUUUGUUCUUGCUUGUUGCUGCUGCUAUGGGUUCCACUGAAAACACCAAGUUGUGUGACCUCACUAGUCACAACAACAAUGACUUUAUCUGCACUCCUAUUGCUUCUCCCGCCAUUGAAGCCACGUCCUUUGAGAUUAAGCCUGCUUUACUGAAGCUAGUUAUGAAAUAUCUAUUCUUCGGUGCUGGAGAUGAUGUGGCCUUGCACUUUAAAUUUUUUGUUGAGCUCUAUGAUAUGCAAAAAUAUAAAGAAGUAGAUGGUGAUAUUGUUAAACUUAUGCUUUUUCCUUUCUCCUUGAGAGGAGGAGCUAAAGAGUGGCUUCAAUCUUUGCCUAGGAAUAGCAUAGAUUCUUUGGAUAAGUGCAAAGAUGCUUUUAUUGGGAAGUAUUACCCGCGUGCUAAGAUUAUCAAGUUGAGGAGCAACAUUAUGAAUUUUAUUCAAUUGGAUAAUGAACUUGUUGCUCAAGCUUCAGAACAUAUNNNNNNNNNNNNNNNNNNNNNNNNNNNNNNNNNNNNNNNNNNNNNNNNNNNNNNNNNNNNNNNNNNNNNNNNNNNNNNNNNNNNNNNNNNNNNNNNNNNNAAAUUUGGUGUCCAAGCUUAUUCUCAUCUAUUAUUAGAUCCUGUUAAGUUUCAUACCAAUUGAAGUCCAUUUGAUGGUUGUCCCACUCAUCAAACACCUUGUGUGCGUUCACUUUAAUGGCUAAUUUGGCCCCUUCCACUUUAACCCUUGAGCUCAACUUUCUACCACAGCUUCACAUNNNNNNNNNNACCUAAGCCAAAGGCCCCACCUCUUUCGAGAGGGUCCCUAGCAACCCAAAGCAUUGUUUAAGGCCAAUAGAUGGCAUGCUCAUGUGGAUAAAAUGAGCAACACAUCCUCAAUUUGAAUUGUGGCUGAAAUAUAGCUUUGUACAAGAAGUACUAGCUACACUGCCUUGCUUGAGCUGAAACUUUGCAGGAAUGUAGUCCUUCCAUGCCUAAGACUGUUAGACAUGCUUUCCCCCCUUUAUCUCUGAGGAAAUUGCCUCCCCAUUAGCCCUAAGUUUGCUGAUGCAAACUUAACCUCAGUCAACAACCAUUCUAAUCAACUCCACUAGAGACCAAACUACUCACUCAUCUUCCAAAUAGCAUGCCCCACCUCCUAGACAACUUUGACUGGUCAUUAGGGCCCAGUAGGCACAGGUGGCCGUGGUGACCACCACCCUGACCUGCAAACUGGGUGCUCUACACCUUGUUUUCUCCUUCCAGACCUCAUCCGAUCAUUGCCACGUGUCUCAGCGCGCCAGGACGCUCCCCUUGACCGGUCCAAGCCCUCGCCAAUGCCAGGAUGCAGCCAAGGUGGCUCAGGCACGCGUGGCCGCCGUGCCCACACAGCACCAGGGAGCAUCCGGGAUAUUUCUCGUCUCCCCCUCCUUUUGAGACUUCCCCGAGCCCUUGCUGCCUCAUAUCUUAUUCCCUCCCUUCCUAGCAACCUCUCGAACCUCCCCACUCCCCCUCUCGAGCUCUCUGUCACUUCAAUGGCCGUUGAAUCCCGCCUCGACCUCACCAAAAUUCCGGCUCUGCUGAGCCCCUUCCCUCUGUUCGGCAACCCUGUGGUGUCCCCCUCGUUCCCUCGAAGCUCCCCCUUCACCUAGCUCCCUCUCUCCCCACCUGAUGCGUCCUGCCCACGCUCGCCGUCGUCGGCCACCGUCGCGGCCAGGAGCCCCUUUCCUGGUGCUCCUCUGCGGGGGGCUGACCCCCAAGUCGGACGUGGGAGAUCCACCGAGAGCACCGGCGGCCGGGGCGCCGCUAGGGCUGGUCUGAGCCGCCGGGAAGCGCCACCAACGUGUCAGGCCAUCCCUUCUCUGUCGGGCAUGCGGGAGCACGCGAGGAGGAGGAAGUGCCUACCAGUGGGGCCGGCGACCCCACUGUUCAGUCUCUAGGACGUCGGCCGGGCCAUUGGCCAGGAUAAGUGAAGACAGUUCCCUCAUGUAAGCUUCCCCGCGCUAGAGGUGUAAUCCCCGAAGUACGCCUUCGGCGAGUCCUUCGCUAGCAGCCCGAGCUGCUGGGCCGGCCUGAAGGCCUAUCUAACGCCNNNNNNNNNNNNNNNNNNNNNNNNNNNNNNNNNNNNNNNNNNNNNNNNNNNNNNNNNNNNNNNNNNNNNNNNNNNNNNNNNNNNNNNNNNNNNNNNNNNNACUCACAAGCUUGUCCCUGGCUAUUGUCUUCGCCAAAUCGCAUAUUUGGAGAGGAGCACGAUGAUAGCAACCCCAGAACUUGAGAGUCAAGGACAGCAGCCUUGUGAAAUAGAAAUUAUCCAGGUCAGUUGUUCGUGCGGAAAUGGAGCCCACGAGCACUCGGGAUUCCAUGAGUCGCUAACGCCGUCAGCCUCUAGACCUUUUUGUCCAACCUCCCCUCAUAGAUCUUCAUGGUCUUGUACCUAAAUUUUUAUUUGCUUGGAAUAUCUGGAUAAAGUUAGUGUUCACCAGCUAACAGUAGCCCUGGGGGCUGAUCAACUCAAGGGCCUGUUUUCUGGAAAUUGUAUUUCUGAAAAACCGGUCGCUACAGCCCCUCGCGGGACUCCCCUUGAGGGUCCUCGCGAGGCGAGCGCCACAAGCAACAGCCCCUCGCAUCAGCCGCCUGCGUGAGGAAGACGAACCCCUGAGGGGCCGUUUGAAGAUAUUUCAUACCCAUGCUCGAGGGAUGGGCCUCAACAACCCAAAGCAUCGGGAUGACCUUCUACACGGUCCAAGCUUGGCGAAGAGUGCCGAGGAGAAGUUUAUUUUCGAUCAAAAAUAAAAUUGGAUUUGAAGUAUGAAGGACGUAACCCCUCUUACAUGCCCCAUUAGGCCAGCAUGUUGCGUUACAGGAAAGGGAUGACGAUGAAAGAAAUAAGAUAGGGACCUUGAAGCACCGUUGUCGGGGACCUCGAUGUCGGCGUCGUGCACGCUUAGUCGGAGCCCUCCUCCUCCUUGACGUGGGCUCCCGGGGACUACCAGAGUUGCAGUUGCCCCCACUCCCGAUAAAGGAGGAGAUGUCGCCGGUGCCGGCAGGGCUACUGCUGUCGCCACAGCCACAUUCCAUGUAGUAGUCCAGGCAAUCGUCAGCGCUUCCGAAGACCUUCAUGGAGAGCAUGGCGGCCCCGUCAAACUUGAAGUGGAGGAUGUGCCCGUCCUACAAGACAUGGGCGAGGGCAAACAAUUUCCAUCUGCGCCCCAAAAACAUGAAGCCGAGGGAGUUGAACUCUGUCGCCACCCAGGUGGGCCUGUUGCAGCAGCCGUCUCACUGCAGCUAGAGGCCUGGGGGUGCAAGCUCCCUCAUCUCCUCCGUGAAAAAGUCCGAGAGCCGAAGCCAAGUGCGAGCCAUGUCUUCCAUCCAUACGAUGAACUCGCAGGCCACGUCGGCAGUGUGACUUCACAACCUAGGGGGCAGGUGCCUGCGCCGCCCUGCUGGCACGUUUGCGGUCGCCCCGUCCGUCGUCCCCGCGAGCGGAAUCCCUCCUGCGGGUGCUCAGGCUGCCAUGGCCCGCUGGCAGAGGUCAUCCGCGUAAUCUGAGAGGUGCCUCGAGUGGGGCAACGGAUGCGCGAGGGCGGACCCUUCCUCUUCGUUGAUGUCUCCUUCUUGACGUCGGAGGAUACCUUCGCUGGCGCCAUCACCGCGGCGACGAUGAGCGGGGAUGAAGAGGAAGGGCGAGGAGGUAGGGGUACGAGAUCCCUCCCUCUUGACCUUAUAUGGAUCCUUCGAGCGAGAAUUUGGUCUACGCCGCCGCACCUACAUUCCAUAGGCGGAAGGUUAAUAGGGGCAAUGAUGGGCCUGUGCCGCGCGUAGGCUCUAUGUCAGCGCAGGACAGGUAUCGAGGCGACAUGGGAAACGGUAGCGCUUAGCGCCUGCCGCGCUCCAUAUGUCACGCUUGGUUCUUCAGCAUGGAGGGCCCGCGCCGCUCCCAAUUCCGCCAUCGGAUGAAGCGCACCCAAUGCACGUCCAUGGGUUGUGCUGUUGGGCAUGAGGGCCGAGAGAAUCCAGGGGUGCGGGCUUGUGGCCUCGAGGCGUACGCAAAGGCUUGGCAUGGGCCCGUUGCCAUGGUGCAUGGGCAAGGCCCUCGCGAAGAUACCAGCCUCACGAGGCUCUCACCAGCAACCGUCAUCAAGGGCUUCAAGACGCCGCCGCGGGGCUGCAGUGGGAAGAUGCCCUGAAGGACUCGUGGGAAGGACGGCCAAGGAAGCGCAAGGCAACAACCUGGCUAGGCAAGGGCAAACACUCACAAGCGCUCGGGGAUUUCCCCCGAGGCCUCGUCGGUCGUCAGGGAUGAAGGCCUCAAAAUCCACACACCACGUCUGGGGACCCCGACUUACAAGUCGAGAUCGCCGAGUGAACAUGCUGAGUGAUCCCAGAGAUCAAUGCUCACCGAACACACAUAUACUAAAUAUUAAGAGUCUUACUUCCAUACAUACCGAUUGAUACAAUAAAUGACCUUAUCAGUCAAGUCUUACAUAUAUAGGGACUUGAGGGCCAACACACCAAACUGGACCAAUAGUGGAAUUAUUGGUCGAAAGCGUGAACCCAUGCCAUCACCCUUAACCUACAGGCAUUCUGACUGGAAAGCGUCCUAGCUUGCAAGAACGUCACCGAGUUAGUCUUCACCAUAUCCUGUUCUUUCAUACCUGGUCAAUGAAAUAACCAGUGGCAAGCCAAUGAGUACAUUUGAUUGUACUCACAAAUAGCCCAUGAUAUGAAUAAUGCAUGUGAGGGAUAACAAUAACAUGCUUCUUUGGUGGAUAUCUCUUGGUGGUAAAUAAACAUGAUCACAGGUAUGCAUCAUAAGUUAAGAACUACUUUUGAAGAACAGGUUACAGAUAUCAAUAUAUCCGCCAUGGGCUGAACCAUCCGGGUUCACCCUAUAUGCCAAGUCACCAAACUUGGUCAUAUCGUUACUUUCAUAAUAACUCCUUUCAUCACAACACACUCACACUUCGUUUACGCGGAAACGUUGGACGUAGUUUAUGCAAGAUUACCCAACUGUCCUUGACCGUGGACACGGCUAUUCGAAUAGUUUUACACUCUGCAGAGGUAGUACGAUGGACCCACGAGAUCCGGGAUACUUCCGUGUCAUCCACAACUUGAGGUAUAUAACAUGCCCGAGGUAAGUACCCGAUCAAUGUUUUUCCCCUCACGAUACUAGACAAAGAGGUCCACUUGAUUGGUACCCAGCCGCCAUGUUGUACGUCUUACGAGCAUCGACUCUGGACACUAUCAACCAUUCGGGGACCAACGGUGUGCCUGGAACUCAUAAAAAUGGCAUAGUCGUCCUACCUGGCACGACCCCAUGAUGAGAGUGACCACACAUCACUCCCGCCACUAAUAAUGUGGCUCUUUGCUAGCACCGACCAGAGUAAUCAACAUAGUCGCGUCCCAUAAGGGGUAACGUAGUCGUACUGGUAAGGUUGGGACGGUCGACACAUCAUAAAUGUAAUCCCAUUUCCGAAACCAUACUCACUCAAAAUACCCGAUGCACCACUUCACCAAAAGUUGCCACCUAAUUCAUCAUCACCCUCGGGCAUUAGUGGCACUCGAUGGGGUUUUCAUAAAUCUUUGAUUAUACCAACAACAUGCUCUUGCUUUUUAUUCUAGAAUUACUUGUCAACAUGAUACUAGCAUGAUCCACAAAAGGGGGUAGGACCAAGCUCAAUGCAUGUGCUCCGGAGGAGCCAUCAGUAACAUCACCUUUGUGAUUUACCGGCACUUAUGAUCAUAUGCAAUGGAAAUACUUGAUCUUACCAUGUAAUAUAACAUAUGCUCAGUCAUGGUCAAAGGGAUGCUUGCCUUUGCUCACAUAAGUCCUCGGGGUCUUCGAGGUCUUCCGCNNNNNNNNNNGUCUACCCGUCAACUAUCGCCGGAAACAACAACGGUAAGCCACACAACAGGAAGAAACAAAAGUGCUACAUAAAUAGAAGUUAUAUUUUUCUUGGACCUCUCUGGUCAUAAGAAAAAUACCUGAAGCUUGCCAUAGAAGGUUUGGACCAUCAGGGAUUUCUGAAUGGAGGAAAGGAGGAGUAGGGGAUUCUAUGUGAAGCCCAAAGAAAAUACUAUGAUAAAAAUGAGUGGAGGCACUCAUUUAACACAGAACAACUAUAGAAAUAUUUUGGAAGUUGUUUCACUGGAUUUGGAGUUGAAAUAAAUAUUCUAGGAAUUUUCUAAUAUGAAAUAAAUAGCAAUAGGAAGCUAUUUAUUUAAUACAACAGAAUGAAGCCUGAUAAAAAUGUUAACCAAGGCUCUAAAAAUAGGGCUAUAGAAAUUGGAAUCACUCCAUUUGGAGUUGAUUUGAACCCUUUAGGAUUUUCACAAAGUAGGGCCAAAUAUAUUCAUAUUUGGAUUAAAAUAAUAACACCACAGAAAGGUUGCUUGGAAAACCGUGCAAGGCACAUAUUUGGAUAGCCCUGAAUUUUAGGAACCUGCAGGAGUUUGAAUCAAACAAUUUGGAGUUAGAAUGAUUUCUGGAUGGAUUUUUGAAGUUCUACAAAAAGAGAAAAUCAGAAAAGGCUUCAACUUCAGCAGCUAUCUUGCACCUAGGGCGUUAGAUAGGCCUUCAGGCCGGCCCAGCAGCUCGGGCUGCUAGCGNNNNNNNNNNAUGAAUCGCCGAAGGCGUACUUCGGGGAUUGCGCCUCUGGCGCGGGGAAGCGUACACGAGGGAACCGUCUCCACUUAUCCUGGCCAAUGGGCCCGGCCAACGUCCUAGAGACUGACCAGUGGGGUCGCUGGCCCCACUGGCAGGCGCUUCUUCCUCCUCGCGCGCUCCCGCAUGCCCGACAGAGAAGGGAAGGCCCGAGACGCCGGCGGCGCUUCCCGCCAGCUCAAACCAGCCUUGGCGGCGCCCCGGCGGCCGGCAUGCUCGGUCGAUCUCCCGCCUCCGACCUAGGGGGUCAGCCCCCCGCAGAGGAGCGCCAGGGAGAGGGGCUUCUGGCCGCGACGGUGGCCGAUGACGGCAAUCGUGGGCAGGCCGCGUCAGGUGGGGAGAGAGGGAUCUAGGUGGAGGGGGUCUUCGGGGGAACGAGGGGGACACCACAGGGUUGCCGAACAGAGGGAAGGGGCUCAGGAGAGCCGGAACUUUGGUGAGGCCGAGGCGGCAUUCAACGGCCAUUGAAGUGAAGGAGAGCUCGAGAUGGGGAUUGGGGAGGUUCGGGAGAUUGCUAGGAAGAGUGGGAAUAAGAUGUGAGGCAGCAAGGGCUUAGGGAAGGCUCAAAAGGAGGGGAUAGAUGAGAAAUAUCCCGGAUGCUCCCUGGUGCUCUGUGGGCCUGAGCCACCUUGGCUGCAUCCUGGCGUCGGGGAGGGCUUGGACCGGACAAGGGGAGCAUCCUGGCGCGCUGAGACACACGGCAACGGUCGGAUGAGGUCUGGAGGGAGAAAACAAGGUGCAGAGCACCCGGUUUGCAGGUCAGGGUGGUGGUCACCACGGCCACCUGUGCCUACUGGGCCCUAAUGACCAGUCAAAGUUGUCUGGGAGGUGGGGCAUUCUAUCUGGAAGAUGUGUGAGGAGUUUGGUCUCUACUGGAGUUGAUUAGAAUGGUUGUUGACUGAGGUUAAGUUUGUAGCAGCAAACUUAGGGCUAAUGGGGAGGCAAUUACCUGAGAGAUAAAGGGGAAAAAGCAUGUCUAGCAGUCUUAGGCAUGGAAGGACUACAUUCCUGCAAAGUUUCAGCUCAAGNNNNNNNNNNAAGUGUAGCUAGUACUUGCUAUACAAAGCUAUAUUUCAGCCACAAUUAAACUUGAGGAUGUGCUGCUCAUUUUCUCCACAUGAGGAUGCCAUCUAUUGGCUUUAAAAAAUGCUUUGGGUUGCUAGGGACCCUCUGGAACGAGGUGGGGCCUUUGGCUUAGGCAGAAGUGAGGCAAGAGGGUAAAGAUGGUGAUUCCAAGGGUAAAAUGAGGAGUAGUUACACGGAGCCUCUCUCCAUUAAUUGACUAGUGGCCAUGGAAAUGUUAUUGGAGGUAAAAUGUAACUAUGUGAAGCUGUGGUAGAAAGUUGAGCUCAAGGGUUAAAGUGGAAGGGNNNNNNNNNNNNNNNNNNNNNNNNNNNNNNNNNNNNNNNNNNNNNNNNNNNNNNNNNNNNNNNNNNNNNNNNNNNNNNNNNNNNNNNNNNNNNNNNNNNNAUAACAUUAAUGUAUAAUUAUAAUAUAACAUUACCAAAUAUAUUCUAUUACAAUUCCAUGUCUCCCAACUCAAUGGGCUCAACAAGAAUUAAAACAUAAGCAUACAAAGCAACUAUAACAACAAUCUAUGAAAAAUUGGAUAAUGUGGAAAGAUGCACAUGAAACGUAUACUUCUUUAACUCAGAAAGUUAAGAACAAUUAGGAUCUGGUAAAAAAUUGUGUAACUGUACUAUGUAAAAAUUUCAGAUUUUUUUGGCGUUCUAGUAAAAUAGGAAAAAUCAAACACUACACCCAAAGUUUCUGGUUUUGCACAACACAUAUCAAGCAAGCAAUUUAAACAUCCUAAAGGUAUAUCUUGGCACAUUAUUUUUAUAAUACAAUGGAUUUAUACAAGAGGACAAUUAUUUUUGUUGAAAAAAUUCUGUAAUCAAGAUUCACAAAGUUUCCAUGGGCAUGAACAAAGUUCAAGGCUAGGCCCCAACGGUGCUCAUCUUUCUCACUUUCACCUUUCAUUUUGAAAACGUUUUAGGUUCCCCACUUUAUUUUUUUAUUUUAAUUAUUUGAAAAACACACAACAUAAUAAAAUAACCCUCUAAUAUAUCCGGGUUGUCUCCCUGGCAGUGCUUUCUUUAAAGCCAAUAAGCUAGGCAUAUAGUGCUCAAGUAAUUGAUCCACCCGGAUCCCAAGGUAGAUCAAAGCCAAUUUUAAUUAACCUUAAUUUGUAAUUUAGUAGUGAGCAGAAAUUGAUAUAUAUAUAUCAUGUAGAAACAAAGUCUAACUCUCUUCCUAUGCAUUGGCAUGUCAUAAAAUAACAAUUCAUGCACAUCAAGUAAAGGCCAAUACAUAGCAUAAGUAGUUUCUUGCAAUUUUAUCGUAUUGGAAACACAGAGAGGCGAAGAUUUGGUUCCUCUCUGAUAAUAAUUGCAAGUAGGAGAAGAAAACAGAUGCAUAUUAUAUCCAUCAAAAUCAUCAUGUGUACAACGCAACCCGUCACUGUAAUCCUUAAUAAGUGCAAACUUCUCUGUUAUAGUGUAGUUGGGAGAAUUCAUAAAGAUAAUAGGGCUAUCAUGUGUGGGUGCAAUAGCAACAAUUUCAUGCUUAACAUAAGGAACCAUAUCAAGUUCAUGUCCAUAAGCAUAAUUCAUAUCGGCAUCAUGGCCACAAGCAUAGCAAGCAUCAAGAUCAUCGAAAAGGGAUAUUUCAAAUGAAUCGAAGGGAUCAUAGCAAUCAUUAUAGCAUUCAUCCUUCGGUAUGUGUGAAGGUAAAUUAAACAAUGUAUGAGUUGAAGAGUUACUCUCGUUAGAAGUUGGGCACUGGUAGCUAAUCUGCUCUUCCUUCUUUUGUUCUUCGCUGUCCUCCUCAUUUGUUUCAUCUAAUGAGCUCGCAGUUUCAACAAUUUAUUCUUCCAUAGAUUCCUGCAAAAUAUUAUUCUCUUCCAAGGAAGCAAAUAUACCUCCAAAAAAUUAUUUAACAUCAGCAUUAGAAGCACGGUUUUCAUAGCAAUAUUUAAGUACGACAAAUUUUUCAGAUUUCUAAAGAGUAGCAUCAUACUUUUCAAUGAAAGUUGCAAUUUCAUAAGCACCCUUAAAAGCAACAAAUUCUUCAAUUUGCUCAACAUCAUAAUAACAAUAGUACUCCUUGGCAUAAGAACAUAAUAUUUCAUUAUCAUUAAACACACAUUUGAUGGGAAGGUGUUUUUAGUCUCUUGAGAACAACAAGUAAAAUCAUGUAUUUCGCAUAAAUUCCAAGCAUAGUAACACAAAGUAUUAAUUUGAUGAGACAAGAGUUUCCCUUUUUGAGAUAAUAGGUGUCACACAUAAUAAGCAUGCACAUUUAAUUAUUUUAUGUCAACUAAGCUAGUUGGGUUUUCAACACGAGCACAAAGGGAUCGAAGAUGAUCCAAGUAAAAAGCUUCAAUAAUAUGAUACAUUUUGGGUGGUUCCUCAACCACUGGGUUAGCAAGUACAUCUAUUCUUUUUGGUAUUUUGCGUUUCCUACCCGUAGCUAAAGAUAUAAAACAACGUAGAAUAGUGAUGAAGCAAAAAACAUACGAGAAUAUGAACCGCUCUGCUAUUGCUCCCCAACAACGACGCGAGAAAAAGGUCUUGAUAACCCACGACUGCAAGGGAUCGUUUGUAGCCUUUUUCCAUAAGUAAGAGUGUUGAACACAACGAUGAGCUAAUGGUAUAAUUAAUAGAACUAUACGCAUGUUAAUGCUUACUUUACCUAGAACAUGUAAGAAACUGCUUUGCGGGAAGGAAACUAUGUAUACUUAGUAGGUGUAAUAGAUAGUUUUGGAAGGUAAUAGAGAACUAGUAAAUAGAACUUAGGGGAUGUUUUGAUAAAUAUCAAUUUAGUUGUUUAGUAGAAAGAUUUUUUGUAACGCAAGAGAAAGAUUGUCCAUUGACAAUUGAAGAUAACAUUAUAGAUACUUAUCAUAUGCAAUGAGGGAGAGGCAUACCCUAACACCCUUUUCGUACUUGGAUCAUAUGAACUUAUGAUUGGACCUCUAGCAAGAAUCUAGAACUACUAGAAAUCAUUAAGGUAAAUACAAACAUAACAUUAAACAUCAUGCCCUCUUUACUCCCAUAUGCAAACAACUCCCUUACUUUGGUGUUAGCUCGUGUCACUCUAGCGACCUAGUAUAAGUGUGUCAUGAACAUCUUGCAAUAAAAUUAUGGAUACUUAUCAUAUGUAAUGAGGGAGAGGCAUACCCUAACACACUUUCCGUACUUAGAUCAUAUGAACUUAUGAUUGGACCUCUAGCAAGAAUCCGGAACUAUUAGAAAUCAUUAAGGUAAAUACAAACAUAACAUUAAACAUCAUGCCCUCUUUACUCCCAUAUGCAAACAACUCCCUUACUUUGAUGUAAGCUCGUGUCACUCUAGCGACCCAGUAAAAGUGUAUCAUGAACAUAUUGCAAACCCUCCAGCGGGAUUCCUUCAUGUGAGCGCCUCACGGAAGGCACCUUAGGACAACAUCAUAUGAACAUACAACUCAUAUCAAUAACAUCAUAUCACAAUUAACCCAUAGGACCAAAGAGAUUCACUCAAACAUCAUAGGAUAGUCACACAUCAUUGGGUAAUAAUAUAUAUCUUUAAGCACCACGUUUAAGUAGAUAUUACACCGGAGCAAAGAGGGUUUACACUACUGCAUAUAGGGGGAGCGAAUUGGUGGUGAUGGUAGGGAAAAUGUUGGUGUAGAUCAUCAUCACAAUGGUUGCCCUGAUGCUGCUCCGACGCCAACGGGAGGGAGGGGGAGAGAGCCCCCUCCUUAUUAUUUUUUAUAUGGCCUCCUCCCUAGGUGGGAGGAGGGUUUCUCCUCUCGUGCAUGGCCACCAUGGCUCCCGGAGGGCAGCGGCCCCUUCAAGAUUGGAUCUCUCUCUCUCUCUCGUUGAGUCNNNNNNNNNNNNNNNNNNNNNNNNNNNNNNNNNNNNNNNNNNNNNNNNNNNNNNNNNNNNNNNNNNNNNNNNNNNNNNNNNNNNNNNNNNNNNNNNNNNNNNNNNNNNNNNNNNNNNNNNNNNNNNNNNNNNNNNNNNNAAAAACAAAGAAAAAACAAGAACUAGCACUGGGCACUGGAUAAGUAAGUUACUCCCAAAAAUAAUAUAUUAUGUUGCCAAAAGCAUAUGAAAGUUGUAGAACAUUGGCAUGAAAUGAUAAAAAAUUACAUAUACUAUGGAGGCGUAUCAACCCCUUGGACUAUAAAAGGAUGUCUAGGGCUACCUUCAGAAAGGUCGACUCUCUAUUGAUUCUACACGGGUAGCUGCUGCUCUCUAUCAUCCUUGUCGGGCGAGCACACAUGUACUGUGAACACACACAUAAUCCACCAGAACACAAAAUUGGCAUAGGAUUUUACGUUUCCGAGCAUCCCGAACCUAUCUAAACCACCGUGCAUCCAGCUGUCGGUGAUGCUCUUUGUGCACCCAUAGUCCCCGUAGAACUGUAGCGAAGGGGCCUUGCCGUCCCAUAGAUCGUCGGAUCGUCCCGGCAUACAUUGUAAAUUCAAAGAGAAAAGACAUAAGAAUUGUAUCAUAAUGUGGAAUAAUUACCAUGAAUAACAUGUCAAUAGGAAAUCAUGAUGCAGAAUGGACAUACAACGUCAAUGACCAAAAAUAAAGCAAUAAUAUCGAUAAUGGUUCCUUCGACGACAUUGUGCCUAAUAGGUAAGAAGAAGACCUUGCACACGUUGAAUAAUACCUAGAGUCCCAGGAAGAUUUAAGGUUCAGACCUAAUGAAUUCAACAUCCCCGAGGAAUCGCUUGAUGAUUCUUAGUUGCAGGCCUUCCACUGCUGGCUACUCAGUACCGCAAGGGCAUGAAUCUCAAGUCCCAAAAGCUUUGAGUUGAACAGGGCAUGCUUAAUGAUAAGAUGAGCGAGGUCCUCAAUGCUGAGCAAGAUCUUAAAGGAAUAUUCAUGGGAAACAUGCAGUAUGCAAGGAAAAUCCCGUUCCCCGAGUUCGAUGAAGAAGUCUUUGACACCGUGCUGUCAAAGCCUGAAUAGGCCCAGGACCAGCCUCCUCGGUGUUGAGACACGCUAGCGGGAGGAUAUAACAAUCCCCCGAGGUAGCUCAUCGUCAUGACAUAGGUCCACCUCCACCACAGAAAUCAUACAUCACACAAAAUAAAUUAGCACAAGCUUCUCAUCUCGAUUCCUCCAUGGAUUGAGAGAGCGUUUUUCGAUCAAGCAUGCAGGGCAAUAGGAUUGGUCACACAAUUAUACCGACACUCAUCACAAAUUAAAUGAUCACACGCUGGCAACAUCAGAUGCACAACAUGUCAAAGGACGAACCCGAUUAGAGGAUCACCUCAUCAGCUUCACCAACAAAGUAAUGUAGCAGUAGUUCCAUGAAUUAUUUAAACCUAUCAACAUCGACAGAACAACAUAUUCAACCAUUUGGAUAGUGGACUUCGUCAUGCACAGCCACAUGGACCGUGGAGAUGAUCUACACGCCACCAAAUUCUUGUCCCUAAAGCUCCAAGCAUUAGCUCACCACUGGCUUAUUAGCCUUCCUAAAAACUCGAUCAGAAACUGGGAAGACCUGGAAGAUGCUUUUCAAUUAAACUUACAAGGAACCUACGUACGAUCUCUAGAUGCCAACAAGUUCGGUCACAUUGUACAAGAACGAGGGAGUCGACCAUAAAAGUUUGGAACAGGUUCUUGACCAAGAAGAAUAAAAUCAUGGAUUUCCCGGAUGCCGAGGCCAUUGCAGAUUUUAACCGCAACAUCCAUGACGAGUUGCUCACUAGAAAGGUCGGGAAAGAAAAACCCCUCACAGUGGCCGCCCUCACACAUUUUAUGACUGGCUUCUAUGCCGAGGAGUAUAGGUGGCUUGCCCGCGGCAACAACCAAAACGGUGAUCCGAGCACCUCUCAGGUGCGCGAUGGGAACGGUAAACGCCGACGUCACAAAAAUAGCAAGUGCUGCAAUAGAGGACACAACAACGAUGGCAAGGAGGGCGAGUAAAUGCCGGAUUCAUCGGCUAUCACGGGUGUAAUAGACAUAAACCUAUUCAAGGAAGUAAGGAUGUCUCAUCAAUAUUGGAUAAAAUACUAGAUAACUCAUCUACCUUUGAAAUCAGAAAUCCGGAUUACCCUUGACCAAAGUGACCACUCAACAAGCACCCGUCUCAAGGGCACAAUGGCUUUAGUACUUGACCCAAUCAUGGACGACUUUCAUCCGACCUGGGUCCUCAUGGAUUAUGGUAGUAGUCACAACAUUAUUUACACACACACAAUCAAGAAAAUACACAUGAGGCUAGCGAGAAGUAAACCCAGUAACACCAUGUCAUGACCUGGCCUCUGGUAGGGCCACGGAUCGCUGCACUUAAUAUGUCAGUCCGAGAAUCAAUACCUGACAUGCACAGUCGAUGAUGAAAUACCAAGGAUACAUCACAUGUCAUAGUAUUUGCAUCGAAGAUCGAGUGCACUAAAUACACACAUGCUUAGAUCAUGGCUAGCUUACAUUACUAUCAUGAAGCGAAAUAAUAUUCUUGUCUUGUGGCUUCCACCGGCUCACAUUCAAGAGUUGAGUAUAGCGUCAUAACCCUACUUCGUAACUUCCCUUUGACUUGGUAACCUGCAACCCGAUACAUUACAACCACAAGGCUCAAUACACUGGAUGUAUUCACAAGCUUCACCAUGAUUGGCUGGGGGGGGAACAUGAACAUUGAAGUUGGUGUGGUUGGUUUUCUUUUGCACGAAAAAUAUUUUUUUUCCUAUCUUGAAAUAUUGGUCUAUGAUAUAUCUUCAAAACAUCAAUAAUUUAUGAAGUACUCGUGCCAAUAUUCUACAACUUUCAUAUACUUUUUGCAGCAUUUUAUAUUAUAUUUUGGACUAACUUACUUGUCCAGUGCCUAGUGCUAGUUCCUGAUUUUUGUGCAUUUUUUGCUUCGCAGAAAAUCCAUAUCAAAUGAAUUCAAAACACGAUAAAAUUUUACGGAGAUUUUGUUUGGAAUAUAUGUGAAUUUUGAGAGUCAGAAUCAAGACAAGACGAUGCCCGAGGUUCCAGAAGCCAACAGGGCGCGGUUAGGGGGCGCCCUGAUGGCUUGUGGCCAGACCUUAAGUCAGUUGAGGCUCUCCUUCUGCAGCAAGAAAGAUAUUUUCGUGGUAAAAAUCCCCUCAAAAUUUCAUCCCGAUCGGAGUUAUGGAUCUCCGGAUAUUUAGGAAACGAUGAAGGGCCAGAAAACAGCAGCGAAAAGAGGAGAGAAAGAGACAAAGAGAUCCAAUAUUGGAGGCGCUCUCACCCCUCCAGGAGCCAAGGGGGCCAAGGAGCAGAGGGAGAACCUCUCCCAAGAUAAGAAGAGGCCUAAGGUGGGAGACUCUCUCCCCUCUCUUGUGGUGGCGCCGGAGUGUCGGCGAAGGAACCAUCGCCGUGGUGAUCGUCUUCAUCAACAUCACCGUCUACAUCGUUGUCGGGAUCCCUAUCCUAAGACAUAAGAAUCUAGCAUGUAACACAUCAUAUCACUUACGAACUACUGCACUACUAGGACUGUGGCAAAUACAACUGCUACAAUACUACUACAACCACUCACAAACUCAAGCAUCUGCGUAGAACAUCUCAUACAGGUUACCCCCAGAACUGGUAGCUAAACCUGAGGGUAUGCAAAAACCCUAGCCUGAGAUCCCUAGGAACCAUUAGGACACAGAUGUGGACUAGAUAUCUUGGCUAUCAAAAACAAAUCUCCACGAAGAGGGGUGAUACCUCCAACAUCGGGCCAGUCUACACGAGCUAGCAGAUGAGUCCAUAAUGGGUUCAACAUCUCCAUGUCUCCAUAGCCUGUCUGAACGACACGUCCUAGCCAUGUCAGGGCGGUCCACAGAUGGGCACGAGUAGCAUAAAGCUUCAAGCGGAGUGGACAGACAUCACGGUCUGUGUUCUCGAACAUCUGAGCAGUAACCUGUAGUCUCGGAUCCUCCUGAGAAGAAUCAUAAUAGACUCCACUAGGAUAUCCUUCCUCUUCUGGCAGAGAUACUAGAAUAUAACAAAACUCCAUGUUCUACAGCAAUCCAUGGUUGGCUCUCAUAAUGGUUAGCAUCGAAUAAGCGGCAUGCUGAGCCACCAUGUCGGUGGUAACCCCCGAUCCACACGAACAAUGUAGAGGCUUUGCAGCUCCAGGGUACGAUGGAUAUAUCCUAACAGUACAAAGGUACUGGCUGUGGUUGAAAUCACGGUACUGCUCCUCCACUGUGCACUCGGGGUACUAGCAGUAACCGGUCUCCAACAUCACUCUGACCAACAUAACCGUCUGACCCGGUACAUCAAUGCACCUGGUCAAACGUACCACCUGAUGGGAGGGACGAGGAGGCAUCUGAAAUAGAGAAUAGUGCAAAUGCAUUAGAGAUCCUAGCAAAAAUUGGGCAGCAUAACGACUGAAAAUGCUAAAAAAACAAGUUUGAGACAUCGUGCAAAAGAUUCGAUAGCAUAACCACACAACUUUCUAGCUUCAAGAUUCCAUGGCCAACUAAGUUUUCACACAGGGAGAUACUUGAAAACUGGAGUUGACUCUCAAACAAAAUUUCCCUACAAGUUAUAGAGUAGUAACUCGUGAUCCUAAGAGAUAGAUAAGAAUCCUAGUUCUUAAUCCCCGUAGAAAAGAUGAGGGUGACUCAGAAUAGAAUGUGUUGAGAAGAGAAGUAAAAAGAGACUUACGUUCCCUUCCACAAUCAAUUCCCUUAUAUAACUAAAGCAUUUCUAGACUCCACUUUGACCAGUUUGGCUUGGUAAUCCUAUAGUUAGUCAUCCUCUGAUACCAACACUUUCGGCAGCCCGAUCCUAAGCUAUAAGAAUCUAGCAUGUAACACAUCACAUCACUUCACAGUCUCAUGCACGGUUAUCCCAGGGCUGUCACCAUACCUUUGCCAGGACCGUUUACAUCUUUUGAUUCAUGUAUGUGAAUAUGUUGCUAGCAUUCAAAUGCCAAAUAACCUCGGUCAACAUAACUAGUUAUAAACCCAAGUGACACAUCUGUACAGGGACAUGCAUACAUAACCCAACAAUGCUGGUGUUUGUCAGUAAAUGUGUGUAGAUGAGUCGUAGAAAGCUACAUGGACUCCAUUACACCGUGUGACAUUUCCCCGAGGGACCAACACAUCAGCAAAGAAGGAUACAUGCCGGUGAAUAAAUGUGCCCGAAGCAAUAGCAAGCUACCAAAGCUCAGUGGAAGCACAAAGAGGAAUUUCCCCGUAAAGAGUACUACUAAAGGCACACAACUAGGUGUCGAAUCCCAUACAUAACGUUGCACAUCACACGUACGCACGACAUGCCCCAUAUGCAUAGAUACAAAAAUGGCAUCACAACAUAUCCAUACAAGAUCACAACAUUUAAUUAGAAGGCUCAGAAGAGCCUUGCAAAAUAGGUUCAUACACAUAGGGUGUCGGAAUUGGGGCUCUGCAGACCCAGAAAAGGUUCAAACUCUAGGGUACGCUUGCUCUCCAACCUUGUUCUAUAUCUCAUGUUCAAGGCUACUCUCCGGAAGAUCUAGCUAAGGAAGGCGAGCAAGAACUCACGAGCAGUUUACCAAGGUUCAGGCCACCUUACGGUGUGAAACCCUACUCCUGCUUGUCUAGAUUGCUUCAGGUGGAAAACAAGUACAAAGGCGGGUUCUUGCACUAGUCGAGAAUAACCAGGAUGCCGUUCCCAACGCUAGAGAGGUCGGGCCUCUCUUUUAUACUGUCCUUGGUCCUCUUCCCCGAAAACAAAAUUGGUGGCAAGGGUUGCCACAAUGUCCAUUUUGGAAGUGGAUAGGACUGCGGCCGGCGUUGACAAAGGUGGUCUUCGCCGGUAAAAGCCCUUCUCCGUGACGAGCAGGUGGGCUUGGGGUGACCUCUGUCCUGCCGAGCCCCCAGCCUUGGUCCUCUUGCACCGAUAAGGAAUCCUUUGGGAGAUGCUCCGGGAGGGGGGCGCCAGCUGGCUACGCUUCCUUAGCACGAAAGUUGAAAUCCUCCUUGUCCAUAUGUGCUAGCACGGCUCCUACACCGCGUGCGCGACCCACAUCACCCACAAGGAGGCACGGGGUUAUGAGACCCACGUCAGAUCUCUCCUAAUGAGCUCGUCCCGCAAGAGUCUCCAGGGUGGCCCUUGGCGGUGAUACCCAGACACCUCCCUCGCGAUGCAAGGGCCCUCGCGAGGGCCUUCCUUGCCAGGCCUGCUAAUGGAUAGGGUCAGGCUUGUCCAACCGCGUCAUGCCUGGGCCAUGGGCCGACGGGCUUAGGUACCCCCAGUCCUAGGGGCCACACAGUAGCCCCCGGGCAUGUGUUGCGCACGACUCCGCCUCGUGGGAGGGGCAAAGCAAUGUGGGCCCAACUGCCCAUGGGCUAGGCGCAAUGUGUGGCAUCCUACGCGACGUGGGACUCUUCCCGCACCACUUCAGGAACCGCCUAGAGUGGGUUUAUGUAAAGCCCGUGCGCGCCGCUUUCCAUCAUUGCUCUUGACCGGCACCACCCACUUGCACCAUCCUUCCCACGUGAAGUUACCCCUGUGCCUGGAGCAUGCGCGGAGCUGCUGGUUGGGGGAGCGAGGCAACACAAGCCGUAACCAUCCACGGGCCAGUCAGGGCACGUGACGCACGAUGGAGCGCAUGCCGCCUUCACUUCCCACAACUCCUCAGGCGCUCUGGUCAUGGCUAUAAAACCGCAACCCCAAAGGGAGGAGCUGCCUCCACACUGUUUCUUCCUCCUACCUUCUCGUGCCGCUCCGCCAUUCCUGUGUGAUGUCGCCUUGUUCCUCCUGAGCCAUCGUUGCCCCUGCUGCGACAGCGCUGGGCCUCUAGUGAUGAGAAAGUACACCGUUGUCGUUGCUUCUUCUUACAUGCCUUGUCCGUCCCAUCGAAUCUGAUCACUGACUUUCGAGGGCGCCGACACCCCAAAGGCGCCGGGUUGGAUCGCUAGGAUCAUCCUCCCGUGCGCCGCCUCCUAGGGAGGCCUCCUCCUUUGUUGUUCACGUGGCAAGGCCCAAGGGGCCCACACCCUCCUCAGGUGCGAUUGUACGACCCUGGGAGCGUGCAGUCCAAUCUGUCACACGAGCCCCAAGGACAUGUUGGCACGAGGCGAACCUGAAACUAUGGGAGGUGGCGCUCGUCGGGCGAGAGGAGGACAUGGCUCUUCGCAAGCGGGAGGCCACCCGGACCGCCUACGAUCAAUAGGCGGAGAGAGAGCACCUUCAGACCCUAGAGAGGCGCGUGCUUGCAGACAAGGCCGCCUUCGUUGCGAUGCGUGAGGAAGCCCUAGAAGAAGUGGAAGCAAGGGUGGCCCGAGAGCAAGUGGCUGCCCUCGAGGAAUAUAACGAUGAGCUCGCCCGGCAGGAGAACCGCGUUCAGCUCAGGUGCGACACGCUCCAUGGGGAAGUAGGCACACUCAGGGACCAUCUAUUGGACGCUAAGGUCGCUCUCCAGGCCGCCCUUAGGUGCGACGAGGGCUCUAAAGAGGAGCUAGACAAACUUGAUGCCCAAAUCGAAGAAGCUGAUGACGUCGUGCAGACGGCCAAGGAUGACACGACACAUGCGCGGAUGAUGGAGGCGCAACGUGCCAAUCAGUUCUUGGAGCUCGCACGCCACUCGAAUGGUGCGCUCCGUCGCUUUGUCAAGGACGCCCCGCUGCGGCCUAGCGCAUGGCGACGGGGGCUACCUCGAUUUAUUCCUCAAGGUGGUGGAGGCGCUGGAGUCAGGUGCCACCAAGGUGGACGAAGACAUCGAGUCCAGCGCGCACGACCUCGUCGAUGGCGCACUAACACAUGUCUUCUCCAACUUCGCCGCCACAUGGAGUCCCUGGUUGGGUGGUUCGUCCAAGUGGUGCCUCCCGAAGGGAGCGAAAGUCCUGGCGCCGGGGCCUCCGGGGGCCACGACAAGGACAAGGCCUCCUCAGCCUAGGGUUUUCUUACACUUUCCUGUUGCAUCAAGAAUCACUCUCCCCUGAAAAUGGGGUCAAACAUUAUGCAAUAUACCUUGGGAUAUCACCUUCAAAAGGAUAUGGAUGGCGACUCCAGCCACCCAUCAUCUUGGAUGGCGGCUCUAUGGCGAUCUGGGAUUUUAGCAGUUGUGCUCAAUUUCUCUACUGAUUAUCUUCUCCAGCGAUGUCUCCUACAUCCGGGCACACCCACCUCAGUGUGUUCUGGUACUGGCUCCACCCUCGAUCUGGAUUUCUCUCCUGGUGUGGUUUUUACGAAUGAUGUGUUUCGGCAUUCUGGUCUUUCUCUGCAUCCUAUGGAUCAUUGGCGUUACUUUAUCAUGGUGGUCUCCUUUAACAGACAUGUUUUCUGUUUCACUGGUGAUUUUGUUGCUGCCGCAUUAGAAUUGGCGAUCGGCGGUUCAGCUAUUGAUAUUAUGGUGGAAUGCAUCAAGGACAAGGUUUUUUCUUUCAGGGUUUCAUGCAAACAAGUUGGUUUUCAUAUUCUUGAUAUGCGUUCUUUCUCAUGCCCUAGUUUCAAGUUCUAUUUUCACCUUUGGUUUAAUGGUGGCCCAAAUUGGUGGCGUGAGUUCAAGCAAUGGAAAAAGAAAUGUGACACAGAAUGGAUAUUGGUUAGACCUUCCAAGAGGUGUUCUGCUUUAGGUCUGAUGGCCAUGCAUUCCAGAGCACAAAAAUAUUCCAUCAAAUCUGGUCCUUCGGUCCAUAAGAAAUUAUCAUUUGCAACUUUUCAGCAAUAUGAUAUUUGUAAAGGUUAUCGCAGCCCCGUAUGGCAGAACGUGCUAAUUUGUUUUCAAUAUGGUGGUUAUGCUCUACCAACUCAUGAGCGUGUUGUCAUUCAUCCCUCGCCGCUGCCGGAACUUUGGUGGAUGGUAGCCUCGCCCCACAUUACUUUCGGAACGGUGCAACAAUCUACGCCGAUUUCUCCGGUUCUUUCUAUUUCGGAGGUUUCCUUGAGCGGGAAUCGAGGAACUUCAAAUUCCCAGGAUCAAUAUUCAGAUCCACCAUCAAUUCUGGCAGACCAUUCUCUUCGGCUUGCCUUCAAUCAACGCCCUCCUCAUGGGCAUCUGGAGUUCAAUAUUGAUCGUGGGCCUCAAAUCCCUUCUUCUCAGGAAGCCUAGGAUGCUUUUGAUAAUAUGGUAGAUGACAUGGUCACUAGAGUACUGACGUGUACCAUUUGCUCCUGUACGCACACCUGCCUUCUAACUGCCCAUCUUGGGAGUUUGCUUCUCUUGCUACCGGGUGGGCCACACCAAAUUUGGGUGUGCCUCUUCUGCUCUCGAACAUGGGCUUAUUUGGAAACGAAAGAGUCCCUCCCCGAUUUUGGAUCUUUCGGGAACUACUGCCUGCGUUGAAACCAUGCAAGUUGCAAUGUCGCCCCGUCCUGUCCCAUCGCAUUCAAUCUCUCUAGGCCCUCCAUUAGAGCCAUCGCCAUUAACACCACCGCCUCUGGCAUCACCACCUCCAGUAUCCUCAUGUAUGAUGGCCAACUUUGAGUUCGACCUGGUGCACUAUGUCCCUGCUGGUCACCAAAUCAUCGACGAUGGUCCCCAUUGUCUUCCUCGGACUUUUGCCCCCCCCCCCCGGCCGCUGGCCUGAGCAAUAUUUGGUGGCGAAAGUGAUGCGUGCGCUGCCAGCAAAUCAUAUUGGUCAGGUACGACAACAAGUUGUCGAGCUCCUCAACAAUCGGGAUUUUCAUGUUUGCUCCGCUCAGCAUUGGAUUUUGGGUGUGGGUCUUUUUGACCUAAGAGAUGUUGGGGAGAGAUUUUCUGUUGUCCAGUUGGUUCCACAGGAUUUAGGGAACGACUCUUAUGUCUGUAUCAUGAAGCACAAUGAAGGAGAGGGUUUUCAUGCCAAUGAUGGUUUUCGUCAGGGAUGUCUCAUGUCUCUAGGAGUUCCAUUUGAUUUGCGCAACACGGAAGACUUGAGGGCUGCGGUUAACACCUUUGGUGAAUUCUACCAUUGGUUCAGCGAUGAUCCAUAUUUAGUGAGAUCUAUGGUUUUUGCUUCAUUCCUGGAUGGUGCUCUGGUGCCCCGCAAUGUCACCUUCUCUGAAUAUACUGGAUGGGGGAGCACGGGUUUCUUGGACGACAACUCUCUAUAUACUUGGUGCCAAUUUUGCUAUGAAGAUGCCACAAGAUGAAGACCCCAUGCCCUUGGACGUAAAUCCACAUCCACUACCGGCUAAUCUGGUACGUGAUAAUCUAAUGUUUUCCCUGGCUCCCUACCCUGCUCUUGGGUGGAAUGAUGCCCCACUACCACCAAUUCCAGAACAUCAAGGCGAGCUACAAGACUAGCAUGAUGCUAAUGUGUGGGGGGGGAUGCUGAGGAACCAGCUGCUCAACCGCAGGAACCAGUACAGGAUCAAGAAGCCAUGUUUAUAGACCAGCCAAGCUCCUUUGGCUCUAUUUAGGUCGUUGAUGUCAUCCACCAGGAGGUUGAUCAAAAUGAUGUGCAGGUAGAUCAGCACCCACAUCCUGAGAUCAACCCACUUGCCAUUGUACCCUAUCAGCAACCUAUUUUGCAUCAUGUCAAUCCGAUAAUUGGUUUGGUCAGGGUGGUUUAUGGGCCACCUUUGCGUGCAGUUAUGGCCUAGAGAAGGACUUUAGAGAUGCUGAUGGAUGUACUAUGUGCCCCGCGAUCCCUAGGCCACUUGCGCUUGUGCUUGGUGAGAGUUUGGUGCUUUCCAAACUGUCCUGGUCGAUUGCAUUUGAUGAGGUCAACUCGGUCUCUAAGAUGGUUUGUUUGGUGGACAAUAGUAUUGUGCCGCUAGUGGUGACCAAAGCCCGUCCUAUAGCAAGAGCUCUUUUCAAUGAUGUUUCUGAUGCAUGUGUGGACAAUUCGGCCACUAUUGCCACUGUUGUUGAGCAAUUUUCUUUCUCCGCCCCGUUAGCAAGGAGGGGAGCUCCGAAGAAGAAGGAAACACCUAUUGUUGACUCCUCUGUUCGCAGGUGCACCCGUAGCGCUUGCAACCGCCACCACCCAAGAAGAGGAAGCCCAGAUCCAAGCCAUUGGUGGAAGCGCUCGCAAGCCACAAUGAGAAUGAUCAAUCUACACAUGACCAGCACAAUGAGGAGGUCCCACCUACCACACCUAUCCCAGUGAUUCAAACUAUGGGCCAAAGCUUGCGCAUUGCACGUGAAAAGCUAAUGACACAACUUCUUAUGGAAUAUCCUACUGGCUCCUCCAAGGAUAAUUCUAAUGACUAGAAUGAAUGUGUUUCUUUUGGUCUGGAGGGACCCCCUGUUGGUCCGCUUCAAUAAUUGCUUUGGCCCUAAACUUGUUCUGGUAGCUGUUAUUUUGGGUCUCUUCCGAUGGUGAACUUAAGACUUUAUUGGUGCCACUUGAUGUGUGACUUUGCUUUUUAUGCUUUAUCUCAUUUUCGUAUGGAUAGUCGGUCUACUAGAAGCUGGCGUGUCCUCUGCUGGAAUGUGAGAGGCCUCAACUCUGACGCGCAUUAGAGGAUGGUUAGUAAAAAGUUGAUGAAAGUCUAGCCUCUGUAGUCUGCCUUCAGGAAACAAAAAUGCAGCACAUUGACCAUAGAUGCAUUCGUAAUUUCUGCCCUAAACGCUUCGAUUGUUUUGUGUAUUGCCCUUCUUUUGGGGCCUCAGGUAGGAUCAUUGUUCUACAUAAUUCAUUUUUUCUAAAUGUUGUGUUAGUAGACUCUCAACGAUUUGAUAUGAUCAUCAACAUCACCUCAUAGCACAACAAUGAGCAAUGUACAUUGGUUAAUGUGUAUGGGUCGUGCCAGGAUGAAGACAAGGACCUCUUUGUUAGCUGGCUAUACAAUCUAGAUAUACCUAUGGAUAAAAACUGGUUGAUGCUUGGAGAUUUUAAUUUCAUUAGGUCUCCCACAAAUAGAGACCUUCCUGGAGCUGCUCUUAAUGAUAUUUUCAUUUUCAAUGAAAUCAUUGGUCACCUUUGUCUCCUAGAGUUACCUCUUAAAGGAAGAUCAUAUCCAUGGUCUAACAUGUAGGAUAACCCUCUUCUUGAGCAAUUGGAUUGGUUCCUCGUCUUAGCUAACUCGAUUUCUUGCUAUCCUCUUACUCAAGUGAUGUCUUAUCCAAAACUGCAUUAGAUCAUGUGCCCUGUGUGGUCACCAUAAACACGACAAUCCCUAAGAGUAACCUUUUUCGUUUUGUGAACUACUAGGUUGAGCUUGAUGGUUUUAUGGAAUGUGCGCAAACAUCUUGGAAGGUUCCCUCCAGGAAAAGCCGCAUAACUGCAAUAGUCAUGGAUAAAUUUAAAUCUCUGAGACAUGCUCUAAAGAGAUGGCAGACUAGUUUGUCAAAAAUAAAAACAAUGAUAGGCAAGUGCAACCAGGUGAUUUGAUUCUGGAUAACCUUAAGGAACUAAGGCAUGUUUUCAAGCCUGAGAUAAACUUCAGGGGGAUUGAUAAGCUGCAUUUGGAACAUCUGCUGCAUUUGCAGUUUCUUUAGUGGAAGAAGAGGGCACUAUUAGGAAUAUCAAAGUGGGGAAAGAAAAUACCAAAUUCUUUCAUGCCAUGGCCACUGAAAGAUACAGAAGGAAUUCAGUUUCCUCCCUGCAGCUUGAAGAUGGAACAUUGAGUUCUGAUCAUCAUCAAAUUGCUGGUGGUAUUUGGUCAAUCUUCAACGCGAGGAUGGGGUAGUCACAAGGAAUUAACCUUGCUUUUGACCUACAUUCUCUGUUGUUAGGGUGGAUAACUUGGAUGAUCUUACAUUGCCCUUCACCAAAGAGGAGAUGGAUAGGUCUGUUAAGGAGAUGCCCACUAACAAGGCUCCAGGACCUGAUGGUUUUAAUGGUUUGUUCUUCAAGAAGUGUUGCCACAUCAUGUGUUGGGAUUUUUACACACUUGCUGAGGUUUUUCAUGCUAUGUCUGCUUUGUUGGAAAAUAUGAAUUGUUAACAAGGGACCCCGAGAGCAGGUUGGGGACUUUAGGCCAAUCUCAUUAACAAGGAUGUGUCUGAAAUUUCUGUCAAGAUGACAGCGAGUAAAUUCUAGCUACAAAUCAUGAAUUGCAUCCAUAAUAAUCAAUAUGGUUUUAUCAAAUCUAGAACAAUUCAAGAUUUUGUUGCUUGGACUCUAGAAUACCAGCAUCAGUGCCACGAGUCAAAAAGGCCCAUUGUCAUCAUCAAGCUGGAUUUUGAGAAAGCAUUUGAUUCCUUUGAGCAUGAGUUAAUCUUUCAAAUUUUAAAACACAUGGGUUUUAAUGAAAAAUGAAUCCUUUGGGUCAAGCAGCUACUAUCUUCAGGUUCCUCCUCAGUGUUACUCAAAGGAGUCCCUGGGAAAAAAAAUUGUGCAAAAAGGGUGUGAGGCAGGGUGAUCCUAUGUUACCCUUGCUUUUUUGCUAUUGCUUCAGAUUUUCUACAAACUCUAGUUAAAGAUAUGUUGAGCACGGGUAAGAUUGAGCUUCCAAUCCCUUGUAAUGACAAGGACUUCCCAAUUGUACAAUAUGUUGAUGACACCCUUAUUAUCAUGCCUGCUGUGGAGUCUCAACUUCUGGAAUUAAAAUCCAUGCUGCUAAAGCUCUCUCAGUCCACUCAGCUUCACAUCAAUUACCAUAAAUCUGCUAUGAUGUGAAUUAAUGUAAGCCAAGAUAAGUUGAAGAGACUGGUUACCUCUGUUGGAUGCAAAGCUGGUACCUUGUGUUUCACCUAUUUGGGUCUGCCUGUUGGCACAACCAAGCCAAGAAUUGUUGAUUUAAUGCGUGUAGUGGAUAAUAUGGAAAGGAGACUCUUUGCAAGCUCUUCAUUCCUGGCUCAAGGCGUUAGACAGCAAUAUCUGAAUUCGGCAUUGUCCUGAGUCCCAAUAUUUUUUCUAUAUAGAUUGGACAUACCCCUAGGUAUUCUCAAGCAAUUGGAGAGAAUUCAAAGGCAGUUCCAAAUGAGAACUAAUGGACAAGAUUAGGCUCCAACACUUGCUGCUUGGAAUUUGGUGUGCAGACGAAAAACAAAGGGCGGGCUUGGCAUCCUCAAUCUAGCUGUGCAAAAUGAUGCUUUGCUGCUCAAGCAUGCUGACAAGUUCUUUAAUAAGGCAGAUGUGCCAUGGGUUAAUCUAAUAUGGAACACAUAUUACCAUGACAGAGUGCCACAAGGUACAACCUUGUGUGGAUCUUUUGGUGGAAAGAUGUCUGCAAGAGGCUAGAUAGUUUCAGAGUUGUCACCUUCAAACAGCCAAACAAAGCAGACACUUUCCUUUUUUGUUCAGAUUCUUGGAUUGUGGGAAAUUCAAUAACACCCUUGGCACACAGGUUUUAGAGAUUGUUCUAUUUUGCAAUUGAUGGUUACUCCACAGUUGAGGAGGUUUUCCUCCUUUCUGAGGAAAAUGACAUGACCAACUUGUUCCGUUUUCCACUUUUUGAAAGAGAUUUUGAGGAGUUGAAAACUAUGCACAGCCUAACUCAGAAUUUGCACAGAGAUCAGUUUGUGAAUGAUGUCUGGUUAUUGAGUGAAGAUGGCAAAGGGUACUCAGCCAAAAAAAAUUACAUGCAUGUUCACAAACCAAUCUCUCCCAAUCCUUUGCUCAACUCGAUCUGGAAGAGUAGUUGUACCAUGAAGAUCAAGGUUUUUGCAUGGAUGCUGAUCAUGGACAGGUUGAAUACCCAAGACAUGCUGGAGACACGACACUGGAACGUUUUUGAGUCUAAUCUAUGUGUUCUAUGCCAUGCAAGGAUUAAAGAAGACAGGGAUCAUCUAUUCUUCACUUGCAUGUUCAACACCAGAGUGUGGAACUACCUAAAAUUAAUUAGCAGGGGGACUCAAUGUGGGAUAUUUCCUUAGGUGCAAGCAGGGAUUUUCAAAAACCUUUCUUCACUGAAGUGGUUUUCAGUGCUUUUGGAACUCUGGACUACAAGGAAUGGAAGAGUCUUCACCAAUGAGCGCCCUAGAUUCACCAAAUGGAAGGAAAACUUUGUACAUGGAAUCUCCUUACUAGCUCAUAGAAUUAAGGCUAGUUAAAGUGGGUUUCAUUCUUACCCCCUUGAGGUUAGUUCUGACAGUCUUUCUUUUUUCUAGUAGACUAGUCCUAUACAUUGUAAUCUACGUUAUGGAAUAAAAUAAAAGGUUGUGGGGUGUUUUGCCCUACAGUAGUCGGUCAAAAGACAUAUAACUUUGUCUUGAGUAGUGGUUGCAUGUUACCUUUGUGUGUCUUUGUUCCCUCUGCAAGGUCCUUCGUUGCCCUUCGCGCAUUCCAUGUGUCCCAGCCGGGGGGUCCCGUGGUGUAACGCCCUGUGUUUAGCUUUCCUAACUAAUUAACUUAUUUCAAAAAUUAGGACGAAUUAAAUUUUUUUUUUUAGAAUGCUUGAGAUGCUUGAAGUGACUAUUGUUUGCUUACUUGCUUAAAUGCUUGUGUUUGCUUCUCAGCAAUUUCUAUUACUCUCUAGACUCACCUCCUUAUCCCAUGUUCUCCUGCCUAAUGAUCAUGCCAUGUGUUUAGGACCAUAAACUAUUUCUACCAAAUAUUAUUUUCACCAAAAUGCAUUUCUUUGAUUUAAGUCUUCAAAACCCGUGAGGUGAGGUUUGUACUACAAGUCGUCAAAUUAGGGAAUUCAUUUUGCACCAAUUACUUUAUUUAAAACCUAUUAUGAAAAUGUCUUCCAAAAACCACAAUAUUAUUAUUUAAAAGUUAUUUUAUUAUUUUAUUUAAAUACCAUUCUGUGAAGCCAAAAAUGGACUCUUAUGAAGGAAAGUUAUUUUUAUUUCUUUCUAAAUAUUUGAGAAAAAUUAGGGACACUCAGUGGGUAUAUUUAUUCCAUAUAUAUGAGUUUCAACACAUGGUCAUGUUCAAAAUAUUGGGCAAACCCCUCCAAAACCCUUCCUGCCUAUUUCAAUCUUUUGGAGUAUUCCUAUGAGAAAUAUUCUCAAUAAAUUCCAGUAAAAUUUCAGCAUAUCACCUAUGAUAUAUUUGAUUAUAUUGCCAAGUUUCAUCUAAAUCCAAGUUGAUUUGAUUCCCCUAAUUAUUAUAAAACCCUAUCUGUUCAGAUCCAAUUUUGAGCAACUCCUCAUUGUCAAGUAUCUCCAAUUGUGCUCAAAUUUGGUGGACAUGUUCUGAUACUCCAAAAAUGCAUCCAGACCAAGUGGUGCAUCAAGGAGAAUAGAAGAACUUGUCCCAAGCCCAUCAAAACCUCUCUGUUGAUUUCCGACUUUGGAAAACUUUACAUUCUAAAGUUUCUCCAAUUGACACCAAACUUUUUGUGCAUGGCUUAAUUCUCAAAUAAUGCCCCACACCAAAUAUUGGAUUUGUGGGAAUUGAUUUGAAUGGAAUUGUAAGCAGAAAGCCUUUUCUGCCCAUUUCAUGGGUUUUCCAAGUCUACAUUGGAAACCUUCUCCACCAAAUCCCUAAUUUGGUGUCCAAGCUUAUUUUCAUCUAUUAUUAGAUCAUGUUAAGUUUCAUAUCCAUUGAAGUCCAUCUGAUGGCUCUUCCACUCAUCGAACACCUUGUGUGCAUUCACAUUAAUGGCUACUUUGGACCCUUCCACUUUAACCCUUGAGCUCAACUUUCUACCACAGCUUCACAUAGUUACAUUUUACCUCCAAUAACAUUUCCAUGGCCACUAGUCAAUUAAUGGAGAGAGGCUCCGUGUAACUACUCCUCAUUUUACCCUUGGAAUCACCAUCUUUACCCUCUUGCCUCACUUCUACCUAAGCCAAAGGCCCCACCUCUUUCGAGAGGGUCCCUAGCAACCCAAAGCAUUGUUUAAGGCCAAUAGAUGGCAUGCUCAUGUGGAUAAAAUGAGCAACACAUCCUCAAUUUGAAUUGUGGCUGAAAUAUAGCUUUGUACAAGAAGUACUAGCUACACUGCCUUGCUUGAGCUGAAACUUUGCAGGAAUGUAGUCCUUCCAUGCCUAAGACUGUUAGACAUGCUUUCCCCCCUUUAUCUCUGAGGAAAUUGCCUCCCCAUUAGCCCUAAGUUUGCUGAUGCAAACUUAACCUCAGUCAACAACCAUUCUAAUCAACUCCACUAGAGACCAAACUACUCACUCAUCUUCCAAAUAGCAUGCCCCACCUCCUAGACAACUUUGACUGGUCAUUAGGGCCCAGUAGGCACAGGUGGCCGUGGUGACCACCACCCGGGGGGGGGGGGUGACCUGCAAACUGGGUGCUCUACACCUUGUUUUCUCCUUCCAGACCUCAUCCGAUCAUUGCCACGUGUCUCAGCGCGCCAGGACGCUCCCCUUGACCGGUCCAAGCCCUCGCCAAUGCCAGGAUGCAGCCAAGGUGGCUCAGGCACGCGUGGCCGCCGUGCCCACACAGCACCAGGGAGCAUCCGGGAUAUUUCUCGUCUCCCCCUCCUUUUGAGACUUCCCCGAGCCCUUGCUGCCUCAUAUCUUAUUCCCUCCCUUCCUAGCAACCUCUCGAACCUCCCCACUCCCCCUCUCGAGCUCUCUGUCACUUCAAUGGCCGUUGAAUNCGCCACCAACGUGUCAGGCCAUCCCUUCUCUGUCGGGCAUGCGGGAGCACGCGAGGAGGAGGAAGUGCCUACCAGUGGGGCCGGCGACCCCACUGUUCAGUCUCUAGGACGUCGGCCGGGCCAUUGGCCAGGAUAAGUGAAGACAGUUCCCUCAUGUAAGCUUCCCCGCGCUAGAGGUGUAAUCCCCGAAGUACGCCUUCGGCGAGUCCUUCGCUAGCAGCCCGAGCUGCUGGGCCGGCCUGAAGGCCUAUCUAACGCCUUGGGCACAUGAUAGCUCCUAGAGUUGAAGCCUUUUUUGAUUUUCUCUUUUUGUAGAACUUCAAAAAUCCAUUCAAAAAUCAUUCUAACUCCAAAUUGUUUGAUUCAAACUCCUGCAGGUUCCUAAAAUUCAGGGCUAUCCAAAUAUGUGCCUUGCACAUUUUUCCAAGCAACCUUUCUAUGGUGUUAUUAUUUUAAUCCAAAUCUGAAUAUAUUUGGCCCCACUUUGUGAAAAUCCUAAAGGGUUCAAAGCAACUCCAAAUGGAGUGAUUCCAAUUUCUAGAGCCUUCUAAUAUCAUGCCCUAUUUUUAGAGCUUUGGUUAACAUUUUUAUCAGGCUUUAUUCUGUUAUAUUAAAUAAAUAGCUUCCUAUUGCUAUUUAUUCCAUUUCAACUCCAAAUCCAGUGAAACAACUUCCAAAAUAUUUCUAAAGUUGUUCUCUGUUAAAUGAGUGGCUCCACUCGUUUUUAUCGUAGUAUUUUGUGUGGGCUUCACAAAGAAUCCCCUACUCCUCCUUUCCUCCAUUCAGAAAUCCCUGACAAUCCAAACCUUCUAUGGCAAGCUUCAGGUAUUUUUCUUAUGACCAGAGAGGUACAAGAAAAAUAUAACGUUUAUUUAUGUAGCACUUUUGUUUCUGCCUGCUGUGUGGCUUACCGUGGUUGUUUCCGGCGAUAGUUGAUGGGUAGAAGGAGUACUCAGAGUUGGAGCGGAAGACCUCGAAGACCCCGAGGACUUAUGUGAGCAAAGGCAAGCAGCCCUUUGACCAUGACUGAGCAUAUGUUAUAUUGCAUGUUAAGAUAACAAGUAUUUCCGUUGCAUAUGAUCAUAAGUGCCGGUAAAUCACUAAGGUGAUGUUACCGAUGGCUCCUCCGGAACACAUGCAUUGAGCUUGAUCCUACCCCCUUUUGAGGAUCAUGCUAGUAUCAUGUUGACAAGUAAUGCUAGAAUAAAAAGAAUGAGCAUGUUGUUGGUAUAAUCAAAGAUUUAUGAAAACCCUGUCGGGUGCCACUAAUGCCCGAGGGUGAUGAUGAGUUAGGUGGUCACUUUUGGUGAAGUGGUGCACCGGGUAUUUUGAGUGAGUAUGGUUUCGGAAAUGGGAUUAGAUUUAUGAUGUGUCGGUCGUCCCAACCUUACCAGUACAACCACGUUACCCCUUAUGGGACGGGGCUAUGUUGAUUACUCUGGUCGGUGCUAGCAAAGAGCCACAUUACUAGUGGCGGGAGUGAUGUCUGGUCACUCUCGUGAAGGGAUCGUGCCAGGUAGGACGACUAUGCCAUUUUUAUGAGUUCCACGCACACCGUUGGUCCCCGCAUGGUUGAUACUGUCCAGAGUCGGUGCUCGUAAGACGUACAACAUGUGGGUUGUGUACCAAUCGAGUGGACCUCUUUGUCUAGUAUCGUCAGGGGAAAAGCAUUGAUCGGGUACUUACCUCGGGUAUGUUAUAUACCGCGAGUCGUGGAUUACACAGAAGUUUCCCGGAUCCCGUCGGUCCAGCGUACUACCUCUGCAGAGUGUAAAACUAUUCGAAUAGCCGUGUUCAUGGUCAAGGACAGUUGGGUAAUCCUGCUUAAACUACGUCCAGUCAUUUCCGCAUAAACCAAGUGUGAGGGUGUUGUGAUGAAAGGAUUUGUUAUGAAAGUAACGAUAUGACCAAGUUUUGUGACUUGGCAUAUAGGGUGAACCCAAAUGGUUCAGCCCGUGAUAGAUAUAUUGAUAUAUGUAACAUGUUCUUCAAAAGUUGUUCUUAACUUAUGAUGCGUACCUGUGAUCAUGUUUAUUUACCACCAAGAGAUAUCCACCAAAGAAGCAUGUUAUUGUUAUCCUUAACUUGCAUUGUUCAUAUCAUGGGUUGUUUGCUAGUACAAUCAAAAGUACUCAUUGGCUUGCCACUGGUUAUUUCAUUGACGAGGUAUAAAAGAACAUAAUAUGGUGAAGAGUAACUCGGUGACGUUCUUGCAAGCUAGGACGCUUCCGAGUCAGAAUGCCUAUAGGUUAAGGCUGAUGGCAUGGGUUCACGCUUUCAACAAAUAAUUCCGCUAUUGGUCAAGUUUGGUGUGUUGGCUCUCAAGGCCCUAUAUAUGUAUGACUUGACCUAUAAGGUCAUUUAUUGUAUCAAUUGGUAUGUAUGGAUGUAAGACUCUUAAUAUUCAGUAUCUGUGUGUUCGGUGAGCAUUGAUCUUUGGGAUCACUGAGCACGUUCACUCGGCGAUCUCGACUCGUAAGUUGGUGUCCCCACAGAGCUGUUAUCAGAGCCAUCCUGACUGUAGGAAGCCCUUAGUUAGCAUGGACGUUAGUUAUGAUAAAAACUAAUUUCCAGACCCUUCAAAAGUAUUUGCAAAACCUCUAUCUUUAUCACCUCUCGUAAACAUUUCCAAAGAAGCAAGGUUAUUGCCUUAACACUUUCAAAUGUAUUCUCUGACACUCCUCGUCUACAUCUUCAAACCUGCAAAUAGUCGCUAGCACCCUUAUGCCUGACCACGGGAUUACUAAAUCCUCUUGGGUAACUUGAGAGGAAGCAAUCCUUCCAAGCGACCAUACAUGUACUGAAGGACCAGGGUGACAAGCUACGACCAGACGACACCUAAAGAAGGACCUCCAUAAGGAACAAGGACAAAGAGACCCAGAAGAUGGCGACACCCUUGACACUGUUCCAGGGUAAUGCCACCUUCACUUACGAUAAUAAAGACAUAAUAUGUGCAAUACCAUGAUUGCAUCGCUAAUAGAGCGACCCUGCCAACAUUAAGGAUUAUGUCGGCCACCACCGGUGGAUGAGAACCUCGCCAUUUGGUCUGUCUCACCUUAGUGAGCAGGAAAACAGUUCUCUUCAUCCCCCGCUCUAGGUGUCGAUAUCGCGGCCAGUAUGACUCGCAGGUCGGAACUCUAUCAUGCCUUGCAAAUGUCAUUGCACGAAGUUGUCCACUUGUGACUCUCGAAGCCUCAGAAGACAAGAAGACCAUGACAAGAUCACAAAGACAAUAGAAGACUCUGUCAAUGAAAGCCAUGGAGAACCACCUUCGUCAGCGACUCCCCAGACAAGAAGACCUCAAGAGCUCUUUCCAACUCAACCGAGUUGCUUCGAUGAGAAACAACAAGAGACGUGGAAACACCAUGAGGAGGUCCAGAAGACUUAGCGAACUCCUCCUCGGAGCACGAAGCAAGCUCGACUGUCGAGUCCGAGAACCCCUAGAGUAGGAAGCGUCGUAAAUCCCCUAUGCUAAGUCGAUUCCGUGAAAUGGUUCGGAUGGACCAUAUUGUGUGUUGUUGUUUUUGUUGUUUGUGCUAUGCUGUAAGUCACACUUUUGCUUAAGAAACAAGCAUGCGGUUAUAUCACCUAUCUUAUUUUGAUGUUCGAAAUGAUUUGGCACUUGUGGAGUUGACUUUCCAACACUUGUUUGAUUGCACUAAAACCCUUAGACACUUCACUCUAUGCUACUCCCUCUCCUUCACCCUCUCGACAACUGAAGUCAGCAAGACAAGAUGGACCAAGGAUCCACUUCGAAGGACGACUGACACUAAAGACACUGGCUGUGCUAUGCUAAACCACAUGCAACCCAUAGUAAUUAUGCUUUUCCCUCAAGAUUGGAAAACCACACUAGACCAGACUAACUUCCACAAGCCUUUCUGGAUCAAAUUUUCUGGUCACAUGUCUAGUACACUGAUUUGCCAGAACACCUGUAGAUCCCCGAUAAACCCCGCGUGGCACCGGGUUCCUUGUGGGACGAGUGAUCACAGUGAACAAGUAUCCUUGCUUCUUAAGCUAGCACAUAACCCUCAUGCUAUAAGUAGGACCGUUCUCUGAUAUAAGAGUAUUAGACUAAGGAUUGUUGUGAUGAUGGUAGUUGUCUUGAAGAUAUAGCUAGAUUAUCUUGGUGGAUCAUAAGACCCUCAUAAAGUAGGUGAAUUUGGUGGAACAAGUUGAUAUAGUAGCAUAACCUACAUAUUCCUGGAGUACGUUUGGAUUCAGUAGGACGAUUUUGAUCGCGAACAAUAAUUCGUGGUGGUAUAAUUCACUUUAUCAAGUAACUAACAUGGUUUGAUGAUUUUACCAUAAUGACUUGGAGUAUCGAGCAAGAGUUCUUAUUGGACUUGAGUUGGGAUUAAAUAGGUAGUUCCAUUAGACUAUUAAUGAUAUACGAGGCCACAUGGUUUGGAGUAAAUUGGAUUUAGCCUGAUGAUCUUAAUCAUGAUACCAUGUUUCUCGGUGGAUAACAGGUGCGUACGCUUGGAGUUGUCGAAUUGGUUUUCGAGCCUAUGUGAACUGGCCUGGGAGAUUAGAUGGCCAUGAUAUUGAAGUUGGUGGUUAUACUAUAACGUAAUCCUUGCAAUAACAUGCGAAUUAUGAGGACUCUAAGAGAUUAUGUAGAGCCCAUAAAUUUUGGAUUUGUAGGAGUGAUGGGUCCAGUCAUGAUUGAUCAGAUUGAUGAAUCACUUGAUCGGAUUCGUAGAAAGGAAACAAGAUAUUGGAUUGGUAUACUAUGUGUUUCCUUAAUCUAGUAAUGCAUUACCCUGUCCACUGAAUGAUCUAGCCGGACAUUUGGAUUUGUGAUGUCUUAAAUUCAAUCUUAGGAGUUUGUAUGCCUCCCUGAGGUUCUUGCAUAGUAAUACAUGUGCAUUGUAGCUACACCGUACUUGUAGUGUUUGGGUUUAGUUCUUCCCUCAACCCCGGAGUUGACUAGCAUGAGCAGUGUGGAGUUGACCCAUGUGAGAUGGUAUCUUUGAUGAAAUAGGGUGAUGUCGUCCCGAGUUAGAGGUCGAACUAUUGGCAUAUAAGGAAUGUGCUUAGAGAUAAGAUGAUAACUGUUUGCCCACAUCCUAAGUUCCUUGAGACCCUAAAAGCUUCACCCAUCGCGUCUAUGACGAGCAUUGGCAUGAAGGACUAGGUCGUGUUGGACCACAACGAGGAAGAAGCAGAAGACGUCAACCGACAACAACAACGAUGUCAAGAAGCCUAGACGAUUCAAGACGAUGAAGCCCUUGGACAUCGAGAGAAAUCAGAGGGCCUCUCCUUGGUCCAAAUCAAGGACGAGAGUACUAGUUGGGUCGUUGUGAAAACCUGCCAAAGGUGAUUCACCUGCUCGCCGAGCCGCAGACCUUCGGAGUGGGCGACUGGUCUAUACUCUUUGGUAGCCAGCUCAUCCAGAACCCCUCGCAAACCCUCCGAGAUGGCAGGACCUGUUCUGGACUCUGAGUCUCCGAGCUUAGACUCAUUGGUGAGACCCAACCCGGACCCUUUCGCGAGAAGCCUUCGAAGACAGCUGCAACACCCUCAAGGAUGAAGAUCACCUACGACCAUAGCUCGUCUGCCUUAAGGGAGUCAAUGACUUCCUCAAGAGCAGGGAUCCAUGCGAAGGCCUUGACCCUUAUGUUCUAACGCGAGACAUCUAGAUGUCACUAACCGGCAUGAGAAGCCCCGGGACCAGAACCCAGGCACACUAUCUUGCCACGUAACCUGACUUUGGAGUGCACUUGCAAGCGAGAACCUUGCAUGGAAUUAGCUCACCAAGCCCUUGACAUCAGUCAAGCGUAACUUAUUGCCAGACCCCGCUCACGAUCAGGAAAGGUCGUGCACAACAUCUGAAGUUGUAUCAUUAAGCACCUCAAGACCAGAACAACAACAUGGGGACAUUAAGACUGCCUCCAACUCAAGAUUUUGUAUCUCUCCAAACCCUAGCCUAGAAAUCUUGGGGACGAGAUUUUCUUAAGGGGGUGAGGUCUGUAACACCCUCUGUUUAGCUUUCUUGACUAAUUAACUUAUUUGAAAAAUUAGGACCAAUUAAUGUUUUUUGAGAAUGCUUGAGAUGCUUGAAGUGACUAUUGUGUUCUUACUUGCUUGAAUGCUUGUGUUUGCUUCUCAACAAUUUCUAUUACUCUCCAGAGUCACCUCCUUAUCCCAUGUUCUCCUGCCUAACGAUCAUGCCAUGUGUUUAGGACCAUAAACUAUUUCUACCAAAUAUUAUUUUCACCAAAAUCCAUUUCUUUGAUUUAAGGCUUCAAAACCCCUGAGGUGAGGUUUGUGCUAAAAGUCCUCAAAUUAGGGAAUUCCUUUUGCACCAAUUAUUUUAUUUAAAACCUAUUAUCAAAAUGUCUUCCAAAAAUCACAAUAUUAUUAUUUNAUAUUAUUAUUUAAAAGUUAUUUUAUUAUUUUAUUUAAAUGCCUUUCUGUGAAGCUAGAAAUGGUCUCUUAUGAAGGAAAGUUAUUUUUAUUGCUUUCUAAAUAUUUGUGAAAAUUUAGGGAAACUCACUGGGUAUAUUUAUUCCAUAUCUAUGAGUUUCAACACAUUGUCAUGUUCAAAAUAUUGGGCAAACCCCUCCAAAACCCUUCGUGCCUAUUUCAAUCUUUUGGAGUAUUCCUAUAAGAAAUAUUCUCAAUAAAUUCCAGUAAAAUUUAAGCAUAUCACCUACGAUAUGUUUCAUGAUCUUGUCAAGUUUCAUCUCAAUCCAAGUUGAUUUGACUCCCCUAAUUAUUCUAAAACCAUAUCUGUUCAGAUCCAAAUUUGAGCAACUCCUCAUUUUCAAGUAUCCCCAAUUGUGCUCAAAUUUGGUAGACAUGUUUUGAUACUCCAAUAAUGCAUCCACACCAAGUGGUGCAUCAAGGAGAAUAGAAGAACUUGUCCCGAGCCCAUCAAAACCUCUGUGUUGAUUUCUGACUUUGGAAAACAUUACAUUAUAAAGUUUCUGCAAUUGAACCCAAACUUUUUGUGCAUGCCUUAAUUGUCAAAUAAUGCCCCACACCAAAUAUUGGAUUUGUGGGAAUUGAUUUGAAUGGAAUUGUAAGCAGAAAGCCUUUUCUGCCCAUUUCAUGGGUUUUCCAAGUCUACAUUGGAAACCUUCUCCACCAAAUCCCAAAUUUGGUGUCCAAGCUUAUUCUCAUCUAUUAUUAGAUCCUGUUAAGUUUCAUACCAAUUGAAGUCCAUUUGAUGGUUGUCCCACUCAUCAAACACCUUGUGUGCGUUCACUUUAAUGGCUAAUUUGGCCCCUUCCACUUUAACCCUUGAGCUCAACUUUCUACCACAGCUUCACAUAGUUACAUUUUACCUCCAAUAACAUUUCCAUGGCCACUGGUCAAUUAAUAGAGAGAGGCUCCAUGUAACUACUCCUCAUUUUACCCUUGGAAUCACCAUCUUUACCCUCUUGCCUCACUUCUGCCUAAGCCAAAGGCCCCACCUCGUUCCAGAGGGUCCCUAGCAACCCAAAGCAUUUUUUAAAGCCAAUAGAUGGCAUCCUCAUGUGGAGAAAAUGAGCAGCACAUCCUCAAGUUUAAUUGUGGCUGAAAUAUAGCUUUGUAUAGCAAGUACUAGCUACACUUCCUUGCUUGAGCUGAAACUUUGCAGGAAUGUAGUCCUUCCAUGCCUAAGACUGCUAGACAUGCUUUUUCCCCUUUAUCUCUCAGGUAAUUGCCUCCCCAUUAGCCCUAAGUUUGCUGCUACAAACUUAACCUCAGUCAACAACCAUUCUAAUCAACUCCAGUAGAGACCAAACUCCUCACACAUCUUCCAGAUAGAAUGCCCCACCUCCCAGACAACUUUGACUGGUCAUUAGGGCCCAGUAGGCACAGGUGGCCGUGGUGACCACCACCCUGACCUGCAAACCGGGUGCUCUGCACCUUGUUUUCUCCCUCCAGACCUCAUCCGACCGUUGCCGUGUGUCUCAGCGCGCCAGGAUGCUCCCCUUGUCCGGUCCAAGCCCUCCCCGACGCCAGGAUGCAGCCAAGGUGGCUCAGGCCCACAGAGCACCAGGGAGCAUCCGGGAUAUUUCUCAUCUAUCCCCUCCUUUUGAGCCUUCCCUAAGCCCUUGCUGCCUCACAUCUUAUUCCCACUCUUCCUAGCAAUCUCCCGAACCUCCCCAAUCCCCAUCUCGAGCUCUCCUUCACUUCAAUGGCCGUUGAAUGCCGCCUCGGCCUCACCAAAGUUCCGGCUCUCCUGAGCCCCUUCCCUCUGUUCGGCAACCCUGUGGUGUCCCCCUCGUUCCCCCGAAGACCCCCUCCACCUAGANCCCACUGGUCAGUCUCUAGGACGUUGGCCGGGCCCAUUGGCCAGGAUAAGUGGAGACGGUUCCCUCGUGUACGCUUCCCCGCGCCAGAGGCGCAAUCCCCGAAGUACGCCUUCGGCGAUUCAUUUCGCUAGCAGCCCGAGCUGCUGGGCCGGCCUGAAGGCCUAUCUAACGCCCUAGGUGCAAGAUAGCUGCUGAAGUUGAAGCCUUUUCUGAUUUUCUCUUUUUGUAGAACUUCAAAAAUCCAUCCAGAAAUCAUUCUAACUCCAAAUUGUUUGAUUCAAACUCCUGCAGGUUCCUAAAAUUCAGGGCUAUCCAAAUAUGUGCCUUGCACGGUUUUCCAAGCAACCUUUCUGUGGUGUUAUUAUUUUAAUCCAAAUAUGAAUAUAUUUGGCCCUACUUUGUGAAAAUCCUAAAGGGUUCAAAUCAACUCCAAAUGGAGUGAUUCCAAUUUCUAUAGCCCUAUUUUUAGAGCCUUGGUUAACAUUUUUAUCAGGCUUCAUUCUGUUGUAUUAAAUAAAUAGCUUCCUAUUGCUAUUUAUUUCAUAUUAGAAAAUUCCUAGAAUAUUUAUUUCAACUCCAAAUCCAGUGAAACAACUUCCAAAAUAUUUCUAUAGUUGUUCUGUGUUAAAUGAGUGCCUCCACUCAUUUUUAUCAUAGUAUUUUCUUUGGGCUUCACAUAGAAUCCCCUACUCCUCCUUUCCUCCAUUCAGAAAUCCCUGAUGGUCCAAACCUUCUAUGGCAAGCUUCAGGUAUUUUUCUUAUGACCAGAGAGGGGGGGGGGGGCUUCUAUUUAUGUAGCACUUUUGUUUCUUCCUGUUGUGUGGCUUACCGUUGUUGUUUCCGGCGAUAGUUGACGGGUAGACGGAGUACUCAGAGUUGGAGCGGAAGACCUCGAAGACCCCGAGGACUUAUGUGAGCAAAGGCAAGCAUCCCUUUGACCAUGACUGAGCAUAUGUUAUAUUACAUGGUAAGAUCAAGUAUUUCCAUUGCAUAUGAUCAUAAGUGCCGGUAAAUCACAAAGGUGAUGUUACUGAUGGCUCCUCCGGAGCACAUGCAUUGAGCUUGGUCCUACCCCCUUUUGUGGAUCAUGCUAGUAUCAUGUUGACAAGUAAUUCUAGAAUAAAAAGCAAGAGCAUGUUGUUGGUAUAAUCAAAGAUUUAUGAAAACCCCAUCGAGUGCCACUAAUGCCCGAGGGUGAUGAUGAAUUAGGUGGCAACUUUUGGUGAAGUGGUGCAUCGGGUAUUUUGAGUGAGUAUGGUUUCGGAAAUGGGAUUACAUUUAUGAUGUGUCGACCGUCCCAACCUUACCAGUACGACUACGUUACCCCUUAUGGGACGCGACUAUGUUGAUUACUCUGGUCGGUGCUAGCAAAGAGCCACAUUAUUAGUGGCGGGAGUGAUGUGUGGUCACUCUCAUCAUGGGGUCGUGCCAGGUAGGACGACUAUGCCAUUUUUAUGAGUUCCAGGCACACCGUUGGUCCCCGAAUGGUUGAUAGUGUCCAGAGUCGAUGCUCGUAAGACGUACAACAUGGCGGCUGGGUACCAAUCAAGUGGACCUCUUUGUCUAGUAUCGUGAGGGGAAAAACAUUGAUCGGGUACUUACCUCGGGCAUGUUAUAUACCUCAAGUUGUGGAUGACACGGAAGUAUCCCGGAUCUCGUGGGUCCAUCGUACUACCUCUGCAGAGUGUAAAACUAUUCGAAUAGCCGUGUCCACGGUCAAGGACAGUUGGGUAAUCUUGCAUAAACUACGUCCAACGUUUCCGCGUAAACGAAGUGUGAGUGUGUUGUGAUGAAAGGAGUUAUUAUGAAAGUAACGAUAUGACCAAGUUUGGUGACUUGGCAUAUAGGGUGAACCCGGAUGGUUCAGCCCAUGGCGGAUAUAUUGAUAUCUGUAACCUGUUCUUCAAAAGUAGUUCUUAACUUAUGAUGCAUACCUGUGAUCAUGUUUAUUUACCACCAAGAGAUAUCCACCAAAGAAGCAUGUUAUUGUUAUCCCUCACAUGCAUUAUUCAUAUCAUGGGCUAUUUGUGAGUACAAUCAAAUGUACUCAUUGGCUUGCCACUGGUUAUUUCAUUGACCAGGUAUGAAAGAACAGGAUAUGGUGAAGACUAACUCGGUGACGUUCUUGCAAGCUAGGACGCUUUCCAGUCAGAAUGCCUGUAGGUUAAGGGUGAUGGCAUGGGUUCACGCUUUCGACCAAUAAUUCCACUAUUGGUCCAGUUUGGUGUGUUGGCCCUCAAGUCCCUAUAUAUGUAAGACUUGACUGAUAAGGUCAUUUAUUGUAUCAAUCGGUAUGUAUGGAAGUAAGACUCUUAAUAUUUAGUAUAUGUGUGUUCGGUGAGCAUUGAUCUCUGGGAUCACUCAGCAUGUUCACUCGGCGAUCUCGACUUGUAAGUCGGGGUCCCCAGACGUGGUGUGUGGAUUUUGAGGCCUUCAUCCCUGACGACCGACGAGGCCUCGGGGGAAAUCCCCGAGCGCUUGUGAGUGUUUGCCCUUGCCUAGCCAGGUUGUUGCCUUGCGCUUCCUUGGCCGUCCUUCCCACGAGUCCUUCAGGGCAUCUUCCCACUGCAGCCCCGCGGCGGCGUCUUGAAGCCCUUGAUGACGGUUGCUGGUGAGAGCCUCGUGAGGCUGGUAUCUUCGCGAGGGCCUUGCCCAUGCACCAUGGCAACGGGCCCAUGCCAAGCCUUUGCGUACGCCUCGAGGCCACAAGCCCGCACCCCUGGAUUCUCUCGGCCCUCAUGCCCAACAGCACAACCCAUGGACGUGCAUUGGGUGCGCUUCAUCCGAUGGCGGAAUUGGGAGCGGCGCGGGCCCUCCAUGCUGAAGAACCAAGCGUGACAUAUGGAGCGCGGCAGGCGCUAAGCGCUACCGUUUCCCAUGUCGCCUCGAUACCUGUCCUGCGCUGACAUAGAGCCUACGCGCGGCACAGGCCCAUCAUUGCCCCUAUUAACCUUCCGCCUAUGGAAUGUAGGUGCGGCGGCGUAGACCAAAUUCUCGCUCGAAGGAUCCAUAUAAGGUCAAGAGGGAGGGAUCUCGUACCCCUACCUCCUCGCCCUUCCUCUUCAUCCCCGCUCAUCGUCGCCGCGGUGAUGGCGCCAGCGAAGGUAUCCUCCGACGUCAAGAAGGAGACAUCAACGAAGAGGAAGGGUCCGCCCUCGCGCAUCCGUUGCCCCACUCGAGGCACCUCUCAGAUUACGCGGAUGACCUCUGCCAGCGGGCCAUGGCAGCCUGAGCACCCGCAGGAGGGAUUCCGCUCGCGGGGACGACGGACGGGGCGACCGCAAACGUGCCAGCAGGGCGGCGCAGGCACCUGCCCCCUAGGUUGUGAAGUCACACUGCCGACGUGGCCUGCGAGUUCAUCGUAUGGAUGGAAGACAUGGCUCGCACUUGGCUUCGGCUCUCGGACUUUUUCACGGAGGAGAUGAGGGAGCUUGCACCCCCAGGCCUCUAGCUGCAGUGAGACGGCUGCUGCAACAGGCCCACCUGGGUGGCGACAGAGUUCAACUCCCUCGGCUUCAUGUUUUUGGGGCGCAGAUGGAAAUUGUUUGCCCUCGCCCAUGUCUUGUAGGACGGGCACAUCCUCCACUUCAAGUUUGACGGGGCCGCCAUGCUCUCCAUGAAGGUCUUCGGAAGCGCUGACGAUUGCCUGGACUACUACAUGGAAUGUGGCUGUGGCGACAGCAGUAGCCCUGCCGGCACCGGCGACAUCUCCUCCUUUAUCGGGAGUGGGGGCAACUGCAACUCUGGUAGUCCCCGGGAGCCCACGUCAAGGAGGAGGAGGGCUCCGACUAAGCGUGCACGACGCCGACAUCGAGGUCCCCGACAACGGUGCUUCAAGGUCCCUAUCUUAUUUCUUUCAUCGUCAUCCCUUUCCUGUAACGCAACAUGCUGGCCUAAUGGGGCAUGUAAGAGGGGUUACGUCCUUCAUACUUCAAAUCCAAUUUUAUUUUUGAUCGAAAAUAAACUUCUCCUCGGCACUCUUCGCCAAGCUUGGACCGUGUAGAAGGUCAUCCCGAUGCUUUGGGUUGUUGAGGCCCAUCCCUCGAGCAUGGGUAUGAAAUAUCUUCAAACGGCCCCUCAGGGGUUCGUCUUCCUCACGCAGGCGGCUGAUGCGAGGGGCUGUUGCUUGUGGCGCUCGCCUCGCGAGGACCCUCAAGGGGAGUCCCGCGAGGGGCUGUAGCGACCGGUUUUUCAGAAAUACAAUUUCCAGAAAACAGGCCCUUGAGUUGAUCAGCCCCCAGGGCUACUGUUAGCUGGUGAACACUAACUUUAUCCAGAUAUUCCAAGCAAAUAAAAAUUUAGGUACAAGACCAUGAAGAUCUAUGAGGGGAGGUUGGACAAAAAGGUCUAGAGGCUGACGGCGUUAGCGACUCAUGGAAUCCCGAGUGCUCGUGGGCUCCAUUUCCGCACGAACAACUGACCUGGAUAAUUUCUAUUUCACAAGGCUGCUGUCCUUGACUCUCAAGUUCUGGGGUUGCUAUCAUCGUGCUCCUCUCCAAAUAUGCGAUUUGGCGAAGACAAUAGCCAGGGACAAGCUUGUGAGUACUUUGAAUGUACUCGCAAACAUCUAGAAUACAUAUAACUAAAAGAAGGUGGGAUGUAUGCACACAAAUUUUAAUACCACCUGAUAUGCCACAAGAUUAAAUUCAUGGGUGCAGUUAUGCACUUAAAUCAUUUGUACAAAUGACGUAUAAGCAUGCAAGGAAAAGGGGAAAUAGUUAAUUUAGAGGUGUCGAACGGGUGUGUUAGGAGACACCUCGUGAGGACGCGCACUAUAAGCAAAUAUGCGAUUUGGCGAAGACAAUAGCCAGGGACAAGCUUGUGAGUACUUUGAAUGUACUCGCAAACAUCUAGAAUACAUAUAACUAAAAGAAGGUGGGAUGUAUGCACACAAAUUUUAAUACCACCUGAUAUGCCACAAGAUUAAAUUCAUGGGUGCAGUUAUGCACUUAAAUCAUUUGUACAAAUGACGUAUAAGCAUGCAAGGAAAAGGGGAAAUAGUUAAUUUAGAGGUGUCGAACGGGUGUGUUAGGAGACACCUCGUGAUGACGCGCACUAUAAGCCACAAUCGAGCGUUUGGGCGACACUUCAUAGAGGGCUUACAAUGGGAUAAUGAAAGGUGUACCGUAGUUGGCCAUUUGGGGCAAGGGCACAAAAAUGGCUUAUAACAUAUAAUAAUGAUGAAAUGCGUACUAACAUGCGUGCCACAAUCGGGCGUCUAAGCGACACCAGAUAAAGGGCUUAUAUGAAAGUACUAACAGUUUCCACAGUCGGGCGUCUACGCAACACCAUGGAAAGGGCUUUGAUGAAAGAACAGACGGUUGCCACAAUCGGGCGUCUAAGCGACACCACAAAAAAGGGCUUAUAUGAAAGUACUAACAGUUGCCACAGUUGUGCGUCUAAGAGACACAACAUAAAGGGCUUACAUGAAAAUAAUAACAUUGAGUAUCUGGGAGGUAGAACUAUCCCAAGGAUACACAAUAAUUCAUAUACCAGAAGUAAUUAGUCCGAAACAAAAUUCAUAAUAAUUAUGGUUCUCAUCCCGGUUCAUGAUCAUCAUCAUGUUUCAAUUUAUUCCUCCGAAGACUGACACUUAGACCGAGACUUGACCUGUCAACCUAUCGUCUUUAACCGUUGAUGCAGCUACUCGAAUAGUUUUUUACACUACAAAGGAUGUACUCUUUACCCACAACCAACGGGUUUCAAUAGUCACUAGGACUAAUCCUCUGUACCGUAUUUUAGAAGUAACCACUCAAAUCCUGCACACACCCAUUUUUACCCAGCGAGGUCCGGAAUCACCCAGACUAUGCUUCCAGGGAAAAACAAUAAGACGGGGAGGCCAGCAACCUCGAAUAGCAUGGGAUCAAAUUUAUACGGCAUGCUCCAAGGUGAGGGCCCUACCCUCUUUGUCCUACAUCAGAAACACCCAUGCCCCCUGAUCGGAUGACUGGCAUUAUUCCAGGGCCAUGGAACCUUCAUUCUGCCCCUACUUGGUGUGCACAUGGUAAUAGGAUUACGACCUACUAAGUCAUAUUAACUUUCAGGAAGACCUGUGGCAGCACAAAAAGUAAGGUGACGCACUAACAAAAGUGGAUCUACAGUCGACUCAGAAGGUUUAAGUUUUCCUGCGAGGGUUAACAACACACAAUUUUUUGAAUGAUAUAACAUAGUGUUAGCACCAUCACACCUCGAUAUCCCCUCACUGAUCACUCUUGUCACAAUGAGAUGUCAGUUCCAUGGUCACAUAUUUAGCACGGCAAACCUUACUCCAAGGUUGUCCAGACCAGCAUGGCAUACGUGGCAUGAGGUAGUACCCACUCACCAUCUGCAUCACAUACUCAAUAGCAAGAAAAUAUCCAUCACAUCCAUUUAUGCAAAGCAUGAUUCUGUGUGGGAGCUCUUAUCAAAGUAACGCAGUCGUGCAUCCAUACAUCGGAACAAGCAAUCACACAAAUUAAGGCAAAAUCAGAGUUCAAGAUCUUACCCUGGGAAUGAAGAAGGGUGGUGUGCAACCCAAAAAUCUUGAAGGAGUUAUCAUCGCCCUAAUUUGCUACUUUGAAAAUAUUCAAUUUAACACACAAUUCUAAAACAGCACAUAAAAGUUGUUUGAUCUUUUGAAAUAUAUAUGAAAAUAAACUAGGUGGAGUUAGGGAAAAAAUAGAAAAAGAAUCAACUCAUUUGGAGUUGUGUUUUAAAAGUUAUGAGCAGUAUAAGCUCUAAUCAAAAUCUGGUUUUAAAAUAAAGUAUAAAAGAAAACAUUUCAGUAGGAAAUACACUUUCGAAAUAGAGAGAUGCACUUCGGGGCAUGGCUUUCCUGAAGAGAAAAUGCACCAAGGGUUUCUGCGCCAGCAGGGCUGGGGCUGGCUCAUCGAUAGGUGGAACCCACCUAUGGUGUUCGUCUCCCUCCUCUCAUGUGCACGACAGGGCUGAUGUUGACGGUGAUUGCCGGUGCUAGGGGCAGCAUUUCUAGGGCGGGGCACACCAGCGUACUCUGGGGAAGGGGCUAGUUUUCUAGAGGGUGCAGGGGUUGCCGGAGAGCUCGGGAGUGAGCACCACUUCAACCAUGGUGGUCGGAUGGUUUCGGCGAUCAUAGCUCCGCCUGUGGAUUGCCGCCCAUGGAAAUGGGCAUGGGGAUGGGUUCUAGGGUCGAGGGCAAAGUUACAGGGGCUAGGGUGGGUUGGUUGAGGCUCGGGUUCGCCGGAAUUCAACCGUACGUUGGCGGCGGUGAAACAGCCGGUGGCGAGCACGGUGGAUGGCUCCGACCAAAUUGGAGCAAGGGGGAGAUGGCAAUGGGUCUAGGGGGUCACUGGGUUGCUUUGGGUGCACGGGUCCUCCUUUUAUAGCCACACAGUGGCAGUUCUGCGCCGGCCCAAGGAUAAGAUCACGGGCGACCAAUUCUGGCGAUGACACGGGAGGUAGGGCUAGUCUGGCGGGGCUGAGAGUUAGUAGACUGAUGUAGUAGUGGUCCAUGGGGUUAGCUGGCAUGUGGGGAAGGCUUGGGAAGUGUUGGCCACUGCAUCGGCAGAAGCGGACGCCGACUAACCAUGAGGGUUGUUGUGGCAGCUGUUAGCCACUGCAACGGUAGAAGCGGACGCCGGAUUGUCGCGAGGGUUGCCGUGGUUGCUGCUUUGAGCAUCCAAACUGCGGUGAAGCUCUAACGGGGUCACAAUUGGGCUGGCUAACGGGAAGGUUGGGGCGGGCCUCAAGGAUCCAUUAGGUCUUCCAAAUAAUACAAACUGGUUGCUGGAGGUGGUGGCAACUCCACAUCUUACCGAGGUUCAUUGAGCAACUGACGUGCGGUUGACAACUAGAUCAAAGGUGAUUUGAUCGAUCAGUGCCUCUUGCGCUCUCAAAUCGCGCACAACCGGUACUAAAGCAGGGCCUUCCUCAAGGUCUUCACUGGCAACUUGGGUCGGGCUACCAUAGCCUUCACGACUAGGAUAGUAGCAGAACAGUCGGCUAUUCAUCCACGGUGACAAAUGUCGCAGAUGGACUAUAGCUUCUCGGGCUGCAAGCUGACAGGCUUGGGGUUCAUUGCCGGCUGCUCUACUAGUAAAAUGGCAAGGGCAUUCAAGUGAGGAACUCCCGCCAUAGAUGUGCAUCAUGGACCAAAAGCUGACGGAUAGCAUCUCGAGGCUCAUCAUGGACCAAAAACAUGGCGGUUUGAGGUUGGCAAGGAUGACUACAAAGUCUCCAUGCUCGGAUGCAGUGGUCUUGUUGAAAACAACUCGGCCAAGCAUCUUGUUCAUCUAGGGUUAUUGGGGUGAGUUCAAGGUCGUGGUUUGCUAGGUUGAGUCAAGGCUCUCGUUUAUAAGCUAAGGAGUUUUCCAUCGCAUGCUAGGGGAUGCGACAACUCCAGUGUCGGUCAUAGAUACACAACUUCCGGGCUGGGCUGACAGGUUGGGCACCGACUCUAAAAAGGUGUCAUAUGGCCACUGUGGUUGGCUGUUGCGUAGGCUAGGCUGGCUUGUGGAUGCAUAAAUACCCGGUCUAGGGAUGGCGACCUAGCUAAGAUAGGUUUAGCCAAUGGUCAGCCUGGCUCUAAUACCAAUGUUCUAGCGACCGGUUUUUUGGAAAAACAAUUUUCAGAAAAUAGGCCCUUGAGUUCAUCAGCCCCAGGACUACUCUUAGCUGGUGAACACUCACUUUAUACUGAUAUACGAAGCAAAUACAGAAUUUGGGUACAAGACCAUGAAGGUCUAUGAGGGGAGGUUGGACAAAAAUGUCUAGAGACUGACGGCGGAAGCGACUCGUGGAAUCUCCAGUGUUCAUGGGCUCCGUUGCCACAAGAACAGUUGACCUGGAUACUUCCUAUCUCACAUGGAUACUAUCCUCAACUCUCAGGUUCCGAGGUUACUAUCAUCGUGCUCCUCUCCAGAUAUGCGAUCUGGACAAGACAAUAGCCAAGGACAAGUUAGUGAGUACUUUGAAUGUACUCGCAAACAUCAACAAGACACAUAAGUAAAAGCAGGUGAGAUGCAUGCACACACAUUUUAAUACCACCUGAUAUGCCACAAGAUUAAAUUCGUGGGUUCAGUUAUGUAGUUAAAUAAUUUCUACUCAUGACGUAUAAUAAAGCCCCCCCCCCCCCAUAGCUAAUUUAAAGGUGUCAAACGGGCGUCGAAGGCAACACCUCGUAAGCACACACAUUAUAAGCCACAAUCGAGCAUCUGGGCGAGACCGCAUAGAGGGCUUACAAUGAGAUAAUGACAUGUGUGUGGUAGUUGGGCAAUUGGGACGACUCCACAAAAAGGGCUUAUGACAUAUAAUAAUGAUGAACAUAAUUACAUGCAUGUUACAAUCGGGCAUCUAAGAGACAGCACAUAAAGAGCUUAUAUAAAAGUACUAGCAGUUUCCACACUCGGGCGUCUACGUAAUACCAUGGAAAGAGUUUUAUUGGAAGUACUAACAAUUGCCAUAGUCGAGCGUUGUUCGGGCUGGGCACACCAACGUGAUCAAGGGGAAGGGGUUCGUCUUCUAGAGGGUGUUGGGGUUGCUGGAGAGCUCGGGACUGAGCACGACUUCAACCAGGCGGAUGGAUGCCUUCGGCAAUCAUAGCUCCACCUGCGGCUUGCCACCUAUGGAAAUGGGCAUGGGGAUGGGUUGUAGUGUCGUGGGCAAACAUACCGGGGCUAUGGUCGGUUGGUUCAGUCUAGGGUUCGUCGGAAUUCGGCCGGACAUUGGCGGCGGUGAAACUGCCGGAGGCGAGCAAGGAAGGUGGCUCCGACCAAAUUGGAGCUAGGGGGAGAUGGCUGCAGGUCUAGGGUGUUGGUGGGUUACUGGGUGUUCUCGGGGCCUCCCUUUAUAGCCAGGCAGUGGUGGUUCCGUUGCGGCCCGAGGAUAAGAUCGCCGACGCAAAUUCUGGCGAUGGCCGGGGAGGUAGGGCUAGUUUGGUGGGGUUUGGAGUUACCAGACUGAUGCAACAGUGGUCCAGGGGGUUAGCUCGCGCAUGGGGAAGGCUUGGGGGAUGCUGGCCACUCUUGCGUUAGAAGCAGAAGCCGGCUAGCCACCAGGGUUGCGGUGGCUGAUGCUCUGAGCGGUACAGGGUAGUGGCGACACGCGGUCAGCCUGGCAUGCAACAUGUGUGCACUACAGGCGGCCACAUGGGCGGGGGCAGGUGGACGCAGCAACUCGGGGGCAGUGCAUGCAGAACUUGCGCUCUAGCCACACACAGAGCAUGCGCGACACCUAUUCAACAAAAUGCCAGACCCACCUAAGGGAAUUUUCUAACAAUGAAAAUUGGGGGGCUAAGGUUGCUUUAGAUGCUAAAGAUAGUGGUGAGGUUAGUUUGGCAAAAACAAAAACUUGCUAAUGCAAAUUUUGGAGAAAAACAAAUCUGGUCAGAAAAUGUAGGCUGUUAUUCCAUGCACUUAAAAUAAUUCAAUGGAGCUCAACUUCUAGACUUAAGGGUUUGGUAGGGGGAUAUAUAAGUUGAAAAAAUUUAGGGCCAUGUGAGCAAGAUAAAAUAGGGCUGUUGUUCAAAAUGCGAAUCCGGUCAAUAAUGGAAAUGAGGAAGUGCUGCAUGAAUUUUUGAAAGGACAACCAUGAGAUUUUGCAUAAAAGUGAAUCAUAAAUAUCCCUUGACAUCUCCAAUUUUUUGUGGAAUUUUUAAAUAAUUUUAUGAAACGGUUGUAGUGCAAAGGAGGCUCUCAAAAUGAUGAAAAUAUCUUUAAAAGGAAUUAAUUGUCAAAAAAAUUAUUAUAAAAUUGUCUCCCUUAAAUUAGUAAAAUGGAAGGAAACAAUUUCAAACAAUUACUCAAGCACACAAUGAUCUUCAAAAGUGCUACUUGGAGAGAAAAGUUCUUGGGAAGAGGCUUUGAAAUGAGCAAAGAGGCAAUUUAUUUUUCAAAUUUUUUAUUCCAUGCAAUUUUUUAAUCAGUAAAAAAGUGAUUAAAUUUUUGGGGUGUGACAUGGUCGCCAUGUCUUGAUGGUGCGCGCUUGUCCACUUGCGUGUGGGUGUUGCGUGAAAAGUACAUGCACCAGGUCCUUGAUGAGGUGAUGCAUGUGUGGAUUGUGCCCAUGAGCGAGAACUUGGUUCUAUAGGCUCCCAGCUCUGCCAGGGCAGACCCAGGCCAAGGCACCAUGCCCAGCCUUGCGAGUGCGAGGCCCAGGAUAAACUGGCGGGCACGUGCCACAGGGUCAGUCCCUUGUUGUCUUCGUCGUCCCCUAGGACGCGGUAUGGGGCUUCCGCUGGGUCCGGGCGUGGUAAGAAAAGAGGAAACCAAGGAAAUUCCACAAAACCCACAAGACAAAAACUUUCAUCAAAAAACCCGAGGCUAACUUGUUAGCGAGUCCAAAAAGGGGGGUGUGGCUUGUCGUAUCUAACAUGGGUCAGCCUGGUGGGCUCGUUCAUAGGUUGAAGAAAAAGGCGAAUAAAACGGUUCUCGUAUGCAUCACGGGUCAACCUAGAAAGAAAAGCGAUUGCUGUAUCCAGCAUGGGUCAACCUAAAAAAAGAGGUGCGACUCGCGAGGCAUCUUCUUCGAUCAUAUUGUUCCACCAGCGGGGAGCAUAGGGACUUCCAAUUGGGUGUGGGCGAGGGCCCUCCACCAAGGCCACGACGCGACUCAUCGUGCGGUUCCACUUAGGAGGCCCCUGGGCGUGUAAAGCCCCAAAACUCAUUAUUCCGUGUGAGUGUAACGGGCGCCGAUAGUUGGGCGGAUACCCUAGGCACAAGGCUUAGGAGUUCCUAACCGAGUCUUCAAGUGCGCUCCUAUGGCCCAAGCAUGAGUGUCGUCCCCGCCAUGCAUAACCCUAGGAGUGCCAUUGCAUGCUCCUAAAGCCCAAUCAUGAGUGCCAUUCACACCCCGCAUAGCCGUAAGAGCACGUUAUCAAGAGAGUCAUCAUGUGAGGUUGCGAGGCGCCCAUCCAGCAGAAGGGCGAGCCGAGUGAUGUCCCCUUCAUCUGUUCGCGAUGGCUUGUCGAGAGGGUGCGAUACUAAGGACCUUGGUGAGAUGGCUAGCACGGGUGGCCAACUCGUGAUCCAAACCUCGGUCACUUAGAUUUCUCGGCGCUGUGAGGACAAGUCCUCCACAGACGCCAUGUGUAAGACCUCACCGUCAAUCCUUCCCUAGGCGGUUGCAGGGGAGCGUCAUCCCCCGGCGCCGUUGGAACACCACAGCUCGAAGUUAAGACAAACUACACCAUCUCCAGUGAAGGUUAUUUGGGUUUGUUACACAUCCAAUAAACGCCCACUCGAGGCGAGACAAAAUACACGGAACUGCCUGGGUCAAGCAUCCCAAUAAGUCACCUGGCGGCCAUGCUGCUGCAGGAGCAUCAGGCCGCUUGACGACGCGUGCUGCCGAGGCCAUCCCUUAUGGAAGGGGAGGGCGACUCGCUCCGGAAGCUUCAACACCUUAGGGGAUGACUCAUGAGUCCUCACGGGCCUGCGGGGUUCGGCGCUUCACGAGGCGUGCACGACCACACCUCUUGCAGCUUGCUAGUCUAUUGAACGAUGAACUCCCGCAUCCUUGGCGCCCUACACCAUGCUUCUAUCAUGUGGCGGAGUUGGCCGAGGUGCGCCACCACAUUGUUUCCAAGUGCCGAUACGUCGUGCCGGCUAAGCCACGCGACUCCUAGCCGGGAGCCCCCAAGCCUGGCCUGAUGAGGGUGUCGGGCGUAGCAUCCUAUGCCCGAGGGAGGUGCACACCGAUCGAAGGCGCGAGGUGCGGGGCGCCGACGCUAGCCACGGCACUCCCUGGCCCGUCGGAGCAAACGGGGCCCGGUGUGAGGCAGUGUAAUCGCAUUUGACAGAUCCGCCUACCCGGCAGUCCUCCGUGUUAUGGGUGUGUGCAUUGUUGUGAGCAUAGAACAUCACGCUGAACCUUCUGGGCGUGCCCCCGCGGUAGCUCGGCGGCGGCCGAGAGCCGGCCACCAGGAUCCGGAGGAACAAGAGCAUGGCGGCGAGCGUACCUCGCUCGGGCCCUUCAAGCUGAGGCCCAAGCGAAUCGUCGCGUUGUGGUGGAGGUGGCUCAUUGGNNNNNNNNNNNNNNNNNNNNNNNNNNNNNNNNNNNNNNNNNNNNNNNNNNNNNNNNGAGCGUCGGCCAUGGGGUCGGUGAAGCUGGAGUGAAACAGGAGAUGAAGAGCGUCUAUGCACCCCUACGUGGCGUGCUAAAUGUUAGAAUCGGGGCUCCGCUGACCCAAAAAAGGUUUGAACUCUAGGGUGCGCUCUGUUUCCAACCUUGUUCUAUCUCUCAACUUCAUGGCUACUCUUCGGCAUCUCUAGCUAAGGAAGGCGAUCAAGAACACACGAGUAGUUUACCCAGGUUCAGGCCACAUUGCGAUGUGAAACCCUACUCCUGCUUGUUUGGAUUGCUUGAGAUGGAAUACGAGUAUAAAUGGGGGUUCUUGCCCUAGUCGAGAAUAACCAGGAUGCCAUCUCCCGCGCUACGGAGGCUGGGCCUCUCUUUUAUACUAGCCUUGGUCCUCUUCCCCGAAAACACAAUUGGCAGGAAGGGUUGCCACAAAGGCAAUUUUGAAAGGGGGCGGGACUGCGGCCUGCCCUGACAAAGGUGGUCUUCGCCUGCAAAAACCAUUCUCCAUGACGCGUUGACGGGCUCGGGGUGACCUCCAUCCUGCCAAGACCCCAGCCUUGGUCCUCUUGCAACAAUCAGGAAACCUUUGGGAGAUGCUCUAGGUGCCCGCCAGCGGGCUACAUUUCUUUAGCAUGAAAGUGGAAAUCCUCCCUGUCCAUGCUUGCUAGCACCAUUCCUGCGCCGCCUGCGCGACCUACGUCACUGUAGGAUCCGAAGUAUGUCUAUAGGUAAUGAUUAGACUACUUGACAUGAUAGAAAACUUAUCUUUUUCCCAAUUUCAGUUGUGCGGUAGUUUUGGCAAUUAUGACUAGUCAAUUUCACCCUACACAUGUAUAACUAAGAGUGCAACAGUGCAAAGUAAAGACAUGCAAAUGUAAUGUAGAGGGUGGGGUAGGAAAAUCAAACGCAAAUGUUGACACAAGAAUUUUUGGUGUGGCUCCGAUAGGUGGUGCUAUUGUACGUCCAUGUUAGUGGAGAUUGCAAUGCACACAGGCUAAUGUUUGUGAGACUCCACGGAGGGCUCCACCCAUAAGGGGUCCACGAAAAAGCGGUCUUGUCUAUUCCGCCAUGGCUUAUGUCCACACAGGACUAGCCUCACUCACGGUAGAACUUCCCGAACUAGGCGCUCUCCUUGCCCUUACAAACUUCUUGGUUCAACACAACAACACGAAGUAGGAGGUUCCCAAGCAACACCUAACCAAUCUAGGAGGCACCACCCUCCAAAAGGUAAUGUAUGUGAUAGAACGAUGGACUCCGUGCUCUUGUUGUUCAAAAAAUAGUCUCCUCAACACUCAAUAACUCUAUCACAGAUUUGGCAUGGGUAGGAGAGAUUGAUUUUGUGGAAAGCAACUUGAGGAGGCUAUAGAUCAAGUUUCAAAUGGUUGGAUUGGAAUCUCUUGAUCUCAACACAUAAGUAGGUGACUCUCUCUUAGAAAAAUGGAUUUGGCAAGUGUAAGUGUGUUCUGAGUGCUUCCUCUUUGAACGAGUGGAGGUGGAUGGGGUAUAUAUAAGCAUCCCCCAAAAUCCAACCAUUACAACACUAUUUCCGAACUCACUGACACCAAAAAGAAUCUCGAUGGUACCGAGUUGCACGAGAGGGGGGGGGGGGGGGGGGGACUAAUAUAUGAAUCUCGUUGGUACUGAUAUGAUGACCUGGACCAGUUUCCAAAUCUCGGUGAGACCUAUUCCAAUCUCGGAAAUUCCGAUUCUUGAAAUUUUCCCAAUGGAAAGUUGGUCACUGAAUCAAGGUGGCACCGAUAUGAAAGUUGGUGGUACCGAGAGAUUAGGGUCUGGCAAAGGAACCGUCUGGUGGAAAAUUGGUAGGGCCGAGUGAAAAAAGUUGGUCGCACCGACUUUGCUGGUUUUCUUUGGAUAGAGACAUUUUGUGGGAGAAUAGUUGAAGAUUUUUGGUGACUACCUCUAAGCACUUGAGCAAUCAAUUCAUCAUAAUACCUCGCCCCUUUUAAUUGUAUUGGCUUUACUAUGGAGUCAAAGUGAUUUCUCAGAAAUGUAGAAUGUAGAGUCUUCUUGCUUGAAGCUUGAGCCGAUCCUAUUCCUUUGCUUCAUCAAGGGGUUUCUCCUCACAAUCCUUUAGACAAGGCGUCUUUGAACUUUUUUGAAGUAUACUUGGAUAAGAUCAUUAGUCCAAUGAUGCAUAUGUUGUGAUCAUUUAUCAAAACCACCUUAGGGAGCAAUUGUGUCACACCCUGUGUUUUACCACUUUGCUACAUUAUGUUUUUGCAAAAUUUGGAACCAAUUUAAACUUUUUGAGUGCUUGUGAUGGUUGUUUUGAUUGCAACAUGCUUGUGUGAUUGAUUGUGUUCUAUGUUACCAAAGUUAUUAUUCUCUCCAAAACUUGCUCUCCUUGAUCCAAACCCUUAACCAAUGACCAUGCCAUGUGUGUAGGACAAUGAACUAUUGUUAUAAAAAUGUUAUCUCAACAGAAGGGCAUUUAUUUAUUUUAGAAGUUUCAAAACCCCUAAAUUGGGAUUUUCACUACAAGUCCCUAAUUUAGGAGGGAUGUUCUACCCCAAAGAUUUUAUUUUGAUUCUAUUAUCAAAAUGAUUUCCCAAAACCACAAAAUAAUUAUUUUAAAUGUUAUUUUCCUAUUUUAUUUAAACACCAUUUUCUUGCGUUGAAAAUAUUUGGGAAAAUAUAGGGAAACUCAAUGGACAUAUAUUUUCCAUAGACAUGAGUUUCAACACAUGGUGAUGUUCAAAAUAUCGGACAAAACCCCUCAAAACCCUUUCUGCCUAUUUCAAGAUUUUGAAAUAUUUCCAAACGAAAUACUCUCAAUAAAUUCCAGGAAAAUUCUACCAAGUCACCUAUGGUAUAGGUGGUGACCCUGCAAAAUUUCAUCUCAAUCCAAGUUGAUUUGGUUCACCUAAGAACCUCAAAACCCUCUCCGUCCAGAGCCAAAUAUGAGCAAUUUCACAUUGCCAAGUUUAUCCAAUUGAUCUCAAAUUUUAUAUAGGUGAUCUAGGCCCCAAAUAAGGAUGCUACACCAAGUUCUAAAUGUGUGGGCUUGAUUUGGUCACCAAAGUAAUCACGAAUAUGAUUCUGUCAAUUCUUGGGUAUUUUCAUGUUUACAUUGCCAACUUUGCUCAAAUGAGCUGACACUUGGUGAACACUCUUGGUUUCUACCACAGUGCAAUACUGUUAGCUUUCACAACAAUUGGGUCAAGGUAACUUGCCCAAGCAAUCAUCAAACACCUUCCACUAGUUUGGUAAAAUUGCUACGUUCACCACCUUUUCUCAUCUCCUUCAUUUCAAUUUUCUACGACAGCUUCUCGUGGUGAUGCUCUCCACCCUAGUAACUAUCCCACGUCCAUAGCUCAAUUAUUGGUGGUGUAAAAACCCCAAUUGCCCUCCUGGACAACAAGAUUUCAUCUCUCUCUCCACUCCUCCCUCUCUCUCUCUGUCGAAUCUCGAGAGCAUCCAAAGCCUUUGCCCACUUGUUUAAUUCCCCCUUGAUCCCCUAGACACGCUUGGCCACGCAAAACUUGUCUUUGGCACGCCUGGUAUGCAAUUCUCUGGAGCGCGGUAUAGUGCCCAGCUGCAUUAUAGCCGCCCUCUGACCGACGCUGCCGACCGCCUAGAGCCACUCCAUAACGAUAGUCGUGGCGUGUGGGCAUCACGACCAUCUCCCCUAUCGCCCCUCCUCUCUCUCUCCAACGGACAUCCCCGACGUGCCCGAGCAUCGCCCAAUUCGGCCAACCACAGGCCUCACGCGCGCAGGUCACCACACUCCCUCUCUUAUCUCCCCUUCGCCCUGAACUGACUGCAUGAACUCCCUAGACACAUUCUAGCUCACCCCUUGCCCCUUGUCCUCGACCUCAAGCUUGCCAGUGCACCAAGCCUUCGGUGCACCGCAACCACUCCUAUUUAAAGGCCCCUAGGCCUCUCUCCUUCCCUUCUUCUCUCACCCAACCCCAAUCGCACCCUUGCAACAGUCCCACUCCACUCCUCCCUCUAUGUGCUCGGAAUUGAGCUCGGCACCCCUUCUUCGGCCACCAUUGAUUCCCCAUGGUAGGAUGCCGCUCUGGCCAUUCUUUCUCUCCCUCUAGAACGACAACUCGAAUCUAAUACCUCCCCCUCUAUUUCCCCGUCGGUUUGCUGCAGGAAACCACUCCCGCGACUCCUUCCCGAAGCUCCUCCGCCGCGGGUGACCGUCGCUGGUGACAUCCUGCACCUCCGGCCUUCCUUCGACCACUAGCAUAAUGACGGUACCAUUCUGAGUCAGUUCCCGCCUCUUGCUUCCCUCGCCAUCACCGAAAUUGUCGCUGGUGAGCUUCCCCUCACCCCUGUCGGGAGGUAGAAGACGACCGCAGGGUGGGACCCGCACGUCAGCCUCUCCUUCCUCUCAUCUCUCUCGCUGGCAGGGCACGCAUGUAGGUUAAAAAUAAACCUACCACGCGCGCAAGCCCUUACACGCGUGGGCUGCUUUAUCUAGGCCGGCCCAGUUGCUAGCGCCUAUGGCCACUCUGAGGCCCCCCUCCCUUUCUUUUUCCCUUUUCCAUUUCUUUAUAUUUUGGAAAAUUUCCACAGAAGCCAAAAUGCAUCCAAACCAUUUAUUCGUUCACCACAAAUAUUGUAAUAUUGUGUAGUAUUUAAUAACAUCACUUGAGUAAUUUUACAGAAACUUUUAUACACUGUUUUAUUUUAGAAUCUAGUUUCAAACAUUUUUACCUUUUGUUAAAAUGUUUUUCACAACUUUUUACACCUCAAAAAUAAAACCUAGGUAUUUUUACAAUACCUACAAUCACCCUAGUAUUUUACAAAAAAGAGUGACAUUUUUCUGAGUAAAUUAUUUUCCCUAUUUGGUGGUGUUCUUAUAUUUGCCCGUUAAUUUUGCAAUGAUAGAUUGCGUUGUUGACGAAGGACUUGGACGAGAAGAUUUUGAAGUCCCCGGAGACUUUGUUGAGCAAGGUAAGCAACCCUUGGACCAUGUCUAGAAAACCAUUUACUUUUGCAUGAGAUGUAGCACUAUAUUUCAUUGCAUUGGAUUCAUGUUGAGUCGGUGACCACCUUGGUGGGUUGUCCCCGAGAACCCCUCGUUGAUACUUGCACGUGAGCAUGACCCUACCACCUAUGAGGGUUGUGAAGGUGGGAAGUAGCUAGGAUGCCAAUAGCCGCUACGCAAAUGGGACGGUAUUAUGCAUGAGACAAACAAAGAAAUGAUUUUUGAGGCUUUUCAAAAACCCCGUCGGGUGACAAAAAUGCCCGAGGGAGAAUGUGUGAGAAUGGGUGACCACUUGAGGAAUAAGUUGCGUACCGAGAAAACUUUUGUGUGAGUGGUUUCGGAAACGGGAUUAGAUUUAAGAUUUGUCGAUCGUCCCAACCUUACAUGUGUAACCAUGAUACCUCUUAUGAGACGGGGCUUUGUUGAUGACUUUGGUCGAUGAUAGCGAGAGUGGAGUGGUCACUCUCAUGACGGGGUCGUGCAAGGUAGGGCGACUAUGAGAUGUUUUCACACGCACCAGGCACAUCAUUGUUCCCAUCAUGGAUGUUACGAUCUAGAGCGAGGCUCGUAUGAUGUACAUCAUGAGGGCUGGGUACCAAUCGAGUGGACUCUUUGUUUAGUGUCACCAAGGGAAAACAUUUCUUGGGUGCUUACCUCGGGUAUGAGACAUACCGCAAGUCGUGGAUGGCACGGAAGUUCCCCGAGUCUCGUGGGUACAACGCGCAACCUCUGCAAAGUGUAAACUAUUCGAAUAGUCGAGUCCAUCCUCAAACACAGUUGGGUAGUGCUACUUAAACUACAUCCAGUUGUUUUUGCAUAAACCAAAUAAGUGUGUGUGUGUGUAAUUAUGUGGAAAAGAUGAUGAUAUGAGAAUGAUGAUACUUGAGCUAGGUCUGACGACUUGGUACGGGAAUUGAACGUGGGACGUUCAACCCCGGCUUAUGAUGAUGAUUAUAGCUUGCUCAUAUGGAUACCUAGAACAAGUUGAUGCACGUUGUACAAGAUUAAUCAUGUCAUUGCACUCAAAAACUAGCUUUCCGCAAAACUUACCUACUUAGUGCUAGAUCAUGAAUUAUUAUUGCCUUGCUCCACAUCAUGGGUUGCUUGUGAGUACAUUCAAAGUACUCAUUGGCUUGCCACUGGUUAUUUAAUUGGCCAGGCAUGGAAGAGUAGGAAUAUGGAGAAUUUUUGGUAGGAGACGAACACGCGAACUAGGACACUUCACAGUCAGCAUGCCUGUAGGUUUAAGGUAGAUAACUCGGGUUCACACUUUCGAUCAAGAUUUUUGUUGCUCGUUAUGUUUGGUGUGUUGACCUUCGAGGCCCUAUCUAUGAUAGACUUGACCUUUAUGGUCUCUAUUUGUAUCUGAGGGUAUGUAUGGACAUAAGAUUCUUGUUAUUCAGUUUCUGUGUCUUUAGUGAGCAUUGAUCUCUGGGAUCACCGUACACGUGCAUUUGGUCACCACGAUAUAUAAGUAGGGGUCCCAAAGAGCUGGUACCAAAGCCAUCCUGGUUGUAGGAAGCCUUCGUUAGCAUGGACGUCAGAUAGGAUAAACCCCUUUUCCCAAACUAUACCUAAUACCUAUACUUAGGAUUUUAUGUACUUCUUACCUCUUCCCAUCUACUUCCAAAAGCAUGCUGACACCCUCCCCUUAAUACUUUGUAGAUGGUCGUCGUACCUAGAGACCUCAUAGCAUCCAACUUUCCCCUACUCCUUGAGUAUAGCCUGGAGAAGUGUGAGUUCCGUCGAUCACCCGUUUUCCUCUACAAUGAGCACUGGGUCGAUGCCAGCACGAAGGAGUACCACAUUGAUGUGGUCGUGAAGGCAAAUGACUACUUGAUGAGUUGGUUCUUUGAAGGACCACAGAUGGAGACCUUGGCACUAGCAAUUGAGACACUUGCACAGAAGGCACCUGUCCACCUUCGAGACAUCAUUCCAGAGAUGGAUGAUGAGUCGGCUACUCACCACUUCCCGUUUAAAAAGGACGAUAGUGGGGAGAGUUGGACAUUGACCCCAUCCCCAGAGGAUGGAAGACCACUAAGAUUCUAGACCUACUUUGGCCUCUCCGCCGACAGUCUAGCUCAUAGCCUGAUUAAGGAGUCUGUGAGGCUCCACGAGGAACUUCACCGCACUCGUGAGCUACUCCGACUGGCCAAGGUGAAACCAGAUAAGAUCAAGAAGGAUGGAGCCCCCGAGGGACGACCAGCUGUCGCAUACCGAGGAGGAGUACCCCAGCCAUAGAUGCACCCACACGACGUCAUUGCAUGAGUGCGAAGGAGUAUUGUGGGCUCUUCAGUAUUCCACCGACAAAGUGUCGUCCGGAUAAACCUCUUCGUCCUCCGACCCCCUCGAUGUUAGACGAUGCCCGUACACACUAUGACUAGGAGGAAGACCCAGAGGAAUGUGACUACAAGACUGAGCAGUCCACCACUUGAAUCCGAGGACCACUAGGGUAGGAUAAGCCAUUCGAAGUCGAGUCUGUGUAAUGGUUCAUAUGAAGUCAUAUGUGCUUAUUGUUUGUUUUACUAUUUAUGUCUUGAUGCAAGUCGCAUUUUUUGCCUUAGGCGACAUGUAAGUGACUACAUCUCCUAUCUUAUCUUAAUGAUAUGCGGUGGGUCUUUUCGACCUUUGUUUGUCACACUUGCACUAUACCAACCCCCUUAGGCGCACAUUUUCUCUUGUUACCUUAUCUUGCAUUUAUCAGUUGUUUGACUGUGUCGCUCCAAAUAGGAUGGUGACUACGACUCACACCAGGACUUUUGCCAACCCUAGCAUCGGCAGCGCUAGCCAGCAGUCGGAGGCUGGUGGGUCUUCUCAAGUUGGAGGUCGCCAGGAGCGGCCACAACAUGACAUUCCCCCGCCACCUCCUCCAAUCGAGAACAUGACCAUAUCUCAGGUCCUCCAAGUUCUUCGGGAGGAGUGCCAAGCUAAUGCUACCCCUAUGCAUCAGUUGGCCCAGACCCUUGUGAAAAACUAUCAGCGGGGCAAGAACGGCAAUGGCUGCUCCACUCUGUUAGAGUUCAUGAGGAGUUUUUCACCAACCAUCACUGAGACUACUGAGCCUUUGGAUGCUGAUGACUGGAUCCACACCAUCGAGGCCCCCCUUCCGUUGGUCACCUUUAAUGAGGAUUGUGAGAAGGUUCUUUAUGCCUCUCACUGCCUCGGAGGUACCGCCAGAUCUUGGUGGGAUGGGUUCAAGGUUAUACAAGGCGACCGUGUUAUCACUUGGACUGAUUUCAAGCAACGGUUCCGCACCAGUCACAUCCCAUCUCAGAUUAUGGCUAUCAAGAAACAUGAAUUUUUAGCGUUUAAGCAAAAAAGUGGCUCUGUCAAGGAAUACCUACAAAAGUUCAACCUUCUAUCGAGGUAUGCAGCUGAAGACGUCAGCACUAAAGUAGCCAAGAUAGAACGCUUCAUGGAAGGGCUCCAGCAAGCCGUGUAGUAUCAACUUGUUGUCUGUGCUGUCGGACCUUCUUCGAGCUGGUGAACAAGGCUCUUAUGCUAGAAGACAAUCAUCGUCCCAUGGAGGACACUAGCAAACUCAAGAUGAUCACCAAGGGCAGCUCCAGCAACCAGAAGCCUCGCCCUUCGCAACCGGCCCCAGCAAAACCAACUUAUCAGCCUCAGCAAGUUAGGCCCCCUGCACCUCGUCCGAGCUACCAGCCUCAGCAGUAUGACAACCCCAGGCUGGCAUACAACAAACCCAACAACAGUGAUUCCAACAACAAGAAUUCAGGACAGGUCACCUUUUUUUGUUGUGGACAGCCUGGGAACUUCUCAAGGUUGUGCCCCAACAAGAAGCCCGAUGCACCACGCACCAAUGCGCCAAAUCAAGGACAAGGCCAUAGAGCGCCACCCAAGAACCCCGCUCCCCGCAACCAUCCCAACUAUGGAAAAUCUCGCGUGAACCACGUCACCACCGAGGAAGCCCAAGAAGCCCGGAUGUUUUUGUGGGUACGUUCCUUGUCAACUCAACCCCAACAACAAUAUUGUUUGAUUGUGGUGCUUCACAUUAUUUUGUUACUUACAAGUUUGCACAAAAGAGUGGCACGGAGACCACACCUUUGGGUAGUCUAGCGAUGGUACAAACCCCGGGUGCGGUAUUAAGGUCGAAUAUAGGCUAUAAAGGAGUUGUGAUUAAUAUCAAUGAUGUAGACUUCCUGGCAGAUCUUAUCAUCGUGAAGUAUGGCAAGAGGGAUGUCACUAUGACCAAUAGACAAGGAGUUGAGUUGGACCAAGUGUCAGUGGUCUGUGAGUACCCGGAUGUCUUUCAUGACAAACUGCACGGAAUACCUCGUUACCGAGACAUCGAGUUCAUUAUUAGGCUAAUGCCCGGAUCAAGACCCAUCUAUAAGUAGCCCUAUAGAAUGGGGUCCAUAGUAUUGGCUUAGUUGAAGAGACAACUCGCUGAGCAGCUCACGAAAAAGAUUUAUCUGCCCUAGUGCCUCUCCUUGGAAAUCUCAUGUUCUAUUUGUGUCCAAGAGGGACGGAACUAUUAGACUCUAUAUUGAUUAUCGUUCCAUCAAUGAAGUCACAAUAAAGAACAAUUAUGCACUCCCCAAGAUUGAAGACAUGUUCGAUCAUUUGAAUCGUGCCAAAGAAUUCUCCAAGAUCGACCUCAGGUCUGGUACUACCAACUGAAGAUUAGACCCAAAGAUAUUCUGAAGACGGCGUUCGUAACCCGGUAUGGCCUGUAUGAGUGCAUGGUCAUGUCAUUUGGGUUAACCAAUGUGCCAACCCACUUCAUGUACCUCAUGAACAAAGUCUUCAUGUAGUAUUUGGACAUGUUUAUCGUUGUCAUCAUCAACGACAUACUUGUCUUCUCCAAGUCUGUAGGAGAACAUGACCAACACUUGAGGAUGGUCCUGGACAAGCUUCAAGAGCACCAACUUUAUGCCAGAUUCAGCAAGUUUGAAUUCUGGCUGCAUGAAGUUCGAUUCUUGGGUCUUGUGACGACAACAUAAGGGUUGCCAGUUGAUCCUACCAAGAUUGAGGCUAUGACGACGUGGCAUUCUCCUACCAAUGUGAAGGAAGUUAGAAGCUUACUCGGAGUCGCGGUAUAUUACUGCAAGUUUGUCGAAGGGUUCUAAAGCAUCGCCGACCAAUGACGCAGCUCUUGAAUAAGGACAAGAAGUUCGAAUGGACGCUAAAGUGUGACGAGUGCUUCCAGGAGCUCAAGAAGAAAUUGACAACGGCCCCAAUUUUGGCUAACCCCGAUACCCGCAAGCAAUUUGUGAUAUAUUCUGACGCAUGAAGGUCCGGGCUUGGCGGUGUCCUGAUACAAGAAGGUAAAUUCGUAGCCUAUCUAUCCAAACACCUACACCCUCACAAAGAGAACUUCCCCACUCAUGAUCUGGAGCUGGCAGCGGUAGUUCAGGCCUUGAAGACAUGGCGACUUUACCUUCUGGGUAAGCGAUGUAAGAUAUACCUACACCACAAGACUUUGAAGUAUAUGUUCACUCAAAAGGAAUUGAACAUGAGGCAUCGAAGAUGGUUUGAGUUGAUCAAAGACUACGACCUAAGCGUUCAAUACCACCACGGAAAGGCCAAUGUGGUGGCUGAUGCCUUGAGUAGAAAGGCUUGUUCCUUGAAUGCUAUGGUCAACGAAAGGCUACCCGCCUUGUAUGAAGAGCUUUAAAGCUUUGGGUUGGAGCUAGUCGCACCAGGACUCCUGGCCAACCUCGAAGCAAUGCCUACAUUAAUGGACGACAUGAAGGAAGCUCAGAAGAGACACGAGAGCAUCGAAGGAAUCAAGAAGAAGAUCCGUAAAGGCAAAGCCCCAGGAUUCUUAGUGGAUGCAUAAGGAGAUGUAUAGUUUGGAAAUCGCAUUUGCGUGCCCAGCAAAGUUGAACUGAAGAACAUGAACUUGCCGCAAGCACACGACACUCCGUAUUCCAUCCACCCUAGAGGAACCUGUCACACCGUGUUUUCACCUUAUUUAAACAGUAGUCUCUUCAAAACUUGAGUUUAUUAAAAAACAUUAAGCAAGUGCUAUGAGUGUCGUGAUUGCCAUUGUAUGUAUGUAUGCUUGAGUGAGUGUAUCCAAAAACAAUAUUUUUAUAACAUGAUAUUUCCAAAAAGAUCCUUUUCUCAUUUUGACUAUUUCAAAACCUUGCUUUGGGUUUGAACUACAAGACCCUCAUCCCAAGCGAGUGCCUUCAUCCAAAGAUUGUAUUCUGAUUUUAGCACUAAUAUAACUCUCCAAAAUCAUAAAAUAAUUACUUUAUAAAAUGUUUUUCUAUUUUAUUUCCAUGUCCUUUUCUGAGGCCGGAAAUGAUAUUUCUGAAUGGAAAAUUAUUUUUUUGCCUUAGAAAAAUCUGAGAAAAAUUGGAAAUACUCACACGACAUAUAUUUUCCAUACAUAAGAUUUUCAACCCCUAUUUAUGUUCAAAUUAUUUGAUCAAAUCCUUGAAAACCUAUUAUGUCUGUUUUGACAUUUUGAAAUAUUUUCAAGAAAUUCUAAGAAAAUUCUAGCAUGCUUCCAAAGCUAUAUUUGGUGGUCAUGCCAAGUUUCACCUCAUUCCAAGAUGGUUUGGUUCACCAAAUAUUCCUAAAACCUUCCCAGUCCAGAAUCAAGUUGUAGCAAGUCUACAUAGCAAAGUUUGUCCAUAUGGCAUGAAACUUUGGAGGAGUGCUCAACACCCCAAAUGAGGAGACCCUGCCAAAAAUUGGAUUUGUGGGGAUUAAUUUACCCACAUUCUCUUUUAAACGGACAAAACUGCCCAUUUGGGGGUGAUUUCAAGUUUGCACUGUCGAACUUGUCCAAUGGAGCUCAACGUUGGUGGAGCAUCCUAGUUUUGCAUAAAACCAAAUCCUCUUAACUUCUGGCAUCAGCGGUGGAGGUUAACUACCCCAAACACAUAUCAAACAACUUCUGCCAGUAUGGUCAAAUAACACUUAACAUCCUCUACACCCACUCCCUCCCAUCAAACUCUCAGUGCACGCUGAGAGCACCACUCCUCAAUUGCAGACGAGUGGCCCCUCUCUGGUUCCAAGAAGGAAAGCCAAAAACCCCAAUUUAGUCUCUGAUUCAAGGCUGACAGCCUCUCUCCAAGCACUUCCUUUGACCAACAAUGAGUCCCUCGGCUCCCAAGCGGCUAAGGGGCAUUUAUGACAACCCCCGAACAUGCCAGAUAGGGCCAAAGCACCGUACAGCGCGCUAGCAUGCCGUGGCAUGCCAAAACAUGCGCUCUGGGCGCGCUACAGUGCGCACCCGAGGCAAAGGAGGCCAGCCCCGGCCGGUUCUCACCUCCCCUAGGUGUCCCUCUGCGUCUUCGACAAACCUCCUGACUUGGGGCAGCCCCAGGGCCCCUUCUCCCCCUCUCUGCUGACCAGGGCGAUGCGUGCCCGCACGCGCCAGAUUCGGCCAGAAGUGCGCGGCCCCGUAGCACGCACACAAUGAGCCUCCUCUCUCUCUCUCGUUGAGUCUCUGGGGUCUCAAACCACGUCCGUGAAACCGUGGUAUCGACCCAGAGCCCUCUCUCCCUCUCUUGCAGCCGCGAUGAAACCACCGGCGCUGCCCGCUUGGUGCAUCAUUGCUAGCCUAUAAAUAGGCCCUCCCCCUUCAAUCCAGCACCUCACACCACUCCUCCAGACCCUCAAUCGAGGCCCUAGCCACUCCAUUCAAGCAGAGAGAGCUCCGGUGCUCGAGGUCGACCGAGGCCCCGCCGCUUUGGAGCUUCGUCAAUCUCGGGCUACAGGCCAGCUCUUGCGCUCCUCUCACCUCCUCCGUGACCGUAGAGAGUUCAGCAAGCCUCCACACCUCUUAGUAGAGCAUUUCCCUGUCCGUAGUACCCAACUCCACCACCACCCGUAUCACCUCCGUCGGGGCCACCUCGUCGCCGGUGACCAAGGGCCUCCCCGUCGUUCAUUCGACAAACAACAGGUAGGCGAUGAUCCCACGGUGCCAUUCCUGCCGUGACCUGGACUCGAGGGCGUCAGAAUCGCCGCCGCCCUGCCUCCCCUCCUCUCUGUACAGAGGAGGAAGACGACCCCGACAGGCAUGCCCCACAUAUCGGUGGCCAGUCUCUCCCCCUCUCUCCUGUCUUUGCCGCUAACCGUAGGGGCCUGUGCGUCACGUUCAAACCUGACGGCGCGCGUGCACCUAGGCUGCUGGCUGGCUAACUAGCCGGUUGGCCAGUUGGGCCGGCCUAGCCAUUGGCCGAGCCAGGACAGGGUUAAGCCAUUUUUCUUUUUCUUUCUAUUUUGAUUCCAAAUUAUUUUUGUAAAGUUAAAUAUUUAAUCAAAUAGAAAUAUUUUCCACCACAAUUCUUCUCAAAAUGUGUAGAAUUUAUUAGUGUUGUUGCACAAAUUUUUGUAAAUACUUUUAUGCAUGGCUUUGAUUAAAAUGCCUAGUUUAAAUAUUUUAGCCCCUAUUAAUUAGGUUUUAAAAAUAACUUUUUAAAGUGAGUUUGUGCUCUAUUUUGGAAUGAGCUUCUUGGGGGGGGGGGGUAUUACGACGAUAGAUUCCGGGUUCGACGAAGGACUUGAACCCGAAGACCGCGGAUAACUAGCUGAUCAAGGCAAGCAGCCCUUUGACCAUGUGUGGGAAAAAAUAUGCAAUACAUGUUGAUUAUUUUAUUCCGAUGCAUCUAGUUAAGACUAACCGGUACACCCCGACAUGGUGUUUCCGAUGGCUCCUCUGGAGCACUUGCAUUGAGCAUGACCUUACCAUCUAUGAGGAUCAUGCUGAUAAAAAGUUGACAUGUAAUAGUAGUGCUACGCAUAGGAUGAGCAUAUCCAUAAUGAUGUUAACACAAAGAUGAAAACAAAGGUUUUAUGAAAACCUCGUUGGGUGCCACUAAUGCCCGAGGGAGAUGGUUUUGAGCUGGAUGACCACUUGAGAAAUAAGUGGUGUACCGGAAAGUUUUUGUGUGAGUGGCUUCGGAAAUUGGAUUGAUUGAUGAUGUGUCGACCGUCCCAACCUUACAUGUGCGACCACGAUACCCAUUUAUGGGACGGGGCUUUGUUGACUACUUUGGUCGGUGCUAGCAAAGAGGCCAUAUUUCUUGUGGCAGGAGUGAUAUGUGGUCACUCCCGUGAUGGGGUCGUACCAGGUAGGUCUACUAUUCCAUUUUUACGUGUUCCGGGCACACCGUUGGUCCCUGCAUGGAUGAUACAUUCCAGAGUUUGUGCUCGUAAGACGUACAUCAUGUGGGUUGGAUACCUAUCGAGUGGACUCUUUGUCUGGUGUCUCCAGGGGAAACGCAAUGAUCGGGUACUUACCUCGGUUAUAUUAUAUACCGCGAGUCGUGUAUGACAAGGAAGUUUCCCGGAUCUCGUGCGUACAUCGUACAACCUUUGCAGAGUCUAAAACUAUUUGAAUAACCGUGUCCACGAUCAAGGACAAUUGGGUGGUGUUUCUUAAACUACGUCCAGUCGUUUCUGCAUAAAUUAUGAGUGUGUGUGUGUGUGGGUAAAAAGGCGUUGUCUGAGAAAGAUGAUAUGACAAGUUCGGUGACUUGGCAUAUAGGGUGAACAUGUGGUAUACAACCCUCAACAAAUAUGUUGAUAUAUGCGACCUGUUCUUAAGAUUACCAUCUAGCUUAUGAUGCAUAUCCACACAAGUACUUCAUGAUGUUCAUUUUCGAUUAAAACUUUCUUUCCGCAAAGACUGCAUAUUAUUUUAUUAUUGCAACUGCAUUAUCCGUAUCAUGGGUUGUUUGCGAGUACAUUCAAUGUACUCACUGGCUUGCCACUAGUUAUGUUAUUGACCAGACAUGGAGGAACCGGAGUUCGGAGAAGAAUUCGUCACCAGAGACGGACACAUGAACUAGGACGCUUCCCAGUUACAAUGCCUGUUGGUGAAGGCUGAUGGCAUGGGUUCCCGUUUAUUACCAAGAUUUCUGCUAGUAGUUGUAUUGGUGCGAUUGGCCGUAUAGGCCCUACCUAUGUGAGACUUGACCAUGGUGGUCCUCUGUUGUACCGAAUGGUAUGCUUGGAUGUAAUACUCUUAAUAUUCAGUAUGUGUGUGUUCGGUGAGCAUUGAUCUCUGGGAUCACUGAGCAUGUUCAUUGGGCGGUCUCGACUCGUAAGUCGGGGUCCCCAUAGAGCCAAGAUGUACCAAGACCUCAAGGAAAGAUUCUGGUGGCAUGGCAUGAACAGGGAAAUAUCUUAUUAUGUCGCUAAGUACGACAUAUGCUAGGGGUCAAAGUUGAGCAUCCGGACCCGUUGUACUAUUACAGCUCCUCAAGGUGCUAGAUUGGAAGUCAGACAAGGUCGGGGUGGACUUUAUCACCGAUCUGCCCAUGUCAAGCAAAGGUUAUGAUUCAUUUGGGUCAUUGUCGACCACCUGACCAAGGUAGCCCAUUUCAUUCCAGUCAAAACCACCUAUUAUGGAAGCAAGCUAGCCAACCUCUACAUCAACCGCAUCAUGAGUCUGCAUGAUAUUCCAAAGGAUAUCGUGGCAGAUCAAGGAACUCGGUUCACCUCAAGGUUAUGUAAGCAGGUCCAUGAAGCUAUGGGAACCAAGCUCUCUUUCAGCACUGCUUUCCAACCUCAGACACGCGGACAGAUGGAACAAGUAAAUUAGGUACUCGAGGACAUGCUCCAUGCUUGUGUUUUAAUAUAUGGAGACAAGUGGGAGAACUGUUUGGCCUUUGCCUACUUCUCCUACAACAACAACUAUCAGUCCAGUCUACAGAUGGCAGCAUUUUAGGUGUUGUAUGGACGCAAGUGCCGCACUCCCCUCAACUGGUCUAAGACCGGAUAAAUACUGAUCUUUGGACCAGAUAUUCUCUGAGAAGACGAGGAGCAAAUUCAACUCGUCAGGGAACGUCGCGAGACCACCAAGUCAAGACGGAAGAUCUACGCCAACUCGCACGGCCGAGAAGUGGACUUCAUCGCCGGAGAUUAUGUAUACCUCUCCGUCACGCCUCUGAAGGGAACAAAGCGUUUCCACGUCAAGGGAAAAACCACACCAAGAUGCAUUUGCCCCUUAAGAUCACCGCUAGGCAAGGAAAAGUUGCUUACCAGUUGGAGCUAUCACUCGAGCUUUCGAAUGUGCACAACGUCUUUCACGUGUCUCAGCUCCGGAAGUGCCUCCAAGUUCCCGACCGUCCGGACCUCUAUAAGGACAUUGAUCAUCAAGCCAUUGACCUUCAGCCAUACCUCGUUUAUCGAGGGAGACCAAUCUGCAUCUUGGAUGAAGCCAAGGGUUACACCCGAAGCCGCACCAUCAAGUACUUUAAUGUCCAGUGGAGCAACCACACCAAAGCAGAAGCAACAUGGGAGCAUGAAGACUACCUUAGAUCCAAGUUCCCUUAUCUUUUUAGAGCUUAGCCUAGGAAUCUCGGGGACGAGAUUCUUGUAAAGGGCUGAUCUGUCACACCCUGUGUUUGUACCACUUUGCCACAUUAUGUUUUUGCAAAAUUUGGAACCAAUUAAAACUUUUUGAGUGAUUGUGAUGGUUGUUUUGAUUGCAACAUGCUUGUGUGAUUGAUUGUGUUCUAAGUCACCAAAGUUAUUCUUCUCUCCAAAACUUCCUCUCCUGGAUCCAAAACCUUGCCUAAUGACCUUGCCAUGUGUAUAGGACUAGGAACUACUUUUAUUAAAAUAUCAUCUCAACAAAAGGGAAUUUAUUUAUUUUAAAAGUUUCAAAACCACUCAAUUGGGAUUUGCAUUACCAGGAGGGUUGUUAUACCCCAAAGAUUUUAUUUUGAUUCUAUUAUCAAAAUGAUUUCCCAAAAACACAAAAUAAUUAAUUUAAAAUUUAUUUCCCUAUUUUAUCUAAACACCCUUUUUGAGGCCAUAAAAGGUAUUUCAUAGGGAAAAUAUUUUUCUUGCUUUGAAAAUAUUUGAGAAAAUUUAGCAAAACUCAGUGGAUAUAUAUUUUCCAUACAUAUGAGUUUCAUCACAUGAUCAUGUUCCAUAUGAAAUAUUUUCCCUCAAAACACUUUCUGCCUAUUUCAAGCCGUUGAAAUAUUUCCAUAUGAAAUAUUCUCAAUAAAAUCCAAGAAAAUUCUAACACGUCACACAUGGUAUAGGUGGUGACCCGGGAAAAUUUCAUCUCAAUCCAAGUUGAUUUGGUUCACCUAAGAACCUCAAAACCCUCCGUGUCCAGAGCCAAACUUGAGCAACUUUACAUUGCCAAGUUUAUCCAAUUGAUCUCAAAUUUUACAAAGGUGAUCUAGGACCAAAAUAAGGAUGCUACACCAAGUUGUGCAUUUGUGGGACUUGAUUUGGUCACCAAAGUCACGAAGAAUCUAAUUAUGUCAAUUCUUGGGUAUUUUCAUGUUUACAUUGCCAACUUUGCUCAAAUGAGCUGAAACUUGGUGAACACUCUUGGUUUCUACCACAAUGCAGUCCUAUUUACUUUCACAACAAUUGGGUAAAGGUAAAUUGUCCAAGCAAUCUUCAAACACCUUCUAGUAGUUUGGUAAAGUUGCCGCUUUCACCACCUUUUCUCAUCUCCUUCACUUCAAUUUUCUACCACAACUUCUCCUAGUGAUGCUCUCCACCCCAGUAACUUUCCCACGACCAUACCUAAAUUUGUUUUGAUUGGGAACUAUAGGAAAACCCCUACAACAUUAAUUUUAUUUUUAAGAAAGGGGAUUUACACGUGUUACAAGGGGUAACAAGGGGGAUUAAAGCUAAAAUUACAGGUAUUUAGAGAUCAAUAAUCAAGUGGUAAGUGUGAGAUCCAUUCCAAGAUGUCAUCCUUGAAGGCUGGCUUAAUUCUGUGCUGCAUGAGAGAAAUACCAUGCACAAAUACUCCUCCCCACCUAUAAAAAUUGGGUCUUUCAUGCCUAAAUACUUUUGCAUUCCUGAUUAUCCAAAUGUUCCAACAAGCAAGGAAUAUCACUUCACACAAGAACGACAUCUUGAAAUCUCUCCUUGCAUUGAUGGUAACUUCUACCAUAGUAUUCCCCUAUGAAUAGUCAAUCUACAAGUAAUUCCAGACUCUAACACUGAAGUGACACUCAAAGAAAUGAGGAUCCCUUGUUUCUUGUUCACCCAAUGGGCAGAGAACACACUAAACACCAUCCUCCAUGUGCCAAUGCCUCCUUUCAACCAUAUCUUUGGUGUUCAGCCUAUGCAUAAUCAACAUCCGUGAAAAGACCUUGAUUUUCAUGGUGCAACAGGACCUCCAAAUCUAAGAGAGCAAAGGAUUAAAAGUAAGGUCGAAUUGCAUGCUCAUAUAGAAACACUUGGGCUUGAAUUGUUUGGAAGAACCCUACCACCACCAAGUAUCAUUGAGAUCUGCAUCUCUUCCAUGGGCCCCUGUCAGAUUUUGCAAGUCCAAAAAUCCUUUUAGGCUUGCUCACACAACGGCAGGUGGAAUAGACCCAUGAGUUGGUGCACAUUGAAAACUUCCUUGGUAGACAUCCAUGGGUCUUUCACAUAAGAAAAGAGCCUAGGGAACCUUGAUUCCAAAGUGGCAAUAUUAUCACCAGUUUUCCAAUGAUAUGAACAAAAGGGACACAGUGUCCCUAGCAUUUAUUGUUACCCAUCUUGAUGGCCUGAAUUGAGUCAGAACUUUGCAAAUAUCCUUCCACCAGAAUGAUCCACAAUCCCUAGUUGGUUGGGGGACUCUUUCACAAUAAUAAGUGCCCAAAAUUAGGGAUACCCAAGGAACAUCUUUUCUAUUCAUGAAGUGAUUUGCAUGCUUUAGCAGUAAUACCACAUUCUGGAUUCCAAGAUUCAUGAUUCCAUGUCUUCCCUUAGCUUUGGGUGUGCAAACCAAGUCCCAGGCAACAAGAGAAGGAGCAGGUCCAUCCUUAUGUUUCCCCCAAAGAUACUGUAUCUGAAUUCUCUCAAGCUAUUUAGGGAUGCCAAGAGGAAUAGCUAAGCUACUUUAGAAGAACACUGGCAGUGAAGAUAAGACACAAUAAAGGAAUUGCAACCUUUACCAUGGGUUAAGGAAAGCAGAACUGGCAGUCAUUUUCCUUUCUAUGCAGUCAACCAAUGGCAUGAAAUCCACCAUCUUUGGUCCAAAUGUCCCUAGGGGGAGCCCUGAAUAAGUGAAAGGCAUUUUACCCGGUUGACAGGAAAAAGUUUCACAAGUUCCUUUAUGGUCUCAUCAUCAACAUUAAUUGGUAUGAUAGAGAACUUAUGAUAGUUAACAUCAAGCCCACUUGACUGAGAAAAAAUCUUGAGCAUGUCCCUGAGAGCAAGUAAUUGCACCUUAUCAACUGGUAGAAUGAUGAGAGUAUCAUCAGCAUAUUGAACAAUAGGAUAGUCCUGGUGUGGUGACCGGUUUUUCAGAAAAUACUUUCUAGAAAACUAGUCUUUGUGUUCACCAGCCCCAGGACUACUAUUAACUGGUGGACAAUCACUUGAUACAGAAAAUCCAAGAAAAAUACAAAAUCUGGGUUACUAGACCAUGAAGGUCUACUUGUUCGAUCAAAAUUCUGAGGCUGAUGGCGGAUGCGAAUCGAGGAAUCUCCAGUGCCCGUGGGACACCAUUCCCACAGGAACAAUUGACCUGGACAAAUUCCUAUCUCACAAGGCUACUAUCUUGGACUCCUAGGUUCCGGGGUUGAGGGCAUCGUUCUCAUCUCCAAACACAAUCUGGCCAAGACAAUAGCCAGGACAAGCUAGUGACUACUUUGAAUGUACUCCAAAACAUCAAGAAAACAGGUAAGUUAACGCAGGUGAGAUGCAUGUAUAAUCAACUUAAUGACUCUAUCAUGUCGAGACUUGUUUCCACCAAUACUGUACAAACAACAAGGAGGGUAAUUAAUCAAUAAGUUUGUGGAUCGGGCGUCUGAGGCGACACCACAAAAUGACAAGUAACACAAGCCAUACUCGAGCGUCUUAGAGACACCACAUAAAGGGACUUGUCAAUGGAAUAAUACUAACAUGCCACAGUUGCGCGUCUGGAGCGACACCACAAAAAAGGCAUAUAUGAAGGUAAUGAUAAGUAAGUAAUAUCAUGUGUGCCACAAUCAGGCGUCUGAGCGACACCACAAAAAUGACUUAUAUGAAAGAAAUAACAGUUGCCACACUCGGACGUCUAAGCGACACCAUAGGGCUUUAAUGAAAGUAGGGGGGGGGGGGAUAAUGAUGAUGAAUAUCCAGGAAGUAGUACCGUCGCAGGGAUGUUCAACAAUCAUGAUCAUAAGGGUUAGUCCAAAUUAAAUUAAUAAUCAUAAGCAUUCACCAUAUACCACAAAGAUUAGUCCACCUCAAGAUUUCAUAAUAAUAAUAGAGGUGAUCAUCCGGUUUUAUUUUAAUUCCCUCCAAAGACCGACACUCACAUCAACACUUGACUAGUCAACAAGUCGUCCUUGACCGUGGACACAACUACUCGAAUAGUUUUGACUCUUCAGAGGGUGUACAUUUUACCCAAAGCCCACGGGAUUCAAUAGUCACUCAGACUAAUCCCGUGUAUGGUAUUUUAGAAGUAAACACUCAGAAACAGCACACAUCCAUUUUUCCACCGCAAAAACCUGACUCAAAAGGACUACGCUGCCAUGGAAAGACCAUAACAUGGAGAGGCUCCAACCUUGACAAGCAUGGGAUCAAAUUUAUACCGCGCGCUACAAGGGAAGGGCCAUUCCCUCUCGGUACCAGACCGGAAACACCCAUGCCCCCUGACUGGAUGACUGGAUUUAGUCCAGGGCCAUGGAUACCUUCAUCCCGACGUCUCUACUUGGUGUGUACCUGGUACUAGUCUUAUGACAUACUAAACCAUAUUCCCUUUUAGGAAGACAUGUGGAAGCACGUAAAGUAAGGCGACACAUAGACAAGACUCAAUCUACGGUCGACUUAGGAGGUUUAAGAUUUCCUGCAAGGGUAGUACCACAAAAUCUUGCUGAAAGAAUUAUCUCAGUGUUACUACAAUCAGACCUCGACAUGCCUUCAUGGACCACUCUUGUCCCACGAGAUGUGAGGCCCAUGGUCUCAUAUCCACCGUGACAACCUUCCUCCAAGGUCAUCCACACCAACAUAUCAUACGAGGCAUGAGGUAGUACCCACUCACCGUUUGCAUCCCAUAUGUUCGGCAACACAAUUAUCCAUCACAAGCACUCAUGCAAGUAUGAUUUUAUGUGGGGGGUUUAUCAACAUAACCCAAAAUCACGCAAUAAUGCACCACAACAAAUAUCGCACAACUGCGUACAAAUAAGAGUUCAAGAUGCUUGCCUUUGAAGUUUAGGAGGGUGGUGUGCACCCAAAAAUCUUGAAGUAAGCCUCCUCUCUCCAAGUUCCUAUUUUGAAAAUAUUAGAAUUAACACAUAAAUUCAAUAGAUCACAUAAAAGUUGUUUUAAUAUUUUGGAAAUAAAUUUUUAAAUAAACUAGAGGACAUUUUAGAGAGGUAGAAAAAAGAAUCAGUCCAUUUGGAGUUUUCUUUAAAAAGUUAGAGCCAGUUAAAGAUCCUGGUCAAAUCUGUUUUAUUAAGGAAAGAAAAAGAAAACGUUUUGCUUAAAUUGCGCUAAACGAAUAGGGGAGGCGUACUCAUGUUGAUACGCUUUCUCAGGGGGAAGACGUGCUGCGGGGUAGGCGCCAUCACGGGCUUGGGCUGACUCAUCGACACACGGGACCUGCCUGUUAGGUUCCUCUCCUACCUCCCGUGCGUGCACUGGAAAGGGUGAAGAGUGGACGCCGGCGGCGGUUGACGAUGCAAGGGGGUGCCAUCCACGGAGCUGAGCAUGCCGGAAUGCUCGAGAGGGAGGGCCCCAUCAUUUAGGGGACAUGCGGGUAGCAGGGUAGCUCGAGGGCGAGCACAACCCAGGUCAUGGCGGACAGAGAGUUCUGGCGCACCGGCAUCUCCACCACGACCAGCCAUGGAUGGAUUUUGCAGGUGGGUUGGUUAGGUGGGGCUUGAAGAGGUUAGCAAGGGCCAAGGGGGAACGACAGGGGCUCGGAACUGCUGCAAUUUUGCCGGAGGCAGACGGAGGAGCUGCGGCCAGAGAGGAGUAGAGCGAGCGGCUCCGGCUAAAUUGGAGCGAGGGGGAGGCUCCUAAGGGUCCAUGGAUGGCGCUGGUUACUCAAAUGGAGCUCGAGACCUCCUUUU